Molecule: long non-coding RNA, 93658 nt
Filed under: Medicago truncatula (barrel medic)
Lineage: Eukaryota; Viridiplantae; Streptophyta; Magnoliopsida; Fabales; Fabaceae
Description: long non-coding RNA (MTRU_LNC006182)
Source: RNAcentral
AAAGUUGGGCAGUGCAGAUUGCAAGAAACAAGUUGGUGAGUAUUUCUCUUCUUUUUUAAACAAUAUUCAUCAAUCAUGAUAAGCUUUGAAAUAAAGAAACAAGUUGUAUUGAUAUACCUAUGGUUGUGGUGGAACACUACUAGCAUUUGUGUUAAAGCAACAAAUGAUAGUUUGAGGCCAGGUGAUAAAUUGGAUGCAAAUUCCAACCUAUGUUCUAAACAAGGCAUGUAUUGUCUAUAUUUCAAUAGCGAAGAAGCUCACUUGGUUAUAAGUAGUGGUUUUGAUGGCCCAGUAGUGUGGAUGUAUGAUAGAAAUCAACCCAUAGACAUAUAUUCAGCAGUUCUAUCACUAGACUACUCUGGUGUGCUCAAAAUAGAAUUUCAAAAUAGGAAUGUACCGAUUAUCAUUUAUUAUUUGCCUGAACCAACCAACGACACUGUGGCCACUAUGUUAGACACAGGUAACUUUGUGCUUCAACAACUUCACCCAAAUGGGACAAAGAGUAUACUAUGGCAGAGUUUUGACUAUCCAACAGAUAGUUUGAUCCCAACGAUGAAGUUAGGUGUUAAUCGAAAAACAGGACAUAAUUGGUCAUUGGUUUCACGGUUGGCUCAUUCGCGACCAACUUCAGGUGAAUUUAGUCUUGAAUGGGAACCAAAAGAAGGUGAAUUGAACAUAAGGAAAAGCGGCAAAGUGCAUUGGAAAAGCGGAAAACUUAGAAGUAAUGGAAUAUUCGAGAACAUUCCAGCGAAAGUUCAAAGUAUAUAUCGGUACAUUAUUGUGUCUAACAAGGAUGAAGAUUCUUUUGCUUUCGAAGUUAAUGAUGGGAAUUUUAUACGAUGGUUCAUAUCCCCGAAGGGGAGGUUAAUAAGUGAUGCUGGAAGCACUGCUAAUGCAGACAUGUGUUAUGGAUAUAAAAGUGAUGAAGGGUGCCAAGUUGCAAACGAAGACAUGUGUUAUGGAUAUAAUAGCGAUGGAGGGUGCCAAAAAUGGGAGGAAAUACCAAAUUGUAGGGAACCUGGUGAGGUUUUUCGGAAAAAGGUGGGAAGACCAAAUAAAGACAAUGCAACAACUACUGAAGGUGAUGUGAAUUAUGGUUAUAGUGAUUGCAAGAUGAGAUGUUGGAGAAAUUGUAAUUGCUAUGGAUUCCAAGAAUUAUACAUUAAUUUUACUGGAUGUAUAUACUAUUCAUGGAAUUCAACACAAGACGUUGAUUUGGACAAAAAGAAUAACUUUUACGCCUUGGUAAAGCCAACAAAAUCACCUCCGAAUUCCCAUGGUAUAUAACAUUUAGUAUCAUUUUAAUUAGAUAGAUUUUUUUUAGUAUGAUUCUAGAAAUAUUUCCCUCUAUUAUGGCCGGUGUCGGUCUAAGGACAAUUGAAGUGCAAAUAAAAUUGAUUGAAAUCAAACAUCUUAACGCCACCACUUAGUUUUUUUAUUUUAUUUGUGUAUAGUCAAUGCAGGUAAGAGGAGGAUAUGGGUAGGUGCUGCAAUCGCAACUUCUUUACUCAUAUUAUGCCCACUCAUUUUAUGCCUAGCCAAAAAGAAACAAAAAUAUGCACUACAAGGUAUAUGGUUACUUUAAAAGAGUUAAUCCAGGUAAAAAAAAAAAAGAUGGAUAUGUAUAGGUUCUAUUUUUAUCUUUGAUUUUUUUGGUUAUGUAGGUAAGAAAAGUAAAAGAAAAGAGGGUAAGAGGAAAGAUUUGGCGGAAUCCUAUGAUAUCAAAGAUCUUGAAAAUGACUUCAAAGGACAUGAUAUAAAAGUUUUUAACUUUACAUCAAUUUUGGAAGCAACUUUGGACUUUUCAUCUGAAAACAAGUUAGGACAGGGAGGCUAUGGACCCGUUUAUAAGGUGACUUGAAAACAAAUGUUUAUAAUGUGGUAAUAUUUUUUUCAUGGUUGCCGAAUUUUGUUUCGGACAAAACAUAUAUGCAUUGGUUUUAGGUAUAUUUAGUAUAUGGUUAUCAACUUAAGUAUCCAUUAUUUCUUCAAAUAUAUAAUUUUAGCAGAGAUCCAUUAAAAAGCAUUUAAGGAAAUACAUCUAAAUUAUGACUUCAGGGAAUCUUGGCAACAGGACAAGAAGUUGCUGUAAAAAGACUUUCAAAAACAUCUGGACAAGGAAUUGUGGAAUUCAGAAAUGAAUUGGCAUUGAUAUGUGAACUUCAACACACAAAUCUUGUACAACUACUUGGUUGUUGCAUUCAUGAAGAAGAAAGGAUUCUAAUUUACGAAUAUAUGCCAAAUAAAAGCUUGGAUUUCUAUCUAUUUGGUGAGAAUAUGUUGAAGGCUAUAUUUGUAUGUGAUGUUUUUUUUUUUUUUUUAUAUGAAAAAAAUCAUAAAAUUGUGUAUAUUAUUAUGUUAUAAAUAGAGCACAAUUAUAAAUAAAGUUAUGGGAUCUUUAUUUUGGACAGUUCACUAAAAUAACAUGUUAUUCUAACUUAAUAACCAAUAUCAUGUUUUAUGGGACUCAUUAGUUAGUCAUAGAAAUCUAAAAUGGCAUUUUAGUUUUCUACUUUUGAUUAGUAUACAUUUUAACAUUAAGUAUCAUGUUUUCAUUGACAAGAUUGUACAAGAAAAAAGUUACUAGACUGGAAGAAGCGCCUGAACAUAAUCGAAGGAAUUUCUCAAGGACUACUCUAUCUUCAUAAGUACUCAAGACUCAAAAUCAUUCACAGAGACUUGAAGGCUAGCAACAUACUCCUUGAUGAGAAUAUGAACCCGAAAAUUUCUGAUUUCGGUAUGGCAAGAAUGUUCACGCAACAAGAAUCAACAGUUAACACCAAUAGGAUUGUUGGGACAUAGUAAGUUUUCUAAGCUUUCUUUAUAUCUACCUUUUUAUCGAUGAUUACACAAAAGAGUUGAGAUUUUUAACAAAAUUUUGGUGCAGUGGAUACAUGUCUCCAGAAUAUGCAAUGGAAGGAAUUUGUUCAACAAAGUCUGAUGUUUAUAGCUUUGGAGUGUUGCUUCUUGAAAUUGUUUGUGGAAGAAAAAACAAUAGCUUCCAUGAUGUUGAUCGCCCACUAAACCUAAUAGGACAUGUAUGUAAAUUUACUCCCAUUGACUUUAUUUUAAAAAUAUAGAAUUCCUCCUUGUUCCUAAUUUGAUUAAACUCCUAACAGGCAUGGGAGCUAUGGAAUGAUGGUGAGUAUCUACAGUUACUGGAUCCAUCUUUAUGUGACACAUUUGUUCCUGAUGAAGUGAAAAGGUGCAUUCACGUUGGUCUCUUAUGUGUACAACAAUAUGCUAAUGAUCGACCUACAAUGUCCGAUGUUAUAUCAAUGUUAACAAACAAAUAUGAACUCACAACUUUACCAAGAAGACCAGCAUUCUAUAUUAGAAGAGAGAUCUAUGACGGGGAAACAACUUCUAAAGGGCCAGACACCGACACCUAUUCUACGACAGCAAUUUCUACCUCAUGUGAAGUAGAAGGAAAAUAUAAGUAAUCAAUAUAUAUUGGUCAAAAACUGCAAGCUAGAAUGCAAGUAAAAAACGGCUUGAUUAUGGUAUUGGUUUCUGUAAUAUUCUCAUUUUCUGUGCUUGUAAAAUGUAAUAUACUCAAUUUCUGUACUUGUAAAAAUAUUAUCAAAAUGGUCUACUUUCUAUUGAAAAACUAGUUAGUUGAUACUUUCUAUUGAAAUAUUAUCAAAAUGGUCUACUUUCUAACUGUGCUAUUGAAAUACUUGUGAAAAAUGGCACACUUAUAUUUCAUUUUUUGCUUAAAAAAAUGUCACACUUUUCAUCGUUCUCUCUUCACCAUCUUACUUCACCGCCGAACCCACCAUCGCGCUCCACCGUCGUGGAUUCUCUCUCCACUGCCAAACUAAAUUGAGCUUCACCUUCAAAUCCACCUCUCUUCACCGUCAAACUCAUCACUACACCGUCGAACUCUCACCGUCAAGCUUCACACCGUCGAAUCUCACCGUCGAGCUACACAAUUCAUCCAUCGAGCUUCACUCUUUCUUUCUAAGGUAACAUUUCUCAUAUUCUUCUUCUGUUAUUCGCCUUCGUUUCCGCUUUCGCACUUUCGAUUUCGUUUAGAUCUUAUCAAAAUUAUCGUCGAUCCAUGCUGUGUUUCUGUUAUGAAUUGCAAUUUAACUCAAUUUUUUGAGUUAUGAAUCGAAAUUAACUUGUAUGUUUUCUGUUUGUUAAAAUGCUUCAACGAAAUUUUUAGUGUUUCAGAAUAUCCAAUGGAAUUUUGAGUUCUUGUAUGUUUUCUGUUUGAUAAAAUGCUUCAAUGAAUUGCCAUUUUAAGAUUUGUCUGAUGUUGCUGCGUGCGUAAGUAUAAGAAAUUUAACUGAAGUUUUGUGUUGAGAAGUAGUAGUAAUUAAUUAGUAGUGUGUCGACAUGUUGUGUUGAGAAGUUUUGUGUUGAUAUUGUUGAAGAGAUUAAGGUGUUGUUGUGGAGGUGGAUGUUGGAGAGGACUUUUACCCCAUCGUGCCUUUUCUACCAAUGGUGUUGGAAUCCUAGGUUGUGUCUUGAAAGGUAAUGUUGGCGGUUUAUGAGUUUUUCUGUUAGAGGCUGCUGCAGGGAGGGUUUUUAGAGUAUUGGGGUUUUGGUGGUGAGUUGCCAGUGACUUAUGUUGCUGGCCUGGCUUCUCUGUGAUUUGGCUUGUUAGUAUCGGCUUUUGGUAUAGUGCUUUGGGUAUUGUUUGUUAGUGCUGUUGUGGGUGUGUUUCUUUGGCUCUACCAUAGGUGUUUUUCCUUUCUCCUUAGCAGAUGAAUCUAACACCUCAACCAUGUCUCUCUCUCCUUCAAUGCUGCUUUCUGAUGAGUCAUUUAUUGCUUAUUUUUAUAUGCUAUUAAGUUUAGGGAUUGUUAUGAGAUUUUAGAGAAUUUUGGGGGAGAAAGAGAAAUAAGAUAAAAUAGAAAUAAGAUUAUAAAUAGGAAAGACCUAGUUUAGAAACAUUUAUGAAGACGCCAUUGUGCCAAAGACUGUUUUAGUUAUUGAAUAAAUUCCGCUGUGAAGUAUUAAAGAUUUUGUUAUUGAAUUUUAAAGGAUAAAUAGUUAUUUAUUCAGUUUAUGAUUUUAAGAAUGUGACAUUCCGUUUAUGUGAAUACUCUGAUUAUUUUUAUGAAAUUAAUAUGUUGGGAAAUCGGGGUGUUACACUAUAAAUAGAGUAGUCAUCCAUCACAAAUAUUCAUCCUUUCUUGGAAUUCAAUAAGUGACAAUUGCUUUUCUAUUAAAAGUUCUUUUCUUUUCCUUUAUUUUCUUGUCAUUUACUUUUAUGCUUUCUCUCUUCUUCCCCAUGUCUACGAUGAACAUGAGUGAGUAGACUUCUCCUUGUCUUGGGAUUGUUGGAUAAGUCUAAAUGACAUAAUCCUAAUCAAGCCAAGUUCUAAGCCUUAAUUUUAUGCAACCCUAGUUUCUUAUCUAAAUUCACCGCUUUAACAUGGAUCAACCAUUAUCAAACUGUGGAAACGAAAGUGGAGGGUUUGAUAAUUGUUUAUCCAUCAUCUCAAAUAUCAAUUCAUAAAACGAAAGUGGAGCUUUGAUAUUCGAACAAGUGAAUUUAGACAAGGAUUGCAAAGGCAGCGAAAUAGUCUUUGCAAUCUUUGAGACAUAUAGUUUCGAUCUUCAAGGGAACUAAUAAUAAUAAAGUCAGCGAAAUAUGCUUGGUUGUUAGAGGAACCAAAAUCUAAUAGUAAUCAAGUCAGCGAAAUAGGCUUGGUUGAGGAACCAAAAUCUUUCUUUGUGAUUAGAACUCUUUCUUCUUCCCCUUUUCUUCUCUUCUUCUUUCUUUUUGUUUCCUUACACUUGACUUCUUGGGUAGCAUAAAAUAAUAGAUAACAUGGCUGAGGAACACACUUUUAAGGAGUAUUCGAUCCCUUCUUCAGAUGAGCCAUGCACUAUUAUGUUUACCCAACGGUUGAAGGUAGUGGUUUCAAAAUAAAACCUGCACUACUAAGUUUGGUACAACAAAACCAGUUUUUUGGAUCACCCUCUGAAGACCCAAAUUUGCAUAUCUCAACCUUUUGGAGACUUAGUGUAACUUACAAAGACGACCAAGAGACCGUUAGACUACAUCUCUUCCCUUUUUCUCUAAAAGAUAGGGCCAGCAGUUGGUUCAAUUCUUUAAAACCCGGCUCCAUCACUUCAUGGGAUCAUUUGAGGCGAGAAUUCCUUUGCUGUUUCUUUCCCCCAUCAAAAACCGCCCAACUUAGGGGAAGGCUUUACCAAUUUACUCAAGAAAACGGGGAAUCUCUUUACGAUGUGUGGGAGCGUUUUAAAGAAAUACUUAGACUUUGUCCCCAUCAUGGUUUGGAGAAAUGGUUAAUCAUCCACACCUUCUACAAUGGUUUAACAUCUAACACUAAGUUAACUGUUGAUGCAGCUACAAGUGGUGCCCUAAUGAACAAGGAUUUUACAACAGCUUAUGCCUUGAUUGAAGACAUGGCUCUAAACCUUUUUCAAUGGACUGAAGAGAAAGCAAUCAUCAAUUCUUCACCCUCUGAAAAAGAGGCAGGUAUGAACGAAAUCUCUUCCUUUGCUAUCUAUCUACCAAGGUGAAUGCACUAUCUCAAAAACUUGAUCACAUGAAUACUUGUGCUGUCACACCUACUUCUUUUUCACCUCCAUGUGAAGCAUGUGGCAUAUCUAGUCAUUCUAGCAUCGAUUGCAAACUAGGUAGUGUUGAGCAGUUAAACUUUGUUCAGAAUGGCCAAAGAGUUGUUCAAAAGUCUCACAUUGAACUUUUAAUGGAAAACUAUUUUCUUAAACAAUCCGAACAGCUCCAAGAGCUUAAGGAUCAAACUAGACUUUUGAGCGACUCUCUUGCUACUCUCACAACAAAGAUAGACUCCAUCUCCUCUCACAACAAAACUUCAGAAACUCAGCUCUCCCAAGUAGUUCAUAUGGUCGGCCACCCCAACAAAAUGAAUGCUGUUUCACUUAGGAGUGGUAAGCCACUCGAAGACCCCAUAGGGAGAACCAAAUCCAAUGAAAGUGAGAAAGAGAUUUGCGAACCACCGCUUAGGGAAACUAGGGUAGAAAGAGAAGAACCAUGAGUUGAGGAAACCACACCACCUCCCUUUAAGCCAAAAAUUCCCUUCCCACAAAGGUUUGCCAAAUCUAAGCUAGAUGAGCAAUUUAAAAAGUUCAUAGAAAUGAUGAACAAAAUAUACAUUGAUGUGCCUUUCACCGAAGUCUUAACCCAAAUGCCUACCUAUGCUAAAUUUUUAAAAGAAAUCCUUUCUAAAAAGAGAAAAAUUGAGGAAGGUGAGACGGUUAACCUUACGGAAGAAUGUAGAGCCAUCAUCCAAAAUAAAUUGCCACCAAAGCUUAAAGACCCAGGUAGUUUCUCCAUACCUUGUGUCAUAGGGUCAGAAGUAAUGAAGAAAACUAUGUGUGACCUAGGAGCCAGUGUCAGCCUAAUGCCUUUAUCCCUUUAUGAGACACUGGGAAUAGGGGAACUUAAGUCGACCAGGAUGACCCUACAAUUAGCGGACCGUUCUAUUAAGUACCCAGCUGGAAUCAUAGAAGAUGUCCCCGUUAAGGUAGGAGAGGUGUACAUCCCUGCUGAUUUUGUUGUGCAGGAGCCAGCAUUGAUGUUAAAAAUGGUAAGUUAGCUUUUAAUGUUGGUAAAGAAACUGUUGAAUUUGAACUUGCCAAACUAAUGAAAAGUCCUUCUAUUAAGGACUCUUGUUGCAUGAUAGAUAUAGUCGACUAUUGCGUGAAAGAAUGCUCUUUAGCAUCAACUACACAUGAUGGUUUGGAAGUAUGCUUGGUAAACAAUGCAGGUACAAAGCUGGAAGGGGAGGCGAAAGCUUAUGAAGAGUUGUUGAAUAGAACCCCUCCAAUGGAAGGUUUAAGUGUGGAGGAAUUAGUAAAGGAAGAGCCAGCACUUCUACCCAAGGGGCACCGAAAGUAGAGCUUAAACCGCUUCCAUCGAAUCUAAGGUAUGAAUUCUUGGGCCCUAACUCAACCUACCCUGUUAUUGUGAAUGCAAGCCUCGAUGAAGUAUAAACUGAAAAGUUACUUUAUGUCCUCAAGAAAUAUCCUAAAGCUAUAGGGUACACCAUUGAUGACAUUAAAGGAAUAAAUCCUUCGUUAUGCAUGCAUAGGAUACUUCUUGAAGAAGACUAUAAACCCUCCAUUGAACAUCAAAGAAGGCUAAACCCUAAUAUGAAAGAAGUUGUGAAAAAAGAAGUUUUAAAACUUCUAGAUGCAGGUGUUAUUUAUCCAAUUUCUGAUUCCAAAUGGGUUAGCCCCGUGCAAGUCGUACCUAAGAAGGGUGGUCUCAAAGUUAUUAAAAAUGAUAAAAAUGAAUCCAUUGCUACUAGAACCGUCACCGGUUGGAGAAUGUGCAUUGAUUAUAGGAAGCUUAAUAAAGCUACCCAUAAAGAUCACUUCACUCUCCCUUUUAUAGAUCAAAUGUUAGAAAGGUUAGCUAAGCAUUCACAUUUUUGUUACUUAGAUGGUUAUUCCGGAUUUUUCCAAAUACCCAUUCACCCUAAUGACCAAGAAAAGACAACUUUUACAUGUCCCUUUGGAACCUUUGCUUAUAGGAGGAUGCCUUUUGGUCUUUGUAAUGCCCCUGCUACUUUUCAAAGAUGCAUGAUGUCUAUUUUUUCUGACUUUGUUGAAAAGAUAAUGGAAGUUUUUAUGGAUGAUUUUUCUGUGCAUGGAUCUAGUUUUGAUAAUUGUUUGACUAACCUUGAAAAAGUUUUGGAAAGAUGUGAGCAGGUGAACCUAAUCUUGAAUUGGGAGAAAUGUCACUUCAUGGUAAGAGAAGGAAUUGUCCUAGGACACUUGGUCUCCGAAAGAGGUAUAGAGGUAGACAAAGCAAAAAUCGAGAUUAUUGAAAAAUUCAGGCAAUACCUGGUGGGAUCAAAAAUCAUUGUUUACACAGAUCACUUGGCCAUAAAAUAUUUGCUAAACAAAAAAGAUGCCAAACCGAGGUUGAUCCGAUGAAUUUUGCUCCUCCAAGAAUUUGACCUUGAAAUAAAAGAUAAAAAGGGUGUUGAAAAUGUUGUAGCUGACCACUUGUCCCAACUUAGGGAGACCAAUGAGGAUGAACUACCCUUGGAUGAUUCCUUCCAGGAUGAUCAACUCUUCUUAUUGGCACAAACUAACGCACCUUGGUAUGCAGAUUUUGUUAAUUUUUUUGCAGCAGGAGUACUACCACCUGAGUUGAGCUACCAACAGAAGAAGAAGUUCUUCAAUGAUCUCAAGCAUUAUUAUUGGGAUGAGCCUUACCUCUUCAGAAGAGGCUCAGAUGGGAUUUUCAGAAGAUGCAUUCCUGAAAACGAGGUAAGUAGUAUUCUAACCCAUUGCCACUCCUCUUCUUAUGGUGGCCACGCCAGUACACAAAAGACUUCUUUCAAAAUUCUUCAUUCUGGUGGCCAUCACUUUUCAAAGAUGUGCAUCUCUUUAUUUCUAAAUGUGACAAAAGUCAACGCACUGGUAGUAUUACUAAAAGAAAUGAAAUGCCUUUGAACAACAUCCUUGAAGUAGAAAUUUUUGAUGUUUGGGGUAUUGACUUUAUGGGACCAUUCCCCUCCUCUUUUGGGAAUCAAUACAUAUUGGUAGCGGUUGACUACGUGUCCAAAUGGGUUGAAGCCAUUGCCUCCCCCACUAAUGAUGCACAAGUUGUUAUAAAACUGUUUAAAAAAAUCAUUUUUCCAAGGUUUGGAGUGCCAAGGGUUGUGAUAAGCGAUAGAGGGUCUCACUUCAUUUCAAAACAUUUUGAAAAACUUGGAGUAUGGCACAAAAUUGCAACACCUUAUCACCCACAAACUAGUGGACAAGUGGAGGUCUCAAAUAGACAAAUCAAAGCUAUCCUUGAAAAAACUGUUUCAACCUGUAGAAAAGAUUGGUCAAGUAAGCUUGACGAUGCCCUUUGGGCCUAUCGGACGGCUUAUAAAACUCCCAUUGGAAUGACUCCUUUUAAACUAAUCUAUGGGAAAUCUUGUCACCUUCCGGUUGAGCUCGAGCAUAAGGCUUAUGGGGCAAUUGAAAUCUUUUCUGAAGAAAUCGGAUCCUUUACGGUUAAUGGGCAAAGGCUUAAAAUCUAUAAUAUCGGAGAAGUAAAUGAAGUGGUGGCUGAUUUUACUCUAAGUGACCCUCCUUAAGGAUUUUUAUCCUUACUUUUGUCAAGCUAGUGACACUAAAAGAGCGUUUCGUGGGAGGCAACCCAUUGAUUUAAUUGUUUUCUUUGUUUUAUGUUAUUUCUCUUUGUUUUGUAGGUAAAUGUCCGAGAUUGAUUAGGAAAUGCAAUAAAAAUUAAAGUUACAAGACCCAGAAAGGUGGCACGGCCCGUGCCAGGAUCUAACACACAAAAUCAACCGAAGUUGGUAGCAUGAUGGCACGACCAGUGCUAAAGUUGGCACGGCCGUGCCAACCUGACAGGCCUCUAGGGUUCAAUUUUUUUGGCAAAUUGUGAGCUUUCCGCUUCCUUUUCCACUAUUUCCUUGUUUCUUUCAUUUUUCUUCUUAAAUCAUUGAGGACAAUGCUUCUCCUAAGUGUGGGGGGAGCCUAAUAAAGUGUCUUUAGUCGUAGUGUUUCCUAACUCCCUUGAACUUUAUUCUUUUUGUUUUGUUUUAUUGUGAAAGGCAUGAUUAAGUAGCUUGUUUUUAUUGAAAAAUCAUGACAUAAUUUUUUUUUAUUGUCUCCUCUUAUUGGUCGUUUCUUGUACAUGAAAAUAAACUAUUGUGUUUCAAGUUCUCCUUAUAUACCCACAUCUUGUUUUAAAGUGAAUAAAAAAAUGCACAAGUUGCUUCCCUUGAGUAAAUGUAUGAAUAGGUAUUUUAACGAAAUGCGUUCUAAUUUUAGUGGUACUUUAACCUUUAAAAAUUCUCAAAGUAAAAAUAAUAUAAGUUAGUAUAAAGGAGUUUAUAAAAAGCCAAGCUUAAAACUUAUUUCAAGGUUGCAUUAUUGAAUCUAGAUUGGGGAAGGAGGUAGGCCCUUCGACUUCCUACGUGAAGGUAAUGUUAUCUUGAAAAAGAAACUUUAAAAGCACGACACCAUUUAUCCUCUCCAGGAACAAUUCAAAAUCGUUGCCAGAACUUCUAAAAGCGUUGCCUAAUGGUUUAGGGGACGUUUUUCAGGUGUCUCCUAUGUGAGCGUCGCCAAUUGUCUAAGGGGACGCUUUUUUUGCACCUUUGGGCACACUGUUUAUAAACGCCUGCUGAAGUCCUGGAAUAGGGGACGCUUUUCUGGAGUAACAUUGGCAACGUUUUCCAUUGUUGGCAUAUUUAACAACAGUUCAUAAGCGUUGCCUAUUACUUCAAAAAUUAAAAAAAUAAAUUAAUUAAUUAGUUUGAUGCUUUUGAACCUUGAUUGAUUGGAUGCCAUUUAUACAUAAAAAUAGAGUCGUUCUGAUUUCUGUAGUUUAUGUCUUCACCAUAUUUUCAUAAAAAUUCAUAUAUUAUAAACUUUUAUCGAUACAAAAACUCAUACCAAUGGUUACUUUUUUUAUAACAUCAAAUAACAGGGAGCAUUUUCUUACUCAUAAAAAAGGAGUAAGUUAUGGAACAAAUCAAACCCAAGGGUUCAAACCAAAUUGUUUGGGGGCUACACUACAAGCAUCAACAUUCUUUAUACAUUUUGAUAAAAAUUACCUUACGAUUAGACAAACUAGAUAAAAUUCCACAACAAUCUAACAUAACAUUUCAAGUGGAAGCUACUUCAAUUUUGCCUUCGAGCCAUUUGACACAUACCCUAGUAUCCAUUUCCACUAGAAUGUGACCAUCUUGAUUAGUAGUUCAGACACCAACGAAGGACAAGUGCUUCAUCCAAGGUGCAGUCAAAUUUUAGUUGUGGCACGUGUCUAUGAAGGAGAACAACCAACAUAAUGCAUCAAUGUUUUGCCUUAAUUUCUAUGAAAAGCUUAGCCUUACUUCAUAUGAAUAAAAACAACCAACAUUGAACAUUAAGUAUUGACUAAACAAUAUGAAAAGUUUUGCCUUACUUUCUAUGAAUCAAGUUCUGCCAUUGGAUUUUGUUGAAAGCUGAGGGAUCUUUUAACAAAUAAAUCAAUCAACUAACACUAAGAGAAAAAAACCUCACGUGAUCAUUGUGCCAUCGUAUGGCCUGCGCUCAUGUCACCAUUCUCUAGUUUCUGAGUCGCUUUGUAGCGCCUAAGGCUGGGAGGUGCUGACCGUAAUGAAUUUCGUACCAUCUCUUGCUAAUUGAUAUCCCUUGCAGAACUUCAAACCAACUCCAAAACCCAAACAACAAAUAACACAAAUUGGGUUUAAAAUCACAAUAAUUUGAUUUUUUUUUAAAAUUAAUAAUUUGAUAAAUUAAAUAACAUACAAAUUUCAUCACCAUCAAUAAUUUGAUAAAUUAUUUAAAUUGAUCAAUCAUUGUUAAAUAAAAAUUAGGGAAAAACCUAACUGAAUCAUGAAACCUAGAUCCAGUGAUAUACAUAUGAAAUUGAAUAAACAUGAAGGAGAGCCAUGAACGAAAAUUACCUUAACAACCCGAAAAUGACCUCAACACAGUCUGUUGAAGAAUUUAAGGCAGCCAUCGCAGAGGAUUUAGGUGUGAACGGCGAAAUCGAACUUGCAGUCGUUUCUCUGUCACCGCACUGCAAAGGGUUUUGUUUCGCUCGCGUUUCAUAACGUAAACUUUGAAAAUCAAAAUCACGAUAGGGUUUGGAAGGAACCGCACAAUUAAGAGAAUUUGGGAGUGAGAAUCCAAAGUAGAUAGAAGAUAAGCAUACUUAGAAAUCAAAAUCGUAAGGGGUUAGGGAUUGGAAGAGAGAAAUCGAAUGGAUGAAGUGAGUGGCUGCAAGUGUACGUGUCUCUGUAUUGGAAGGGAUAAUGUUCUAAACUUCUAAUUGUGUAAAUUGUGUAAUUUUUAGUUAUGUGUGUAUUAUUUUAUUAUUUUUUUUUCAAAUGUGUUCUUUUUCUUUAUGGAUAAGUUCGGAUUAGUUAAGUUGAUUAUUUUUUUUACUAAUAUUUUUUUAAGGACGAUAAACUAUGUUUAUUAAUAUUUAUUUAUAUAAUUAAAAUAUAACAAAACACGGUGACAUGCAAAUUGUAUAAAAAAAUUAGAAAGAUGUACAAUAUUUUAUUUUUUCUUUUAAUAAUAAUAAUUUGGCCCAUACUUUUUUUUAGGAAGUGACCCAUAAAACUUAAUAUUAUAUUACACUAGCGAAAAGAUGGGCAUUCACGUGCUCGUCUUUCUGCUCUUUUUACUGUGCUAACGUUUGAAAAUUAAGAGCAGUGUUUUUUUAAUGAAAUUUUGAUUUUGAUUAAAAUUAAAAAUAAAAAUGUUUGUUGCUUUCAAUUAUAAUAAACCAAAUCGUUUGAAAAUUAAGAGCAGUGUUUUUUUAAUGAAAUUUUGAUUUUGAUUAAAAUUAAAAAUAAAAAUGUUUGUUGCUUUCAAUUAUAAUAAACCAAAUCGUUUGAAAAUUAAGAGCAGUGUUUUUUUAAUGAAAUUUUGAUUUUGAUUAAAAUUAAAAAUAAAAAUGUUUGUUGCUUUCAAUUAUAAUAAACCAAAUUAACUAGUGUCAUACCCCAUUUUGACUAUUUAGUUCUCAUUUUUACUCGUCUUUUAAAGCUGAGAACUUUCAUCGUUUCUGAAGAAAUUUCGGCAGGUAGGUUACUUUGAAGUACGCGAAAAAUUGGUUUCGAAGCGACAGUUUUAAGUUUUUUAUUUUUAUUUUAUUAUUUAUUUUAUUUUAUUUUCUAUUUGUUUAUUUUAUUUUUUAUUUUUGAAAUUCUCUUAUUUCCUUUUAAAAAAAAUUCUUCUCAUUAUUCUUUCUUUUUUAAAAGGUUUUAAGUUUUUUUUAAUAUUUUUUUUGUGCAAAGUCCAUAUUUGUCCCGAAGUGAAGUUCAACAAAAUAACAAACACAUUUUCUUUCUUUAUUUCACACUUAGACUUUUAUUUACAAGUAAGUAAUUAAUUUAGCACAAGAUAAUUAAAAAAAAAGAGGUUUCUAUAAAGUACUAUAUAGAUGUUUAGGAUGCUAAAACCUUUCCUUUGCGUAACCAACCCUUAAUCUCUUAUUAUUAGGGUUAUUCGAUUUUUCCCCCUUUUCUUGAAAAAAUAAAGCUUGGUGUUGAACUGAAAAUUUACGAGUCAACGCUAAUCAAUAGCUUGAUAUCGAAAAAUCACAGCGACAACUAUGAUUAUAUAUUUCAACGACACCAACUAUAUAACAAAAAAUAUAUAAUCUAAUUUUUUUUAAUGACAUCAACAACGAUAUUUAUUAUAAAAUAAUUUGUUUAAGAGUAUAAUUGAGCUAAUGAAAAAGUAAGUAUAAAUAUAUAUAUUUAUAUCAUGUUUGUUACAUUUUUUUUAUAUUUACAUUUACUCUUAUGUCAUUGUUACAUGUGUUAUUUGUAUUUAAAAUUGAGGGUAUUUUUGGAAAGAGAAGAAAGUCAACCCAAAAGAGCUGAAUGAAGUUAUUUUCUUUAUAUAUAAUAAAAAAAAAAUUAGAAAUGUGGUGUGUUGACCAGGCCAAAGUGGAGGGAAAAUUUGUUUUUUGGUAAACAAGCUUGGAGGGAAGAUUGUCACCAAAAAUUUGAUGUUGGUGAAAUUUUUAUGCAACAAUCUAAAAUUGUCCCCAAAAGUAUCUAAGGGGACAAUUAAUGGUUGUCACCAAAGAAAUAAUAUUGUAACGCUCUAAAAUCGUCCCCAAAGGUAUUUAAGGGGACAAUUAAUGGUUCUCACCAAGGAAAUAAUAGUGUAACACUCUAAAAUCGUCCCCAAAAGUAUUUUAGGGGACGUUUAUCAGGGGUUGCGAAAAUAUUUUUGGCAACAGCCAUAAAACGUUGCCUCAGAGACUUUUAAGGGACAAUUUUUACACGUCCCCUAAAAAAGUGUUGCUAGAGAACAAAUGGUGUAGUGUGCAUAGUUCUAAUUGUGUUGCAUAGUUCUAAUUGUGUUGCAUAGUUCAUUUUCAUUAUGCAAGAAUAAGAACAAUGAAGGGGGAAAUUGUAGAGUAUGUAAUUCAAACUUGUUAUUAAAACUUGUAUCUAAUAUUAGUUAAUUCAAAUAUGAAUGAAGUUUAAGCAAAGACAAAUUUGGUAGAUUCAAAAAAAUUUAGUCUAGACAAUUUUGCGACACUUUUUACAACUUCUCAAAAAUUAUAAAUGUAACACUUUUUUAUUGUUACUAGUGAUACAAAAAGUGUUACAAUAAUGUAACAUUUGCGACACUUUUUAAUUGUUACAGAUAAUACUAUAAAAUGUAACUAAAACUCUUUAGUAACACGGACUUUAUCUAACAAUUGUUCGAGUGUUGCAAAAUUUAAUUAGUAACAUUUUUCUUGAUUUAGUUACAAUUUUCAAGUGUUGCUAAAUGUCAUUAUUGUAGUAGUGAAUUUCUUGAUCGAUCUGGAUGUUCCUCUUUACGCUUUAAUUUUCUAGGUGCGUGUGAGUGAUUGGAUUAUGCGUUUCUUUUUCAAAUUUUGAAGGAAAAUAGGUAAUGGAAGUAGGAGACAAGUACAGAAACCACAACCAUAUGUAGAUAUGAAAAAUGCAAAUAAAUUUGUGAUGUUAAGGAAUUAAGAAAAAGUUAAAUAUUCAAUUGCCUUUGUUUAUUCAUUUUCGGCACAAUAGGAUUCAAUGCGACACCAAACUUGCUAUCUCUAUGCCAUGAAAAACGAAAACAGACACCAAAGAUAACACUAACAAUUCAAUACGACAGUAUUGUGAGAAAAUAUAAUGAUUAUAUGGAAUUGAGAAAAGAAACAUUGUAUGGGAAUAGAUGGAAUUGACAAAUACAGAAGCUGCAAAGAUGCGAAUAGAUGGAAUUGCGAAAAAAAUUAAAUAUAUGGAAUCGAGUGUGCUUAUUGAAUUUUAAACGCUACACUUUGCCGCAAUUGUUACUGUGGUAGACAUUUUUUUUUGAAUUUAUUCCUUCUUUGCUUUAGGUAUUUGUGAUUUUUUCAUUGUGCUUUCUGAUUUGUUUGACUGAUCUGUCAUAGCCUUCUCAAUCAUGAUUUCGCGAUUCUUCGAUAUGAUCUGAAUAAUGUGAAAAAUAGUUCUACGCUUGGAAUGCUAGCAAAGUGAGCUACAUUCAAUCUUAGCAGACUCCUCAAGUUUCCAAUAUUUUCAAGAAACUCACCUUUUAGACAUUAGAUUAUUGAUUCAACCAACCUAUGUAAUUUAACAAAUUUUGCAAUUGUCUAAGUUUAGCAAUAUUUCUUCAACAUAUAUGUUGAAGAAUUAUAUAAUUCUGCAUAGGUCCAAGAGAAAGAGAAUUGAACAUUAAGAAACAAGGCAAAGUGCAUUGGAAAAGUGGAAAACUUAGAAGCAAUGGAUUAUUCGAGAACAUUCCAGAGAAUGUCCAACAUGUGUAUCGAUACAUGAUUGUCUCUAACAAAGAUGAAGACUCCUUCAGUUUUGAAAUCAAAGGUUGUAAGUAUUAUAAGUUUCCAGGGUAGAUACUAUUAUAUACUGGAAGGUUAACAAGUAAUGAAGGAUACUAUAAUAAUAGUAAUGGUGGAUGCCAAAAAUGGGAGUAUAUACCAACUUGUACGGAUUAAGGUGAAGUGUUUCAGAAAAUUAAAAGAGUGGUAGUCCCAGUUAGACAAUACUGUCGAGCGUUACUGAAAUCAUUUAGUAACACAGUCUUUACCUAACAUUUGUCAAAUGUUACAAGAUCUAAAUAGUAACAUUUAUUUUUGAUUUAGUUACAAUUUUGAAUUGUUACUAAAUCUCAUAUCUGUUGUAGCGUGGGACUGGUUGUAUAUUAUACAAAACAUUGUUUGUAAUUUGCACGCAAAUUUUAAAUAAAAUAUUGUGGAUGAUAUACACGGGCUAGCGUAAUAAAAAUAGCAAAAAGAAGGGCAACGUGAGUGCCCGUAAUAAUAAUAAUAAUAAUAAUAAUAAUAAUAAUAAUAAUAAUAAUAAUAAUAAUAAUAAUAAUAAGAAUAAUAAUAAUAAUAAUAAGAAUAAUAAUAGAUAGAUAGAUAAAUAGAUAGAGAGAUAGAUAGUGUUGAACCAAAGUGAGUUUUAGAACAAUGUCUCUAAAGUUUUGAUGAUAACAAUGUAUGAAAGAACAAUUGGAUACACAAAUGUGUGUUCAAGUGUGCAGUACCACAAAAUUAAAUUCUAACUCUGAAGUCAACCUGUUGGUUAUGAAACACCAAAAUUUGAAUGCAAAUGAAUGCUUUUGGUAUUCAAGAGAAGCUCUGAAAACUACGACUAUGAUAUGAAGUUGCACGAAGCCUUAUAGAUUCUAAUGGAAAGCAAAUUCUUAUGUAAGUACACUCUAAUGUACAUGUCCUUGGUCAACUGGACACCUCAUGGUCAACUCUAAUGAACUCUGACCAGUUUUGUCUUUUUUUGGAGAGACGUCACUAUCAAGUUAUGAAGCAUUGUUUAUCUUCUUAUGACCACGUGUACAAAAUAUUGAAAGACAAGGAGGAUGCAACAAAUCAUUCAAAAAGAAGCAAAAGAACACAUCAAGUACGAUUCAAUGAAAUAAUCCAUUAGAGGCAAAGCUUUCAAACCUGAUCAAAGUUUCUAAAGGAAGAGUUAAUGCACAGGCACUUCUUCAAACAACGAAUCUAUUCUCUUCUUCUGUUUAAGGAACUUGAGCAUUUGAAGAACGUAAGAGACUUCACAAAAUUAAGUGUCAAAAGUCUAUUGAAUUUCUUACAAUCUUGCAAUCUUGUAAUUUCUUAAGUAUCAAAAGUCUAUUGAGUUUUAAGUUAGUUUACCACUUUGAGUAUCAAAGUGUAAACACAAUAAUUUUUUUUUUUUGUCUAAACUUUGAUCGUAGAAGUCCUCAAGUGUGAGGCAAGUUUUUUUUAGACAUGUGUAUGUAAGUAAUUGUAACCUUGUGUGAUAUAUUAUAGUGGAAAAUCUUUUGGAAAUGCAAGGGGACUGAACUAAUUAACCUCGAAUUAUGGGUAAUUGCUUGAGUUGUUCUCUUCUCUCUUUAUCUUUCUAUACUUUGUUUUGUUUUCAAACUUUACUUCCCUUUUUGUUUUUCUCACCUUUAGAUAGAUUAAGAUCCGAAAAAGUGUAUACCCAUUUUAUUUGAUUGCUAGGAAGAAGAAAAAAAUACUCACCAAGACAUGAGAAGGGUGGUUUCAGUUUGAAAUCUUACAAUGCAUUGCACAUCUUUGAACAACAAGAUAAGUAAUUAUUUGGCUCUCAUCAGAUUUCAUGUCCCACCAAUUCAAUCAGAGAAGCGUAAUCUUUAUUUUCCACUACAAAAUGUUCCACAAGAGUACCUUUCUCCAACACUUCUUUUUAAAAGAAAAGAAAAAUAGAUCAGUGUACUUUAGCACAAUCAUUGAAGGAUAAGUAAUGGAAAGUUGAUAACAUCACUGUUGUCUGUUUAUUCUAUUGACAUAUUUAGAACUUAAUCUACUAACAAUAUGAUAAGAUACUGUAUUUUUUUCUUUCUAUUUUGAAUAUGCUUUAUUCUAGAAAAGAAUACGUCUUUCAUUUUUGUAAUACUUUUUUGAAUAGUAAAAAUAGUAAUAAAAGGUUGAAUUAUUUUUACUUAUAUGUAUUCAUUUCCUAAUUUGAAUCAUCUAAAUAGAGUUGGAACAAAAAAACCAGAACCGUAGACACUGUGAACAAUGUUUUUAGGGUAAUUAUUAUCUUUACAUAUUAAAGUAAACUGAUCUUUACCUUUAACUUUAAAAAAAGUUAUGAAGAAAGGUCUAGUGCAACAUUUUGCACUGGAAAAAUAAAGAUAAAGUUGAUUUAAGUAAGAGUUGGGAAGUGCAGAUCUUUUUCUUUUCCUUUUUCAAUCCAAAGUUGGGCAGUGCAUAUAGUAAGAGUUUAAAUUAUUCUCCUUCGGGUUCGAUCAGUAUAUUUCUCUUCUUUUUGAAACAAUAUUCAUCGAUCAUGAUAAGCUUUAAGAUAAAGAAACAAGUUGUAUUGAUAUACUUAUGGUUGUGGUGGAUUACUUCUACUAACAUUUGUGUCAUGCAGUUCUUUUAUUUUCUCUGUUUGCUGCACUUAAGGUGUUUUUCCUUUCCAUUCCAAUCGUAAUAUAGUACGGCCGCAACUGUUCUUUUUGUUCAAAGUGUUCGUCGAUUUACAGGUUUUGUCCCUUUAUUUACUUUUUAAUAUGAAUUCAUCUAAGAUAAAUUUAGAGUAUUAUUUCAAUAUGUGUAGUUUAAUUGAGUCCACAACGAGAGGACAGUCGUCCCGACAUAACUCAUAUAAAAUCAAUGUUCUGAAAAUUCUGUUUUAAUUUAAAGCUUUACUACGAAAGUAGAAACAUAGAAAUAUCGCUUACGCGUAGAAAGAGCGGCAACGGUAUUGGACUUAGAAAAUUCAGAUUUUUAAUCAAGUUAGUAGUUAUAACACUUUUCUAAUUAAUUAAGAACUUACUGAAUUAGAAAAGGGAAUUUUAGACAUGUAGUUAAGCACUACGAAAGUAGGAAAUUAUGCGUCUAAAAUCCGACAACGGAUUGCGAAAGCAAACGAUGUCUCUAAUUAGGUAUUUUUCUAGAAAAAUAUUAUAUUCUCGUCAUAGCUAAGCACCAUAAUUUGUAUGAGUAACUUAGGUAAACGAAAAUCAUUGUUUUGGCCUAUCGUUGUUAUUAUUAAAUUAAAUUCUGUAUUUUAUUUUUAACGCGAAACAAAUUGUUUUGAAUUAGCCUUUGAUAAACAAAGAAACGACAAGCCUUUAUACUUAAACCAAUAUAGCCGUACACUUGCGGCGUAUCGUUUGUUACGUUCAAAUUUAUUUUUCUUUUCCAGUUUUCCUUUUUUAUGAAGUUAUCAAAGCAUACAAGUAGUUUUGUAUAGGUUUUGAAAGGUACUCUUACUUUCGGUAACAAUAUUAUUUUUGGUAUAAUUAGCCCCAUCUGUAGAAUGAUUUUAGCAUCAUUAUAUGCAGACUAAUUAGCAUCACCCUGGAGUGGUAAACAUCAAGGCAGCAAGUGGAGAAGAGAAGCAUUUGAGUCACUAUUUUAAUAUUUAGUAACAUUUUUGCUAACAAAAUUAGCUAAAACUGUAUUUAAAAUUGUUUACUAGAGAAUGGCUAUGAUUGAGCUACUAAACGGUAACAUUUUUUUUUUGCAUGUUAGUAAUACUACUCUUAUGGUUACUUAAACCAUUUAGUAACAUGGACUUUACCCAGCAUUUAUCAAAUGCUAUUAGAUCAAAUUAAGUAACAUUUGUUUUUGAUUUAGUAAUCUUUUUCAAAUGUUACUAGAUCUAAUAUAUGUUGUACUUUAACUUGGAGUGAGAUUUAAUAUAUUAAGAUAUGAAAAAAGUUUAUACACCCGUUUAAUUUGAUUGCUAAAAGAAAUGCUCACUAAGACAUCAGAAGGAUGGUUUCAGUUUCAAAUCUUACAAUGCAUUUAUAUUUUUUAAUAGUAAAUAUAGUUAUAAAAGGUUGAAUUAUUUUGUGGGUAACUAUACUUUUUGCAAUUAGGCCUUUGCUUCAAUUGAACCGCAAGAGUGCAAAUUUCUUUAGCUACUGAAUCUUUAAAUUAAAUUUUGAAUAUACUUUUAUCUAGAAAAGAAUGCAUAUUCUCUCAUUUUUGCAACACUUUUGAAUAAUAAAGAUAAGAGGGACAACAAGGUUAAUAUACUAACCAAGCCUCUACCUGGGAAGAGCAAGAGAAACUAAGGACGUCACUUUCCCUCGUUCUUUUCUUCUUUAAUAAAAAAGCACCGUAAGGGCUUAACACUUAUCUGGCAUGCAACAUUGUGGAAGAUUUGGGAAGCGCGGAAUGAAGUUAUUUUCUCCUCAAAGAUUGCAGGGAUGGAUGAAAUUGUAGAAGGGAUCAAAGUAACAUCUUAGAAAUGUUUAAUGCAAAAAAAAAAAAAAAAAAACGCGGGGGAGGGGGGAAACAUGUUUGUAUAAUGAAUGAUACUCAAACCCUUUUAUUUGUUUAAAUACUUAAAUUAGAGGUUGGUUUUUUUACUGGGCAAGCACCUCUUAUAUUGUUCCUGAGUUAUGGGUUAAUUAAGUACUCUUUCUACUUCUCUCCUUUCUAAUAAAUUUUGUUGUUAAAAAAAAAAAAAAAACUAAAAUAAACUUUAGUCAGGUCCCUUGUGAACAGGGACGUUAUUAUCUAUACAUUACUUAUCCUUCAAUUAUUAUUGUAUUAAAGUAAACUUAUUUUAAAAAAAGUAGUAGAGAAACAUUUAGUAGUGGAAAAAUAAAGAUAAAGUUGAUUUGACAUUAACUUUGUGAACUACAAGAAACUCUGAUAAGUGUCUAAAAUCAGUUGUAUCAAAUUUCCAACCCAAAGUUGGGCAGUGCAGAUUGCAAGAAACAAGUUGGUGAGUAUUUCUCUUCUUUUUGAAACAAUAUUCAUCAAUGAUGAUAAGCUUUGAAAUAAAGAAACAAGUUGUAUUGAUAUACCUAUGGUUGUGGUGGAACACUACUGCUAAUAUUUGUGUUGAAGCAACAAGUGAUAGUUUGAAGCCAGGUGAUAAAUUUGAUGCAAAUUCCACGCUAUAUUCAAAACAAGGCAAGUUUGCUCUAUUUUUCGAUCAAACAUUAGCUAGCGAAGAUGCUCACUUGGUUAUAAGUGUUAAUGCAGAUUAUGGCAUUCAGGUGUGGAUGUAUGAUAGAAAUCAUUCCAUUGACUUAGAUUCAGCAGUUCUAUCACUAGACUACUCUGGUGUGCUCAAAAUAGAAUCACAAAAUAGGAAACCAAUAAUCAUUUACUCUUCACCUCAACCAAUAAACAACACUUUGGCCACUAUAUUAGACACAGGUAACUUUGUGCUUCAACAAUUUCAUCCCAAUGGGUCAAAGACUGUUUUGUGGCAGAGUUUUGAUUAUCCAUCAGACGUUUUGAUCCCAACGAUGAAGUUAGGCGUUAAUCGAAAAACAGGAUAUAAUUGGUCAUUGGUGUCCUGGUUGACUCCUUCGCGGACAACUUCAGGUGAAUUUAGUCUUGAGUGGGAACCAAAACAAGGUGAACUGAACAUCAAGAAAAGCGGCAAAGUGUAUUGGAAAAGCGGAAAACUUAAAAGCAAUGGAUUAUUCGAGAAUAUUCCGGCCAAUGUUCAAAAUAUGUAUCGGUACAUCAUUGUCUCUAACAAGGAUGAAGAUUCCUUUAGUUUUGAAAUUAAAGAUCGGAAUUAUAAGAAUAUUUCAGGGUGGACACUAGACUGGGCGGGGAUGCUAACGAGUGAUGAAGGGACUUAUAUUGGAAAUGCAGAUAUAUGUUAUGGAUAUAAUAGUGAUCGAGGGUGCCAAAAAUGGGAGGAUAUACCAGCUUGCAGGGAACCUGGUGAGGUGUUUCAAAGAAAGACUGGAAGACCAAACAUAGACAAUGCAUCAACCAUUGAACAGGAUGUGACUUAUGUUUACAGUGAUUGCAAGAUAAGAUGUUGGAGAAAUUGUAAUUGCAAUGGAUUCCAAGAAUUUUAUCGCAAUGGGACUGGAUGUAUAUUCUAUUCAUGGAAUUCGACACAAGAUCUUGAUUUGGUGAGUCAGGAUAACUUUUACGCCUUGGUAAACUCUACAAAAUCAACCCGAAAUUCCCAUGGUACGUAAGUCUAUAAUAUCAUUUUAAUAAGAUGGGUUCGGAGUGAUUAUUUAGAAAUUGGAUUCCCAACAGUCACCUUAGUUCACGCAUUCAGGACAUUGGUGACUAUGUGAUCUUAAUCAAACAGUUCAAAAAAUGUAUAUUUUAUUUAAAUUUUAUAAUUUAAAAUACUGAGAUUAAAUUUGAACCGUCUGAUCAUGAUCAAACUGUCACUGAUAUUGAAUGCGUGAACAACUAACGGCAAUGGAGCAUUCCAGUUAUUUAUGAAAUAUUUAAAAUUAUCUUAUAAUAUAAUCACUUAUAUAAGCGAACAUUGUCUCCAAGGGGAAAAAGAGAACUCUUCAUCAUACACUAGAGUUAUCAAACAGACUUUGAGGUAUUAAAUUUAAUACUACCUUAUCAAGUAUAGUAAGCUAUUUUAAUUUUGCAAACAAGCUCAAAGAUUAUAGUAGCAAGUUACAUCAAGUUAAGACCAAAAACUAAAGGUUUGAGAUGAAUAUGCUUAUAUCACAUUUCAUAUUGAUUGUGUAUAGCAAAUGCAGGUAAAAAAAAGUGGAUAUGGAUAGGUGUUGCAAUCGGAACUGCUUUACUCAUAUUAUGCCCACUCAUUAUAUGGCUAGCCAAAAAGAAACAAAAAUAUUCACUUCAAGGUAUCUGGAUAUUUAAAAUAGUCUUGUAAGUAGGACUAAAUCCAAUCCCUUUAUUUUCCAUCUUUACCUUCAUUUUUUUUGCUUAUGUAGAUAGGAAAAGUAAAAGACAUAAGGGUCAGAGCAAAGGUUUGGCGGAUUCUAAUGAAUCUUAUGAUAUCAAAGAUCUUGAAGACGAUUUUAAGGGACAUGAUAUAAAAGUUUUUAACUUUAUAUCAAUUUUGGAAGCAACUAUGGACUUUUCCCCUGAAAACAAGUUAGGACAGGGAGGCUAUGGACCUGUUUAUAAGGUGACUUUAAAGUUAAAUUGCAAACAAAUGUUUUUAAUGUGGUAAUAUUGUUUUUGAUUGUUGGUGGCUAUUGUUUUGCACAAAACCUAUAUGCAUUUUUUUAUUAGGUAUUCUUUGUCCUAUUCUUAAUUUUAGUAUCCAUGAUUUCUUUAAAUUCAUAACUUCCCAAAAGUUUGUUAUUAUAAAUAACUACACAAAGUGUAUUACGUUAAGAACCAUAUUUAAAGUAUUUAAGGAAAUGCACUUAAAUUUUGUUCUUUUGUUUUACGACUUCAGGGAAUGUUGGCAACAGGGCAAGAAGUUGCUGUAAAAAGGCUUUCAAAAACAUCUGUACAAGGAAUUGUGGAAUUUAAAAAUGAAUUGGUACUUAUAUGUGAACUUCAGCACACAAAUCUUGUACAACUACUUGGUUGUUGCAUUCAUGAGGAAGAAAGGAUUCUAAUUUACGAAUAUAUGCCAAACAAAAGCCUGGAUUUCUAUCUAUUUGGUAAGAAUAUGUCGAAGUCUAUGUUUUCAUGUUUAUUUUUUUUCAAUGGAAAAUAUAUAUUAUAUGAAUAAAAAGAAUAGAAUUCCUGCACGAGUACAACCAUAUUGAAAUUAGAGUACAAGAAGUACUCAAGUACGCAGGUGAACAAGAGCAAGACUAGGUAUAGAACCCCUUAGUUAGCCAGCCCCAAGACAAAUCCGCCACAAUUCACUAUCGCGGUGCGAAGACAUAAUGGGUUCAUGAUCCCACUCUUAGAAGGAACAGGUGUAAGCAGAACGUUAUCCUAAAACAACUUUCAAGAGGUAAAUUUAAUCAUAUCCACCAAUUGAAGCACAUACGUUUCCCUCCCCGAAAAUAUGUGAGCAUUUUGGGAUCUCCACAACGACCACACAACAGUUUGCUUGAUUAAUAAGAAACCAACCCUCUCCUUUUCCCCCCACCUAGUUCAAACAUAAAACUAAGAAGACUCACUAAAUCUGAAGGUAAAACAAACUCCCACCCCAAACCUCUCCUUUUUCAUGAGAUGUUUUUUUAGGUCAAAUUCAUAUAAUUGUGAUCAUUAUUAUGUAUUGUUUAGAGCAUAAUUACAACAAAACUUUUAGCUUUUAUAACUAAAUAUUUUCUGUAAUUGUUGUGGAUAGUUCGCUAAAAUAACGUCUUAUCCUAACUUGAAAAUAACCAAGUAAAUAUCAUUAUUUAAGAAAACUAAAAUAUCAUAUUGGUUUGCUACAUUUGAGUACUAUACAUUGUAAUAUUAAUUAGUAUGUUUUCAUUGUGAAGAUUGUACAAAAAAGAAGCUGCUAGAUUGGAAGAAGCGUUUCAACAUAAUAGAAGGAAUUGCUCAAGGAUUGCUCUAUCUUCAUAAGUACUCAAGACUCAAAAUCAUUCACAGAGACUUGAAAGCUAGCAACAUACUUCUUGAUGAGAAUAUGAAUCCAAAAAUUGCUGAUUUUGGUAUGGCAAGAAUGUUUACACAGCAGGAGUCCGUAGUAAAUACCAACAGAAUUGUUGGGACAUAGUGAGUUUUCUAAACUUUAUUUGUAUCAAAUAUUUUGUUAAUGAUUUUGUGAAAACUUUAUUUAUUUUUCGAGUUAUGAAUUUUGUGUGUAGUGGAUACAUGUCUCCAGAAUAUGCCAUGGAAGGAGUUUGUUCUACAAAGUCUGACGUCUAUAGCUUUGGAGUGUUGCUACUUGAAAUCGUUUGCGGAAUAAAAAACAAUAGCUUCUAUGAUGUUGAUCGUCCACUAAAUCUAAUAGGACAUGUAUGUCAAUUCUUUCCAUUGAGUUCUUUGUAAUAAAUAUUAUUUUGUUGCUUCUAACUUGAUUAAAUUAUUAAUAGGCAUGGGAGCUAUGGAAUGAUGGUGAGUAUCUAAAGCUAAUGGAUCCAACAUUAAAUGACACAUUUGUUCCUGAUGAAGUGAAAAGGUGCAUUCAUGUUGGUCUCUUAUGUGUAGAACAAUAUGCUAAUGAUCGACCUACAAUGUCUGAAGUUAUAUCAGUGUUGACAAACAAAUAUGUACUCACAAACUUGCCAAGAAAACCAGCAUUCUAUGUUAGAAGAGAGAUCUUUGAGGGGGAAACAACUUCUAAAGGGCAAGACACCGACACCUAUUCUACGACAACAAUUUCUACCUCAUUUGAAGUAGAAGGGAAAAUAUAAGUAAUAAAAAUCGCUUGAAUAUGGUUUUUGUUUAUGAAAUAUAUUCAUUUCAUGUAUCUGUAAAAGUAUACUCGCAAUGUUCCUUUUAAUAUGUACUUUUUCAUGGUAGUUCUCGUUACUCUAUUGCGGAAACCGUCCACUUUUGGACUGACAAAUGGGUAUCUAGAACCAUAUAUAGUUGAUCACUAGAGCAUCCCAGUUCAUAUGCAAUCAUCUUUGACCAUGAAAGUUUCAGACUAUUUGUGGGAAGGUCGUUGGAAGAUUCCUGAUUACUUUCUGCAGAAAGAUGACAGUCUCCACAAUCAAAUUGUUAACAUGGAGCUUCCUUUGAUCCCUGCCUCUGAUAAGCUAAACUGGACAGCUUCAACUGGUGGCAAUCUGACGAACAUGCGAGCUUAUUUACAUCUUAAAGGCAACUUUCCUAAGCUUUCUUGGUGUAAAAUAAUAUGGAAAAAAUGUAUUCCCCUUUCCAGGUCCUUUAUAAUCUGGAUAUGAGCUCAUCAUAGGCUACCUACUUACGAAAAUCUCCAAAAAAGAGGGUGCAUCUUAGCUUCGGUUUGCAGUUUUUGCAUGAAUCAAUCUAAGACAUCUUCUCACCUUUUCCUGAACGGUCCUAUGUCGUUGAAAAACUGGAGUUGGCUUCCUCCGUCGGACAUCCAUUCACUAAAAUUGACAUACUACCCCCAAAUACACAAGCCUUAAUCCAAGACACCCAACCCUCUUCAUCAUAUAUUAUAAGAAACCCCAAUCCACCGAAUCAUAUCCUUUUCAAAAUCAACCUUGAAAAUCAAACAUUCUUUUCUCAUCUUUUUCGCCAAUUCCACUACCUCGUUAAUUAUCAUCACAUCAUCUACUAAUUUCUAGCUUUCGAAAAGGCCGAUCGGGAGUUUGAGAUAACAAAAUUCAUAACUCCAGAUACUCGACAACACUUUUGAAAGCAAUUUAUACAAGCUCCCUGACAAGGAAAAUGGACGAAAAUCUUUUAAAGCAAAAGGGGAUUCUUACCUUUGCUUUAUGAAAGGAGACAUUUCGGAAGUCUAGCAUUACCAUGAAAUUAGUCAAACAAUAUAUGAAUCUCAUGCUUCAAAAGAUGCCAAAAUUCCUUGAAGAACAAAAAAUUGAAACCAUCCAUCCCCGGACUCUCAUUACCAUCACUAUUUUUCACCACUGCUUCAAUUUCCUCCAAAAGAAAAAGGCUCUAUCAAUCUCACAUUCUCCUCGUAUGAAAGAGAAACAAAUAGGACACUAUCCAACUUCGGUCUCUCCCACGGAGUAGUCGAAACAUGCUCUUUAAAGUACUCCACCACCACUCUCCUCACCUCUCUUGGCUCUUGAAUCCACUCGCCGCCCACCUUUAAGGUCUUAAUACCAUUUCUAUUAGUCCUUGGCUAUGAUUGAGCUACUAAUUAUGGGUAACAUUUUUUGCAUGUUACUAAUACUAUUCUCAAAGGUUACUAAAACCAUUUAGUAACACGGGCUUUACCUAACAUUUAUCAAAGGUUACUAGAUCAAUUUAAAUAACAUUUUGUUUGGCUUAUUUAUACCUCUAAUCCCUGUAAAUAGCGCUCAAUUGAAGUUUGGUAGUCCCUGAACUUACUAAUCUCUUCGAACAACCACUGCAAUUACUAAUCAUUUACAAUUUGGUCCCUCAACCAAGUUAAUGACUGUCAGUACGUGAAUGGACCAAAGUGCCCAUGAGGAUCUCAGACAUAUGCGUAAUGACCGUUUUACCCCUUAGUUCAUCUUCUCCCUCUUCAUCUUCAAAACCCAUCACAAGAAUAAUCUAGAUUAUUCAACAAUUAAACUGUUCAAAAUUUGUUUGAACAAGUCAACAUAAAUUCAGAAAGGAAAAACAAUUGUUACAAUUAACGAUGUGUAUGAGUCAUCUAUAAGCAAUCAAAGAAAGCAAAGAAUCUAUGAUUUAGAAUAAAUCAGAUUGGAAAAUAAAAGAUUUAAAAGCAUAGAGUGAAGACUAGCAAAACACUGUUACAAUAACAGGUAAGUAAUUUUCAAUUCCCUUAAUUCCAUUUUCAAUCUCUUUAUCGUUUUCACAAUUCCAUUAACAAUCCAUUUUCAAUUUUUCAUUCCUUGAUUUUGCAGAAUGCAUUGCACGAAUGUUAAACCUAAACCAACCAAUAAUAGAAACAACAACAACAACGAACAAAGAAGCAUACAAGAUCCUAAUCUACGACAAAUUCUGUCAAACAUUCUAUCACUGUUAAUUCACGUCAAAGAUUUUUGCAAACAUGGUGUCACUCUCUAUUUCCUCAUCGACAAAGAUCGCAAACCUGUUCACGAUGUUCCAGCCGUUUAUUUUGUUCUUGCAGUCAUUGUUUCAAAAGAUUAGGAAGUUCAAGGACCAAACAUCAAACGAGCUCUAUUUGUAACCUUUUUUUUUUAAGAAGAAAAUAUGCUUAUAGCAUUUCAUUAAUAAUAAUAAUAGAUUCAAUACAUUGUGGGAUUGCAUAAUAAAUUGUGGGACUAGCUAAGGAAAUGACUUCUCUUGCUAAGGCAUGAGCUGCCAUAUUCGCUUGUCGCCUAAUAAACUCAACCCUAGAGUUUGUGAAGGAAUGGAAAAAUUGCUCUCAACACUCAUCAAUAAGAUUGCCAAAUUCUGUGCAAAACAAAUUAUUACGACCUCUUUUUUAAAAAACAGUUUAUUCAAAACAACUUAUUUAUGCAAAACAGCUUAUUACGACCUCUUUUCAUAAAACAACUUAUUCCAAACAACUUAUUUAUACAAAACAGCUUACUACGACCUCUUUUUAAAAAACAACUUAUUCCAAACAACUUAUUUAUCCAAAACUGCUUAUUACGACCUCAUUUUCAAAACAACUUAUUUAUACAAAACAAAUUAUUACGACCUCAUUUUCAAAAACAGCUUAUUCAAAACAACUUAUUUAUGCAAUACAGCUUAUUACAACCUCUUUUCAAAAAACAACUUAUUCAAAAUAGCUUAUUGAUGCCAAACAACUUAUUACGACCGCUUUUUCAAAAAUAGCUUAUGCAAAACAGCUUAUUAAUGCAAAACAGCUCAUUAAGAUGUCUUUUUCAAAAACAACUUAUUCAAAACAACUUAUUUAUGCAAAACAACUUAUUACGACCUCUUUUUUAAAAAUAGCUUAUUUAAAACAGCUUAUUUAUACAAAACAGCUUAUUAAGACCUCUUUUCAAAAACAAUUCAUUUAUACAAAACAACUUAUUACGAUCUGUUUUUCAAUUAUCCAAAACAGCUUAUUAAGGUCUCUUAUCAAAAACAGCUUAUUUAUACAAAACAAUUUAUUACGAUCUCUUUUUCAAAAACAACUUAUUCAAAACAACUUAUUUAUAAAAAACAACUUACUACGACAUCAUUUUCAAAAACAGCUUAUUUAUGCAAAACAGCUUAUUACGACCUCAUUUUCAAAAAGAACUUAUUCAAAACAACUUAUUACGAUCUCUUUUCGAAAAACAGCUUAUUGAUGCAAAACAGGUUAUUACGACCUCUUUUUUGAAAACAACUUAUUUAUGAAGAAAAAAAAGCAACUUAUUACGAUCUCAUUUUCAAAAACAACUUCUCUAUAAAAGAUAUCGUAAUAAUUUAUUUUUCAUGAGAUAAACUGUUUUUUAAAAAGAGACCGUAAUAAGUUGUUUUGUAUAAAUAAGUUGUUUUUUAUAAAGUGAUUGUAAUAAGUUUUUUUUAUUCUAUAAAUAAUUUGUUUUUCAUGAGAUAAGCUCUUUUGAAUAAAUUAGAAGAUAAAUUACAAAGUAUAAUACAAUGUAUUAAUUUAAGAGAAAAAAAGGGUAAAAUAAUAAAAUUAUAACAUAAGUCUUUCAUCUCCUUUCCUUGUUGGUGUUUUAAUUAACUCCCAAACAAGGGGAAGGUUUUUCCUCAUUUCUCCCUUCCCUCUCUUUCCUUCCCUUCCCCUCCUUAGCCUUUCCUUUCCUUCCCCUUAAGACUCGAAAACAAAGCCUUAGCUACUUAAUCUUUUAAAUUUUGAAUAUGAUUUUAUCUAGAAAAAAUGCAUUUUAUCUCUUCUUUGACAAGCUAUGUUUCUCUCUCUUCCUUUUUUCAAACCCUAACUGUCACAAUUUUUCUUCUUUUUGAUCUACCAAAUAAGGGUGAUUUAAAGUCAAUUUUGACCCAAAAUAACCCCUUCGAAAUGUUUUUCUUUCUCUUUUAGUUAAACAAGUAAUUUUCACAUAUUUUCAGCUUUCUUCCGUUUAUUUUUGUGACUGUAUAAUGUAGCAUAAUUUAAUCACAUAAUUUAUAUCCCGUCUUUUCAUUAUUUAUAUCACAUAAUUUAAUUUCAUUACUACAGUGGGAGGAGGAGCAGCCGGGGGGUUAUGUGGAGGUGGAGAUGUCUGGCAGUGGGAGGAGGAGAUGUUAGUGGAGUGUAGGGCUUUACUUCUUGAUGUUCUCUUGUUUCCGAGUGUUUCAGAUAGAUGGGUUUGGCUUCCUGCUCCGUCAGAUGGAUACACUGUUAGUGGUGCUUAUCAUGUGCUAACCUCUCAGGACCACUCUGGUGCGACUACUGAUGCGGAGUUGGUGUGGCACAAACAGGUUCCCUUGAAGAUCUCAGUUUUUGCAUGGAGACUCUUCCGAGAUCGUUUACCGACGAAGACUAAUUUGAUUGCUCGACGGGUGUUAUCGAAUGACAUGUCCUUAUGUGUCGCUGGUUGCGGUCAUCCGGAAACGGCCCAACAUCUAUUCUUGUUGUGUAAUACUUUUGGUUCGCUUUGGCAUAUGGUGCGUGAUUGGAUUGGUUGCUCGGGGGUGGAUGCUGAUAAUUUAUCUGACCAUUUUCUUCAGUUUACUUAUUUGACAGGUGGUGCUAAGUCCAGACGUUCUUUUAUGCAACUUAUUUAGCUUAUCUGUGCCUGUGUUGUGUGGAAUGAACGAAAUAAUCGUCUGUUUAAUAAUGUAAUAACUCUCAUUCCCCGUUUCUUAGACAAGGUCAAGAUGUUGUCCUUAUCUUGGUUAAAAGCUAAAAAAGCUACUUUUGUGUUCGGUACUCAGCAGUGGUGGUCAUGCCCUCUUGUGUGUUUGGGUAUAGGCUGAUGUAGCUCUGUUGGGUUGGUUGUUUUGUUGUAACUCUUGGUUCCUAUUGUAGUCUCUAUGGCACACCUUAUGCUUUAGGGACUGUAUUGUUAUAUAAUUUCAUUUCGGCUUUUUCAAAAAUAAAAUAAAAUAGAUUCCUGCAUUUUUUUAGAAAUAAAUUCGUAAAUCUUAUGGGUCAAAGAUCACUUAUUGAUCUACAAUAGACAUGUGUUGUUCAAUUUGGACAUAAAAUUAUCUCUAUAAUAAUAAUCAAUAUAUAAAUAAAAGAAUCAAUCAAAUAUAAACAAGAGAGAUUAAUAAACUUUUCUCUUUUGAGAUUGUUGUUGAAUUAGAACACCGACCACGACUUUAUCAACAUCUUUGACAAUCAAAUCAAAUAGAAUCAACAACUACAAAACGAACAAACCAUGAAUAGUCUGAGACGUGCUGAUCGCACUAUCCUUCAUGAUUUUUCACGUAAUUAUACGCUAACCCCCCAAGAUUUAACAGACCCAUCUCGGUUAGAAUCGAGGAUACAAAACUGACAAGAAGAAUUUUUUCAGAAAGAUGAUAAAACCCAAAGUUGUUGACUGCACAAAAAUUAAUAUAUGGGGCUUUGUAAUUUUGAUAGGAAAGAAUAGUUGUUUUUCGUUUCUAUUGAUCAAGGGCUAGCUAGAAGAAAAGAGCUUAACUCCACUUCUACUGUUUUUUCACGUCAAAAAGGUUUUUUACAUUGAUGACAAGUAAAAAAUUGACUUUGUCAUGCCAAAUAUAAAGCCUUAAUAAUUGCUUUCAAGUUGUGAACGUUUGGAAUAAAAUGUAACUGCCUUUGACUCAGUAAACAAAGUUAAAUGAGCAUAAAUAAAUGGUUAAUUGCAUUAACUUUUGAAAUAUAUCAUAUAAAAAACAACAACAAAACCCGUGUGUCGCAUGGAUCGAAAGUUUAGUAUAUAAAUAAAAUGUAGUCCGGUGGUGCCAUUUGAAACCCUAACCCACAAAAAACGAUCCCCUUAUUCAUCUUAUCUUAAUCUUAAUCAUCAUAAAAACAUAAUAAUUAAACGACUACAUGUACAAUUAUGAUUCUGCAGCCCCACUUUUCUUUUGCACAUGCUUCAUGAAAAAUUACAAUAAUUGCUAAAUCCUAAUUGGAGCACAAAGAAAUUACAUUUAUUGCACUCAAUCAUUCCUUAGACAAAAAGUAGUCACCUAGGCUGUCGUUUUUUUAUGAGUGGUGAUACAUGUACAUCUCCAUGUGGUAAUGCACCUCAUACACCCACACAAAAUCCUGACAUGUGGCAAGGAAAAGGGAGAGGAGAUGAAAGAGAAAGUAUAGUUGUGAGAUGAAUUUAUCAAAACAUUCUUAAUGCAUGAAAGAGAAAGUAUAAUAGGGUGUAUGAUUAAAGGGUGUUCAUGUAACAUUUUCCUUUUUUUAUUGUGAUUUUUAUGACAGGAUUUUGGCGGGGUAUGUGUUUACAAGUUAUGACCACUACAAGAAAACAUUUGAAUUCCAAGGCACAUAACUUCCAGGAAAACAUCUAUUUCUUCUCAGAAUGUCACUUUUUUCCGAGGAAAAGUGGGCCUCGAAAAAUCGUUGGUUGCGAAUAAGACACGGAUAUUUUAUCCUUCCCUCCCUUUCAUAAAUGUUGUGUGACAUGGCGAAAACAACAAAUCCAUGAAUUCCUUCCUCAAAUUGUAGUUUUAAGUUUGAUUCUCCCCGUAAAUGUUCUAUCGUACAUCCAACUUCGGUAGUAAUAAUAUUGAUCCAUCUUCUGCGUUGUUGACAUUUGGCUAAAUUCUUAAAAAAAAAACUAUUUAUGCAUUUCUUAAAAAAAAAAAACUAAUAUUUAUGCAUAUUAUAUUUUUUUUAUACCAAUAUCCAUGCAUAUUUAAUCAAUAAAGUUAUAUAUAAAUAAAUAUAUAAUUAACAAGACAUAUGUAAUAAUAUUAAAUUGAUUUAAUAAACUAACCUGAUCAAGUUGUAAUCCGAGGAAAAAUAUCCAGUAAAAUCAACUGCGACAACAACCGCAAUAGACAUGCCUAACUACAAAAAAUACUAACAAAUUUGUUAUUUAAGCAGUAAAUAAAAAAAAUUAAGCAUCAACAAGAAAUUGAUAAUGAGAUUAAAAAUAACUAUGAUCAAAAGUAUAUAAAUAAUUAAUGUCUAUGAGAUUAUAGAUAAAUUGAUAAAUUAACGUUGUAAAAAAAACUAAAUCAACAAUAUUUAUAAAAUCAAAAUACAUUUGAAAAACUUACCAGUAAACCAAUAACAAUGAUCUAAUGCUAAAUUUCAAUAGAUUUAAGUGACAAUGUUUUUAUCUUUUUGAUGAAAAUGGUGAGUGAUUUUUUCUUUUUGAUCGAAAUUUGGUGAAAAUGGUGACAUAUUGACGAAAAAAUCGUAGUGUUGAAAUGGAAAAAUGUUAGUAUUCUGGACAGAUUUGUAUAUACUACCGGAGGUAGGUAAAAAUAAUUAAUUUUUUACAACUGUCACAUAUGCUUUCCUAGGAAAAAGACUCUGUAUUCUAUGCCAAUACCGACAACGCGGUUUCAGCAGAGGAUAAAAUGAUAACAUGUUUUCCGAGAAAACUUUUCCUCGGUAGUUCCUCGAUAUUACAUCUGGAAAAGCGUGCCAGUGUAGUAGUGAUUCUGACAUGUACAUUUCGAGGAAGUUUUUCCUCAGAAAAACCUUUAUUUAGCGAGUAAAUAUGCGUCCUCGGAAAUAUUUGGUCGGAAUUUCCAUGUUUUCUUGUAGUGGACAAAGGAUUUUGGAAGGUAUGUUUUUACAAGUAAUGUUUAUAUAACUAAUGUUAUAUAGUAUCCCCUCCCAUUUUUUAUGUAGUGAUGAGAUCAAGAGUUCCGUAAGCAUGUGGAAGGAAACUUAUAAAAAAAUGCCUUAAAUAACUGAUGGCAUUAAUUAUUUGGUUAGCUUAUGGUUCUUUAUUCUUAUUCCUAUUGGUUCAAAAAAAUAUUGAGCUUGAUUGAUAAGUUAAUUUUUGAAUUGCAUGAGAUUGACAUUGAUUAAUAAGUCUAUGCAAUUUAGGUUCUUAACAUUUGAGUUGACUGAAAUUCAUUGGUCAAUUUCUCAACAUCACAAGGAAGAAUAGCAUAUUUACUGAUUCAUGUUUUUAGCACACAAGCCAAUAAGGUGAUAACUAAUUCAAUCGGUUUUGGAAUGCAUUUGGCUAUUGCAAGGAGCUCAUAUAAUUCUCUUGGAAUUUUAUUGGAGUAGGUCAAAGAAAUAUUUUUAAGACCAUUCAAAUCAAAUGAAGACCUCACGCUACAAAUGAAGAGAGCAUUCAUGAUCCAUCCAAAUUACUUACUAGAAGCAUCAAUUCAUCAAUAUUUUUAAGAUAAUUCAGCUCAUGCAGUCAGUUCCUUUUACAGCCGUUACAAGUCUGCAUUUGAUUCCAUACCUUGCAUUUUAUAAGGUUCUUUGAGUGACUUGAUUUAGAGCUAUAUAAAUGCACUCAUUUUGUACCAAAAAAAUAAAAAUAAAAAUAAAAAAUAAAAAAUAAAUGCACUCAUUUUAUGAAUUAAGCCAGCUUGAAUUUUGAUAAAAACUACAAUGUGUGUAUUUUGAGUUAGAGUUUUUUCCUCUGAAUUCUUGGAUUAGAACUUCUAUAGUGUUGGUUCUACCGGCAGGUCGUGGUUAGGGUCGCACUUUUGUUUGAUGACUUUGGUUCUACCGACAGGUCAUGGUCAUGGUUAGGGUCAAGUUCCUUUUCUGUUUUCAAGAUGGUCCAUUAUCGGUUACGUAUCAUUUAGUCUUUUUGUAUCUAUGUAAUUAUCAUUUUCCUUACCAAAUAACCAAAUAAUUGAGUUCAAUUAGUUAAUGAACACCACCAAGAACGAAUUACUCAGAAUAUCCCAAAUUCAACUCCUAAAAAAACAAUUUUAGGUCAGACUUUACAAUGGUUUCAACCAAGAUCUUGAAUACCAGGAGCCCUUUUCCAUUAGAACCAAAAGAUUAAUACCAAAAAAAAAAAAUCAUUAACAAAUGUUUGUAAGAGUUAUAUUGUUAAUGUCAAAUUCUAUUUAAUUUAGGAGAAUGCUAACCAUUGCCCUUGGGGCAUUGGAUAAGGGGAUAAAAAUAGAAAUAUAGUAUUGGAAAAUUGUGAAAAGUGAUAAAUUUAACUUUUUAAAAGUCAAAAUAUCGUUGAAAACAAUGCAAACAUGCUACUUUUGAUUUCCUUAACCAAUGGUUAGCAAGACCGUUUUUUUAAUAUCAAUACUCCAAUAUUUAGUAAAAUGUUGAUAAUAAAAAAAAUUUCAAAGUCGAACCACCAUUGUUAUAAAAAAAUCCUAACCCUCCAAAAUAAAUCUCCAUGUUCAUCUUAAAAACAUCAUUAAAGGCUACAAGUGCAGUUAUGAUUAUGCUGCCCCACUUUUUAUUGGCACAUGCUUCAUAAAAAAUUACAUUAAUUGAUAAAUUAUAAUUGGAGUACCAAUAAAUGACAUUUAUUGCUCUCAAUCAUUCCCUACACAAAAGUAGGCAUUUGUGCUAUUGUUUUUGUUGUGAUUUUUAUGGCAAAAUAUUUGGUUGCCCAUGUUUACUAGUAAUGUUUAUAUAACUAAUGUUAUAUAGUAUGCCCUUCCAUUUUAUAUAAAUAUCAUUCUUCUUAAUAAAUGUUUGUUAAAUUUUUAAAAGUUGAAAUUAUUCUCGUUCGGGUUUAGUGAGUAUAUUUCUCUUCUUUUUGAAACAAUUAUCAUCAAUCAUGAUAAGCUAUGAAAUAAAGAAACAAGUUGUAUUGAUAUACUUAUGGUUGUGGUGGAUUACUUCUACUAACAUUUGUGUUAAUGCAACAAAUGAUAGUUUGAAGCCAGGUGAUACAUUGAAUUCCAAUUCCAAGCUACGUUCUAAACAAGACAAGUAUUGUCUUUUAAUCAACAAGGGUGGUUACUUAACUAUAGCAACUGUUAAUCGCACAGGAGUGUGGUUUUAUAAUCGAAAUCAACCCGUAGACGUAAACUCAGCAGUUUUAUCAUUAAACUACACUGGUGUGCUCAAAAUAGAAUCUCAAAAUAGGAAACCAAUAAUCAUUUACUCUUCACCUCAACCCAUAAACAACACUAUGGCAACUAUGCUAGACACCGGUAACUUUGUGCUUCAAAAAUUUCACCCAAAUGGUACAAAGAGUUUAUUAUGGCAGAGUUUUGAUUAUCCCGACGACACUUUGAUCCCAACGAUGAAGUUGGGAGUUAAUCGAAAAACAGGACAUAAUUGGUCAUUGGUUGGCUUCUUCGCUACCAACUCCAGGUGAAUUUAGUCUUGAAUGGGAACCAAAACAAGGGGAAUUGAACAUCAAGAAACGCGGCAAAGUGUAUUGGAAAAGCGGAAAACUUAAAAGCAAUGGUUUAUUCGAGAACAUUCCGGUGAAUGUUCAACGUAUAUAUCAAUACAUUAUUGUCUCUAACAAGGAUGAAGAUUCUUUUGCUUUCGAAGUUAAAGAUGGGAAGUUUAUACGAUGGUUCAUUACCUCGAAGGGGAGGUUAAUAAGUGCUGAUGAGGGAGAGAUUUAUAGUGCAGACAUUGCUAAUGCAGAUAAGUGUUAUGGAUAUAAUAGUGAUGCCGGGUGCCAAAAAUGGGAGGAUAUACCAACUUGCAGGGACCCUCGUGAGGUGUUACAGUGAUUGCAAGAAGACCAAGCAGAGAAAAGGCAGGAAGACCAAGCAGAGACAAUUCAACAACGUUUGAAGAGGAUGUGACUUAUAGUUACAGUGAUUGCAAGAUGAGAUGUUGGAAAAAUUGUAGUUGCAAUGGAUUCCAAGAAUUGUAUGAUAAUGGGACUGGAUGUAUAUUCUAUUCAUGGAAUUCGACGCAAUAUGUUGAGGUGGUUUCGAAUACCUUUUACACCUUGGUAAAGCCAACAAAAUCAGCUCCAAAUUCCCAUGGUACGUAAGUUAUAAUGUCAUUUUAAGUGAUUAUUUAUUUUCUGCUUAUUCAACCGUAGAAACUGCCUUCUUUCAGCCCAUUAUAUAACCUUAUAAUGAGACUCAUCAUCUCUCAGUAUUUUAGAACGCAAUCUAAAAUAUUUUAGAACGCAAUCUAGAAUAUUUUGGAACACAAUCCGAAAUAUUUUGAUAGGCAAUCUAAUAUAUUUUAGUGCAUGAUCUGAAAUAUAUUUUGAUACUCAAUAGUAUAUAGGCUAAACUGCACUUUUCGCCCCUAUGUUUCAAAAUGUUGCAAUUUUGGUCCCCUAUUAAAAAAAAUAGCAAUUUUGGCCCCUUUCAUCCAAAAAUUGCUGAGAAGACGCCACGUGUCCCAAAAAAGGGGCCAUAAUCGCAACUUUUUGUAAAGAUAAGGGGUCAAAAAACAUAUUUCCCUUAUGUUAGGAGGUCAAAAGAGCAUAUUUCCCUAAACAUAGGGGGUCACUUUUGCCAUUUUUUUUAGGGUUAAUAGUGUUUUUCACCCCUGUAAUAUAGGCCAUUUUCGGUUUACGCCCCUGUAAAAUUUUCGGUUUGAUUUGCAUCCUUGUAAAACUUUUUUUUUCCAGAAAACACCACUCCCCCAUCCAACUCAGCAAAUUCGCUUACGUGGCGCUGAUUUGGCAUUUUUUUUCAUUUUUUAUUAUUUUUAAUUGGCCACGUGUAAAAAAAAAAGUCCACAUCAGAUUUUACUUUAAAAAUAUUUGAAAAUAAAUUUAAAAAAAUAACAAAAAUCAUAAAAAUAUUCAGUUUUUUUCAAAAAUUUUAAAAAUUAGAGAGAAAAAAAACUAUUAAGAUUUUUUUCGAUUAAAAAGAUUUUAAAAAAUUCUGAAAUUUAAUUUGAAAAAUACAAAAAAAGUAAAUUUUCAAAAUGAAAAAAAGGUCAGAUUUUUUAAAAAAAUUCUGGAAAAAAAUUUAAUUUUUAAAAAUCUGGAUACAAAUUUAGAGGGUUUUAAAAAAGUCGUGGAAAUUCCAUUUUUCCUAGAAUUAAGCUUUUCCUUAGAGGAGGUAGUAAUCAUAAAUCUUAUAUUUGUUGAAUGAAAUGAUUUUUUUCCCAAUAUUUUAUUAAAAUUGUGGAAUAAAAUUUUCGACUAAAAAAACUGAAUUUUUUCUAUAUUUAUUAUAUACAGAUUUUUAAAAAAAUUUCAGAUUUUUUUUAAAAAAAAUCUGAACUAUUUUGUAAUUUUGAAAAUUUUCUUUUUUUUUUUUUUAUUUUGAAAAUUAAAUUCUAGAAUUUUUUUAAAUAUUUUUAAUUUUUAAAAAAAUCUGAUUAUAUUUUCUAAUUUUUUAAUUUUUUUGGAAACAAAUAUGACUAUUUUUUUGUUUUUUUAUAUUUCGGAAAAAAUCUUAAUUUUUUUUUAAAUUUUUCGAAAAAAAAACUGAAUAUUUUUUUGGAUUUUUUUUAUUUUUUAAAAAUAAAAGGAUAUAUUUUUGACACGUGGCCAAUUAAAAAAAAUAAAAAAUGACAAAAAAAUGCCAAAUCAGCGCCACGUAAGCAAAUUUGCUUAGUUGGAUGGGGGAGGGGUGUUUUCUGGAAAAAAUUUUUUUUACAAGGAUGCAAUUCAAAUCGAAAAUUUUAUAGGGGCGAAAACCGGAAAUGACUUAUAUUACAGGGGUGAAAAGCACUAUUAACCCUUUUUUUUAAUAGGGGGCCAAAAUCGCAACAUUUUGAAACUUAGAGGGCGAAAAGUGAAGUUUAGCCUAAUAUAUAUUUAUGUACUGAAUAACAUAUUUAUGUACUGAAUAAUAUAUUUUUGUGCUCAAUAUAAUAUAUUUUGGUAGACAAUCUAAUAUAUUUUAGUGCUUGAUCUGAAAUAUAUAUUUUGAUACUCAAUAAUAUAUAUUUAUGUACUGAAUAACAUAUUUAUGUACUGAAUAAUAUAUUUUUGUACUCAAUAUGAUAUAUUUUGGUACUCAAUUGAGAUAUUUUUGUACUAAAUGAAUUACUUGUUCCCAAAGUUUCUCACUUAUUAGUUGUGAAAUUUCUCUAUAAAUAGAGAUCUCACACAAUGCAUUAUGGACCCCGAAAUUCACAGUUGAUGCUUCCUGUGCUUUUCUUCUCUUCUCCCUUCUUCGAUUUGUCUUGACGAGUCUUUCUUCUUUUUCUACUCCUUUAUGUCCGUUUCGAUUUUAAGGUAUUUUUUUAUUUUUAUUUUGCUUUUAUGUUAUAAAAAAUGAAAAAAAAUUAGAUUAUGUUAAGAGAUUUUGUGGUGAUCCAACCUCGCUUUAGCUUUAGGUUUUAUUUAUCAUUCAAAAUAACAAAAACAUUCAAAUAACAAAAACCACAAAAAUAUUUUCAUAAUAAACCUUGAUUUUCAAUCAAGUGAUCGUUCUUUUUAUUUUUGUUUUUCUUAAUCAAAUUUUGUUUUCCUUAAUCAAAUUUCAAAUAGAUUUUAACUCUACUUUAAGACUAUUCUCUUUCAAUAUAAAAAAUACAAACAAAUUCUUAUUUGCCACUUGGCUUUUCAUUUUAGAACCUUUUUCAAAACUAAUAAAAAACACAAAAUAAAUCAAAAGUCAAUUUCUACCCCGAACUACGAGGUUUUGAUCCUCAUGGGUACGUAGGAAGAUGACCAUGUCCUUCCAAAUCAAUAAAAAAUGUAGAUAAUUAGGUCUCACUUUCUUUUUCUUUUAACCAUCACUUUAAUUCCAUUUCUUUUAAGCAAGCAAGUUUAUAACACAUUAAUUAAAUAAAAUCAAGAGGUUCCCGUAGAGUAUUACGGACAUAAAGGGUGCUAAUACCUUCCCUUUAUGGAACUAACCCCAAAAUCUUUUCAAAAUGGGGUAGUUUGAACUUUUUUUCCCCUUUUUCUUAAAAAUUAAAUGUUCAGUCUUAAAAUAAUUAGUGAGUCAAAAGCUAAUCAAAUAGCCUUGAUCUCCGAAAAAUGACGCGACAAUAUUAAUAUUAAAAAAAAGAUUUACUUAUUUAAAGAUAUUAAAUAGGGUUUAAUCUCAUUUUUAAUAAAGAUAUUAAAAAAAAUUAACCCGUUAGUCUAUUUACUACAGAUGUAACAAAGUUACUUAUUUAAAGAUAUUAAUAUAAAAUAGGUCUUUAAGUAACCGUGCAAGUCAUAUAAGGCUUCCAAAAAUGUCACAUUAGGACCAUACUUAUUUCACUUCUCUUCAUAGGUGCGAAGAAAUAGAGUGGAGACACCAACUAUUUUCUAUUUUCCACAUUUCUCCUUGGGUUUGAUGAUAUAUACUACUAAUAUAUACUUCCAACUUUUUUUGUUAUAUAAUCUUUUUCUUUUUAAUAUAGAAAAUUUAGAGUGAGAGGAUGACGCCCUAGUAUAAAAUCUUAUAUCAAUUAUAAUUUGUAAAUACCAUACUAAAUAUCCUAAUACAAUUCAAAUGUUAUAAAUAUAUAUUCAUGUACAGAACUGACCCAUAGCAAAUAAAUUGAUUGGUCUCAAAUGAUUGAUGAACUUCACUUAAGAGAAAAUAGCUUGGAAAAACCCAAAUUCGAUUUUUGAAUGAAACAAUUCUUCAUCAAACUUUACAUAUCGUUUGACCCAACUCGAAGUUUCUUGGUUCCCAUUUUCAUAGGAACCAUAACGUUAACACUAAAAAAGAACCGGGUCGUAAGAUAAAUCUAUGAAACAAAGAAUUUCAUGGUAUUGCUUUGGCUCAUGGUCAUUUUCUUGAUUUAAUGUAUACUAUUUUCAAAAUAACUAGUUACAAACCCGUGCUUCGCAGGGGUUCAAUAACGUAUUCGAUAAAAAAAAUCUUCUAAAGAAGAGAUGUUAAAACGACGGAACAUUGUGAUUCAUCAUAAAAUAUGUAUGGGCAGAUUAAGAGAGCAUAUAAUCAGUUUAUGAGAUUAGGAAUUGAUAUAAUAUUUAGGAUGAAAACAAUUGGAACCAAUAAAGGAACCAAUGAUGUGUGAAUUUACAUUUUAUCCAAAAUUAUAAAAAAGAGUGUUAUUGUUAUAGAGUUACCAAAAAAUGAUUGAUGCCCAUAUUUACAUCAAAUGAAAUCAAGCAAAGAAGUAGCAUCAAUGAGUGAAGAUAAUCGAGUCAAGGAUUAGAGUUAAGGUGAUUGGUUGAAAGUGCGGAUCAUGAACACCAAAUCUUUAUUUGGGAACGACUUGAACGUGCAUAUUUUUAGGUGGCUUCUCUAGAUCAAAAAUUAAUUUAUCACCUACCUCUAACAUAUGUUCUCGGCGAAAUUUGAACCAUUGGCCGCCUAAAUAUUUUUUGUAACUUUCUCUCUUUGUCGUUAUCAAGCGACACUUAUACCUUUUUUGAGCUUGUUUGUGGAUGAGUGUGAUUGUUUUCCGUGUUCCUUUUAGAAAUGUCAUUGAUAUCUCAUUGGAGAAGUGCUAGGUAUAAAACAAAUUACAAUGUUAAUUAGAAGUUAUAUAUAUAUGUACAUUUAUAAAACAUUUAGCAAAGCAUUAUAAAGAUUUACUUUUGAAAAGAGCAUGUUUUAUUUUAUUCAAGAGGUUAGGAAAACAACAUUUCAAUUAACAUGAUACUAAUUGGAACUAAUGAAGGAACCAACAAUGUGCAGAUUAACGUUACAUAAUAGUUAAGUUUAUAAAAGAGAUUGCAAGUUUCAUAGACUAAUCAAAAAGGGAUUUUUGCCAAUAUUUACACCAGACAAAAUGAAAAGAACAAAUGAUAUCCCAAAGUUAAGAUAGUUUACGACUACAGUCCAAAGCGAUGCGUCAAAAUGGUAGAAGUUUAAAUAGUUCAACAACAAAGAUCUACUUUGGAACAACUCGAAUUUGCAAGUUCUUCUGUGACUUUUCGAGAUCAAAGAUGAGCUUACCACCUUCUUCCAUCAUUCGUUAUUUGUAGAAAUUGAACCACUCCCCACCAAAGAAAUUUUCAUAGCUUGCUCUAUAAAGGUAGCUUAACUGAUUUUAAGCUAAAGAAAAUGUAGCAUGACGUCUAAUUUAUCUUCCAAUUAUCUUCGUAUAAAGUCUAGAUAAAUGUAUGCAUGUACAUUAUAUGUACUCCAUUGACCAAUUAACAUUGUUGAAACAAAUGAAAAUUAAGCAUCACUUCCGCAUGUGCAUAUAUAGCUAGCACCAUUUUACAUUGAUGUCUCGAACAUUUGGUGCAACUCUCAUAAUACAAUCCAAACUGGUUAGGAUUGAAUUUAGUUGUUUUCCAAAUAGUGAUCCAGUAUGUUUCCUAACACAAAUUAUGCACAUGAAAUAAAGAAUAAUGCAAUAUGUAUUUUUAAUUUGUGCGUAAAAAAACUCAAAGCAUGUUUGUGCAUAAAAAAAGCAGACAUUGACUAAGUUUAUAAAUUCAACAACUGGCCUAAUCUGAGUCAGUUUGGAAAAAUCGUUGUACGAAGUACAAUGACAAGAAGUCGAACUCUGACUUAAGUUCUAACUGAAGCUUUGACUCUGAGCUCACGAAACAAUUCAAGAAACAUGGUCAAAAAACAAUCAAAUCGGAUUGUGAAAUAAUAAGUUACUCUAACACUGUAUUGUGAAAUCAUAAUGCAAACUUAUAAGUCUUAAACUUCUCAACAACCGGAUGAUGUAGGUUGAUGAGCAGCCUCGAACCUGACCAAUUGUUACAUAUAUUUGGGUUGCCAUUGACUACAAAAUGGAAGCAAAGAACUCAAGGUAAAUAGAUGGUAAAUGAUAAAGCUACGAAAUAUUUUUCCCAUAGUGUUACAUCAACUAUAUUCCCACUACAUAAGGAAAGACAUCUUUCGGGUCAUUAUCAAACUUAUACAAAAUCCUAUCAUCCGAUGCUGACAAAAUAGAAAAUAAUACCUUUUCUAUUUAGCAAUGUUUAGUUUUUUUGAAUAAGAAAAAGAUAUGCAUAGUUUGUUACGAUAUAAAGGUGUAAUAUAUAUAUAUAUAAGAUAAAUAUAAUUUUUUUAGGCAUCUAUAUCUUUUUUGAAGAAAAGACAUCUACAAUUUUACUUUUAAUUAAAAUCAAAAUUUUAUAAAAAUUAUACGCAUUAACGUAACAAAAAAACAUACACACAUAAAGUAUUACUCUAAACGCUAAUAUGUGUGUCUGUAUAUCUGCGAGGUUGAAGAAAGAAAAUAAAAAUAUUUUGUAUUAUUAAAUGAUAGCGUGAAUAAAAAUAUUUUAGAGGUUGUUAUGAUUAAACGAUAUUUAAAUUAAAUAUAUAAGUGAUAAAAAGAUAAUAAAAUUUAUUUGAAAAAAAGGUAAAAAAAUUAAAUGGAACCUCCUUAAAAAAAUUAAAUGGAACGGCUAAAAAAAAUUAAAUGGAAGAAAAAAACAUAUUGAAAUAUAAUAUUAGAAAAUAAAAGAAAAAGUUCCUAACGUGAAUUGAAGAGAGAUGCUUGUGAAAUAAAUUUUCGAGAAGUAGUUUUUUGAAGUAGCAUUCAAACAACUUUUGGCCAAAGCUCAUUCCAUUCAAUUUUAUGCAUUAAAAAAAAGUAUUUUAUGCAUUGAAAAAAAAAACCGUGUCAAACGGUAUCUUAAUCUCCCACAACGGAAGUGUAGAAGCCACCGAAUUUGAGAGAAAAAAUUAGAAAAUAGUUAAAAAUAAAAAAUUGGAAAAUAGUUCAAAGUUUUUAAAAAUAUGAAAAUUGGAAAAUAGUUAAAAAAAAUCGGUGAGGUAGCACUCAACCAAGAAAUACUAAAAAAAAAUAUGCAUUAAUGUAACAAAAAACAGACAGACGGACACAAAAUAUUACUAUGGACAAUCCAAACUUUGCCAAGCUAUCAUGAUAGAAACAAUAGCCAAAUGAUUCCAAAAUGUCAUAUUUAUAAAUGAGGAUUCUGAAGUUGAAGUAUUAGGGUUUGGCAUCAAGAUAAGACCAACAAAAUUAAAUGUUUGAGAUGAAUAUGCUUAUAUCACAAUUCAAAUUGAUUUUGUAUAGUCAAUGCAGGUAUAAAAAGGUGGAAAUGGAUAGGUGCUGCAAUUGCAACUGCUUUACUCAUAUUAUGCCCACUCAUUAUAUGGCUAGCCAAAAAGAAAAAAAAAUAUGCACUUCAAGGUAUAUCAAUAUGGAUACUUUAAAACUGUCAAUGCAAGUAAAACAAGAUGGAUAUGUAUAGGUUCUAUCUUUAUCUUUGAUUUUUUUGGUUAUGUAGAUAAGAAAAGUAAAAGAAAGGAAGGUAAGAGCAAUGAUUUGGUGGAAUCAUAUGAUAUCAAAGAUCUUGAAGAUGACUUCAAGGGACAUGAUAUAAAAGUUUUUAACUUUACAUCAAUCUUGGAAGCAACUAUGGAAUUUUCCCCUGAAAACAAGUUAGGACAGGGAGGUUAUGGACCCGUUUAUAAGGUGACUUUAGUUAAAUUGUAUGUUUUAAAAGCAUGUUUUAAAUUACUAUUAAAAUUAUGGCACAUGCAUCAUGUUGCAAACAAGUGUUUCUAAUGUGGUAGUGUUGUUUUUCAUGGUUGGUGAUUAUUGUUUCGGACAAAACUUAUAUGUAUUUUUUUUAGGUAUUUUUUGGUAUGAUUCUUAACUGUAGCAGCUAUAAUUUCUUCAAAUGUAUCAAAGUUAAGAACCAUAUUCAAAUUAUCUAAAGAAAUGCACCUAAAUUUUGUACUUGUGUUUUACGAUUUCAGGGAAUCUUGGCAACAGGGCAAGAAAUUGCUGUAAAAAGGCUUUCGAAAACAUCUGGACAAGGAAUUGUGGAAUUCAAAAAUGAAUUGGUUAUGUGAACUUCAGCACACAAAUCUUGUCCAACUACUUGGUUGUUGCAUUCAUGAAGAAGAAAGGAUUCUAAUUUAUGAAUAUAUGCCAAACAAAAGCUUGGAUUUCUACCUAUUUGGUGAGAAUGUGUGAAGUCUAUAUUUGUAUGUGAUGUUAUCCUAGCUCAUGUUUUAUUUACUCAUUAGUUAGCUAUGGAAAACUAAAUAACAUUAUGGUUUGGUACUUUUGAAUAAUAUAAAUUUUAACGUUAAUUAUUAUGUUUUCAUUGAGAAGAUUGUACAAAAAAGAAAUUUCUAGAUUGGAAGAAGCGUUUCAACAUAAUAGAAGGAAUUUCUCAAGGAUUAUUCUAUCUUCAUAAGUACUCAAGACUCAAAAUCAUUCACAGAGACUUGAAAGCUAGCAACAUACUUCUUGAUGAGAAUAUGAACCCAAAAAUUGCUGAUUUUGGUAUGGCAAGGAUGUUUACACAACUGGAAUCCACAGUAAAUACCAACCGGAUUGUUGGGACUUAGUGAGUAUUCUAAAAUUUAUUUGUUAUAAAUGUUUUUAUGAUGAUUUUAUGAAAACUUUAUUUUUUGAAAGUUAUGAAUUUUUUGUGUAGUGGAUACAUGUCUCCAGAAUAUGCCAUGGAAGGAGUUUGUUCUCCAAAGUCUGAUGUCUAUAGCUUUGGAGUGUUGCUGCUUGAAAUUGUUUGUGGAAGAAAAAAUAAUAGCUUUUAUGAUGCUGAUCGCCCACUAAAUCUAAUCGGACAUGUAUGUCAAUUACUUUCAUUGAGUUUUUUUUAAUAAAUAUUACCCGUUCUUCAUAAUUUAAUUAUAUUAUUAAUAGGCAUGGGAGAUAUGGAAUGAUGGUGAGUAUCUACGGUUACUGGAUCCAUCUUUAAGUGACACAUUUGUUCCUGAUGAAGUACAAAGGUGUAUUCACGUUGGUCUCUUGUGUGUAGAACAAUAUGCAAAUGAUCGACCUACAAUGUCGGAUGUGAUAUCAAUGUUAGCAAACAAAUAUGAACUCACAACCUUACCAAGAAGACCAGCAUUUUAUAUUAGACGAGAGAUCUUUGAAGGGGAAACAACUUCCAAAGGGGAAGACGCCAUCACCUAUUCUACGACAACAAUUUCUACCUCAUGUGAAGUAGAAGGGAAAAUAUAAGUAAUAAAAAUCACCUGAAUAUGGUUUUUGUUUUUGAAAUAUACUCAUUUCCUGUGUCUGUAAAAGUAUACUCGCAAUGUUCCUUUUAAUAUGUAUUUUUUUCAUGGUAGUUCUUGUAAUUAAUAUAUUGUACUAUAUAUGAGAUUUUUCAUAAUCGUUGUUAAAAAAUUUCUUAGUCCAGCACUAAUCUCUUUUAAAUUCUUACAAGUCUUGUUUAUAAAUGCGAGAUAACAAAUUAGUUCCAUAAAAAUUGGUUUAUGAAAUGCUUGCCAAUCAAUCCCAUAUCUCUGCUAUUUAAAAAGCAUGCUUAUCAAUAUCUAUCUACAGUACCUUUGUAGCCCCUCUCUCUCUCUCCAACUAUCCUCAGUUAAAACCGCCGCAAAUGUGUAUCCUCGAAUUCAGUAACAGCCACUGUCAGAUCAAAAAUGUGUCGGCGUCGAUCUAUUGGAGCUACAGUGAGCAAACGACAAAAUUGUUUCUCUCGUUGUCUCCCAUUUCUCGUUGUCUUAUUCUUCUUCCUUUUUUCUCUCGUUUGGUUCUAUUAAUUUGCAUUUGUGUUCUUAUUUAGGAAAGAUGUGAAUGGACUAUUACUUGUGUCUUUCACAAUGCCAGUGUCGUCAUGAGUAUAACAAUUUGUUUAAAUUUGAGUUUAGUAAUCUUAAAGCUGUAUCAGAAUGAAAAUUAAUGAUAAUUUAGGAUGAAAUUGUAUUGAUUUUGUGUUAUUGAACUCAAAGUUUAAUAAUAUUCAUAUUGUAUGAAUUUUCUUUUGGUGCAUUUCAUUGAAUAGGUUGGCUCGGGAAAUGGUGGAAUAGUUCAAUGCAGUUCAUGCUUUGAAUCAUGGUAUUUUAAUUUGGUUUCGUUCUACUUUAUUAUAUACAUAAAUAUUGAAUUUAAAUCCAAGUGUUUUGGACAUUAGUAGAUAGUCUUCUUAAAAAAUUGGAAUCUGGUUUAUCUGCGAGUUUCCUCUUUGAUAUGAAAAUCUAUUACUUUAAGAUUGUCCAUACAUGUCUUUUACAUCAUCUCAAUUAGUACUUGAUUUUAUACUUCAAAGUUAAGUUAUCAGUAGCUGAAACAAUAUUAAUAAAAUUAAAGCUCUUAAUUGCAUGAUAUUAUCUAGGGAUGAAGGCACUUCACACAUAGAGAUACAUUUUUAUGAUUGAUGAGCCUUGCCUUGAGAUUAUUUCCCCUUUCAAUAAUAAAUUUAGAAACAAGGUACGUGUUGUUAUUUGUUCGUUCAUCAAUCUAAUGUUGGUUACAUCUGUGUUAAUGAUUUUGUUUUCUUCGAUUGGUUUGAGAGUUGCUUGCAUCACAGGAAGAUAAUUAACAUUGGUCUGAACUCAAUUUUGAAUGUAUUCUCAUCUUCUUGUUGAAUUCAUUUUCUAUUGGGUUCGACUUUUGUUGCGCAACAAAUAUAAUGCUCUACAGAUCAUCUCAGUUCUCCAAUUUGACUUUGAUCCCUAGGAUUCUUCACUCUUAUUUAGGGUUCUUGUCUCUUUCUCGCUGAAUCCCUAGUUUUCACAGUUCAAGGAAACAUUAUUUUGUUUUUCCGCUCUUUUUUUAUCCUCCGUUGUUUAGUUUUCAGCUCCAAUUCAUCGUUGUUAUAACUUCUUUUACAUUGGCAGGUAUAUGUUUUAACUUUUUAGGUAUGGUAAUUUUUUUCUUCAUAUUUAUGAAUACUAUCAUUUUAUCAUGGUUUAUGUAUUAUAACUCUUAAUUGUUGUCUUUUUGAUAUUUAUGGAAGGAAAAAGAUAUUUAUAGUGACAAAUUAGACAGAGAAAUCAUCCGGAAAGCACGUGGCAUAAUGUUUGAAGCCAACUUAUUAGCACCCCACCCAGCAUGUUUUCCGCCCAUAAUGUUUGAGGUUAGCUUCAUAUUAGAUGGCAAUUGUGGUAAACAAUUUAGUUAUUGAAGUCAUUGAGCAUUUGAGGCUUUGUUUUCGACUUCAUGUAUUUUUAUACACACCAAGACAUAACAAGAACCAUUUUCUUUGUGAUUCUUAAUUUGAUCACUUUAUAAUUUUUUUAAUUUUAAAAUUUGCAUCUUUUGUAUGUUUGAUGCAGAAGAUCUAGAUGGUGAUCAUGAAUGAUAUAUUCAAUAUUUGUUUAUUUAUCACAAUAUAGAUUAACUAAAUUUGUAUCUAAAAUUUAGUAAUAUUUAUGCCAUCAAAAUUAGCUAAAACUGUAUUUAUAUUUGUUUGCUAGAGAUUGGCUAAGAUUGAGCUACUAACCGGUAACAUUUUCUUCAAUGUUACUAAUACUACUCUCAAAGGUUACUUAAACCAUUUAGUAACAUGGACUUUUUCCAACAUUUAUCAAGCUUUUGAUUUAGUAACCUUUUUCAAGUGUUAGUAGAUCUAAUAUAUGUUGUACUGUAACUUGGAGUGAGAUUUAAUAUAUUAAGAUCUGAAAAAAGUUUAAUUUGAUUGCUAAAAGAAAUGCUCACUAAGACAUGAGAAGGAUGGUUUCAGUUUCAAAUCUUAGGAUGCAUUGCACAUCUUUGAACUCCAACUUUUUGGGAUAGGAAAUUUGUAAACAAACUAAUCAUUGGCUCUCAUCAGAUUUCGUGUGCCACAUAAAUCAAACCAACGUUAUCUUUACUUUCCACUACAUUCCACAAGAGUACCUUUCUCCAACACUUUUUUUUUUAAAGAAAAAAGAAAAGAAAGAAGAAUGGAUCAGUUUAAUUUGACUCAAUUAUUUAAUGAUAAGUGAUAACAUCACUGUUUCCUGUUCCUACUUCCUACUCUUGACAUACUUUUGAGCUUAAUUUACUAACAAUGCAAUUUUAAUAUAGGCAAAAGUAAUAUAAAUCAAAUAAAAUGUUAAGCUACUGGUUUAUUUCUUCUUUAUAUUUUGAAUAUGCUUUUAUCUAGAAAAGAAGACAUCUUUCGUUUUUGCAUUAUUUUGUAGGUAACUAUACUUUUUGCAAUUAGGACUUUCCUUUUUGCAUCACUGUUUCCUUUUUGCAAAUUUCUUUAGCUACCGAAUCUUUUAAUUUUGAAUAACAAAGAAAAGAGCCAAGCCUCUACCUAGAAAAUAAGAUCAACCAACCUACAAGAUGAAAGGUUCAAAAACCAUUCAUAUUAGAAGCUAAAGUCUUGACUUUGCCCGAACAAGACCUGAACUAUUGCAAUAAAUAAUGAAAAUUUGUAUCCUUAUUAGAAAAGGAGUACAUCAAUUCUGAAGGUAGCUCCUAGAAUGCCUACAUUACAAAAGCCUAAACAAGAAGAGGGUUAAUGGGAAUAUGGUUGAGUUUGGCUUCGCCAAAGGUUCAAAUUUUCUCUUGCCUAGUAAUUCUUGUAGACUCCCGACUUGCUCAAAUUUGUCUAGAAGAGGAUGGUGUUAGUUUGGAAUGUGUGUGGUGUCCUAGAAUUCGAGAGCUGGAGGAUCACUUGUUUUGUAGAUUAACUUCAUUGCAGACAUUUGGUAUUCGAUUUUUAAAUGGAUCGGAACGAGGGGUCACUCUACCUGGGAGUGUUGUUUCCCUCCUUCUCUUCUUCUUUAAUAAAAAAAAGCACCGUAAUUAAGGGCUUAACACUUAUCUGGCAUGCAACAUUGUGGAAGAUUUGGGGAGCGCGGAAUGAGGUUAUUUUCUCCUCAAAGAUUGCGAGGAUGGAUGAGAUAGUAGAAGGGAUCAAGUUAACAUCUUAAGAGAUGUUUAACGCCAAAAAAAGAAAAGGAGAUCAUGUUUGCAUAAUGAAUGAUACUCAAACCCUCUUCUUUGUUUAAAUACUUAAGUUAGAGGUUGGUUUUUUUUGGGGCAAGUACCUCUUAUACUUUUCCCGAGUUAUGGGUUAAUUAAGUACUCUUUCUACUUCUCUCCUUUCUAAUAAAUUUUGUUGUUAAAAAAAAUAAACUUUACUUAGGUCCCUUGUGAACAUGGACGUUAUUAUCUAUACAUUUACCUAUCCUUCAAUUAUUAUUUAAUUAAAGUAAACUGAUCUUGUCUUUUUCCUUUUAAAAAAAGUAGUAGAGAAAGGUAGUCUAGUUUGUGCAACAUUUAGUAGUGGAAAAAUAAAGAUAAAGUUGAUUUGACAUUAACUUUGUGAACUAGAACAAACUCUGAUAAGUGUCUAAAAUCACUUGUAUCAAAUUUCCAACCCAAAGUUGGGGAGUGCAGAUUGCAAGAAACAAGUUGGUGAGUAUUUCUCUUCUUUUUGAAACAAUAUUCAUCAAUGAUGAUAAGUUUUGAAAUAAAGAAACAAGUUGUAUUGAUAUACCUAUGGUUGUGGUGGAACACGACUAGCAUUUGUGUUAAAGCAAUAAAUGAUAGUUUGAAGCCAGGUGAUAAAUUGGAUGCAAAUUCCAACCUAUGUUCUAAACAAGGUAAGUAUUGUGUUCAAUUCUCCCCUACUUUACAAAACGAAGAUGCUCACUUGAUUGUAAGUGUCAAUGAGGAUUAUGGCGCAGUAGUAUGGAUGUAUGAUAGAAAUCAUUCCAUUGACUUAGAUUCAGCAGUUCUAUCGCUAGACUACUCCGGUGUGCUCAAAAUAGAAUCACAAAGUAGGAAACCAAUUAUCAUUUAUUCUUCACCUCAACCCAUAAACAACACUUUGGCUACUAUAUUAGACACAGGUAACUUUGUGCUUCGACAAUUUCACCCCAAUGGGUCAAAGACUGUGUUGUGGCAGAGUUUUGAUUACCCAUCAGACGUUUUGAUCCCAACGAUGAAGUUAGGAGUUAAUCGAAAAACAGCACAUAAUUGGUCAUUGGUGUCAUGGUUAACUCCUUCGCGGCCAAAUUCAGGUAAAUUUAGUCUUGAGUGGGAACCAAAACAAGGUGAACUGAACAUCAAGAAAAGAGGCAAAGUGUAUUGGAAAAGCGGAAAACUUAAAAGCGAUGGAUUAUUCGAGAAUAUUCCGGCCAAUGUUCAAACUAUGUAUCAAUACACUAUUGUCUCUAACAAGGAUGAAGAUUCUUUCACUUUCAAAAUCAAAGAUCGGAAUUAUAAGACGUUAUCUUCGUGGUAUCUGCAAUCAACAGGGAAAUUAAGUGGUACUGAAGGAGAUAUUGGAAAUGCAGAUAUGUGUUAUGGAUAUAAUAGGGACGGAGGGUGCCAAAAGUGGGAGGAUAUACCAACUUGUAGGGAACCUGGUGAGGUGUUUCAGAGGAAGACGGGAAGACCAAACAUCAUCAAUGCAUCAACUACUGAAGGUGAUGUGAAUUAUGGUUACAGUGAUUGCAAGAUGAGAUGUUGGAGAAAUUGUAAUUGCUAUGGAUUCGAAGAACUAUACAGUAAUUUUACUGGAUGUAUAUACUAUUCAUGGAAUUCGACACAAGACGUGGAUUUGGAUGAUCAAAAUAAUUUUUACGCCUUGGUAAAGCCAUCAAAACCAGCCCAAAAAUCCCAUGGUACGUAAGACUAUAAUGUCAUUUUAAUUAGAUUGCUUCCAAGUGAUUAUUUAUGAAUUGGAUUUCCAGAAGUCUACUUAGUUCACGCAUGGUAACUGUGAUAUUAAUCAAACAGUUCAAAGAAAAGUAUAUUUUAUUUAUAUUUUAUCAUUUAAACCACGGAGCUGAAAUUCAAAAUCUUAAUCAAAUGGUCACUGAUAUCCGGAUUGCAUGAAUACGUGAAAAACACGGUUAUUUAGAGCAACUCCAGCGGUAAGUUUUGUAAUAAUUGUUGAUGGAGUUGGCUAGCAUGUAAUGAUAGUUGCUUUUUGAAGUAACCGUUAUUUUUGUUACUUUGAUUAAAAUAACGAUAAAAUUAUCACCUUUCUAAAUUUUUGAACACGUUAAAUUGUUUUAUGCUGUUUUUAUUUUACUUUGAAAAUUAUUCUACUUAUAAAUUGUGCACAUUUUAAAAUAUUAAACUGAGUUUUUUCUCAUAAUUUUAUCUUUGUAUUUCUCUUAUUAUUUUUAACCUUUUCAUAUUAAUAUUAAGUACAAAUAAUUAAUCCCUAAAGAAAAAAGUAGAAAUAAUUAAAUUAUAAUUUUAAGAUGUGAUAAAAUUGAAUAUAAAUAUUAUAUUUGAGGUAAAAGUGUGAGACCAAAUAUGAGUUUUAUAGAGUUCAUCAUUGGAAUGCAAAAUACAGGCAAAAUUACAUAAUUUGUCUCUUAACUUAAUUUCAUGUAAUACUUUCGUCUUUUUUUUUCUUUCUUGAAUUUCAACGAUAUGAUUAGGGUUUGGCAUCAAGAUAAGAGCAAAAAUUAAAAGUUUGAAAUGAAUAUGCUUAUAUCACAAUGCAAAUUGAAUGUGUAUAGUCGAUGCAGGUAAAAAGUGGAUAUGGAUAGGUGCUGCAAUCGCAUCUGCUAUACUCAUAUUAUGUCCACUCGUUUUAUGCCUAGUAAAAAAGAUUCAAAAAUAUGCUCUACAAGGUAUAUGGAUACAUUAAAAUAGUACAAUAUGCAUUUACUAUAUACAAUCCUUUUUUUCUAUAUUUAUCUUUUAUUUUAUUUUUUUUGUUAAUUAGUAGAUAAGAAAAGUAAAAGAAAGGCGGGUAAGAGCAAUGAUUUGGCGGACUCCAUUGAAUCCUAUGAUGUUAAAGAUCUUGAAGCUGACUUCAAGGGACAUGAUAUAAAAGUUUUUAACUUUACAUCAAUUUUGGAAGCAACUAUGGACUUUUCCCCUGAAAACAAGUUAGGACAGGGAGGCUAUGGACCAGUUUAUAAGGUGACUUUAAAGUUAAAUUUUGUUAAUGAUUAGGUUUGUUUAAAAACAUGUUUUAAUUUACUAUUACAAUUAGUGCACCAUCUCAUGAUGUAAGCAAAUGUUUCUAAUGUGGUUGUAUUGUUUUUUGUGGUUGGUGAUUUAUUGUUUUAAACAAGCCUUGUAAGCAUUUUUUCAUGAUUUUUAUUGUAUGGUUCUUAAAUGUAGCAUCCAUAACUUCUUCAAAUUCAAUUGUUUCGCAAAGUUUGUUAGUAUAAUUUACAAAAAGUGUAUUGAGUUAGGAUUCGUAUUAAAAUUAUAUAAGGAAAUGCACCUGAGUUUUGUCCUUUUGCUUGACGACUUCAGGGAAUCUUGGCAACAGGGCAAGAAGUUGCCAUAAAAAGACUUUCAAAAACAUCUGGACAAGGAAUUAUGGAAUUCAAAAAUGAAUUGGUACUUAUAUGUGAACUUCAGCACAUAAAUCUUGUACAACUACUUGGUUGUUGCAUUCAUGAAGAAGAAAGGAUUCUAAUCUAUAAAUAUAUGCCAAACAAAAGCUUGGAUUUCUAUCUAUUUGGUGAGAAUAUGUUGAAGUCUAUAUUUGCAUGUGAUGUGUUUUUAGGGAACGUUCAUAAAAUUGUGAUCGUUAUUGUGUAACGAUUAAAGCACAAUGACAACAAAACUAUUGGGUUUUAUUAACUUAUCAUUUUAUGUGACUCAUUAGUUAGUUACAGAAAAUUAAAAUGGCAUUUUGAUUAGCUACUUUAUGAGUAGUAUUCAUUUUAGCAAGAAAUGUUGUGUUUUCAUUGAGUAGAUUGUACAAAAAAGAAGUUGCUAGAUUGGAAAAAGCGUUUCAACGUAAUAGAAGGAAUUUCUCAAGGAUUACUCUAUCUUCACAAGUACUCUAGACUCAAAAUCAUUCAUCGAGACUUGAAAGCUAGCAACAUACUUCUUGAUGAGAAUAUGAACCCAAAAAUUGCUGAUUUUGGUAUGGCAAGAAUGUUUACACAGCAGGAGUCUGUAGUAAAUACCAAUAGAAUUGUUGGGACAUAGUGAGUUUUCCAAACUUUAUUUGUUUCAAAUGUUUUACUGAUGAUUUUGUGAAAACUAUUUAUUUUUUAAAAGUUAUGAUUUUUGUGCGUAGUGGAUACAUGUCUCCAGAAUAUGCCAUGGAAGGAGUUUGUUCUACAAAAUCUGAUGUCUAUAGCUUUGGAGUGUUGCUGCUUGAAAUUGUUUGUGGAAGGAAAAACAAUAGCUUUUAUGAUGUUGAUCGCCCCUUAAAUCUAAUCGGACAUGUAUGUCAAUUACUUUCAUUGAGUUUUUUUUAAUAAAUAUUACCUAUUCUUCGUAAUUUGAUUAUAUUAUUAAUAGGCAUGGGAGCUAUGGAAUGAUGGUGAGUAUCUAAAGCUAAUGGAUCCAACGUUAAAUGACACAUUUGUUCCGGAUGAAGUGAAAAGGUGCAUUCAUGUUGGUCUCUUAUGUGUAGAACAAUAUGCAAAUGAUCGACCUACAAUGUCUGAUGUUAUAUCAAUGUUAACAAACAAAUAUGAACUCACAACAAUACCUAGAAGACCAGCAUUUUAUGUUAGAAGAGACAUUCUUGAUAGAGAAACAACUUCUAAAGUGCCAGACACCGACACCUAUUCUACAACAAUUUCUACCUCGUGUGAAGUAGAAGGGAAAAUAUAAAUAAUCAAUAAAUAUAUAUGUAGAUUGUUCAUACACUCGUUUGAAACAGAUUUUGUUCUUUGAAGUAUCAAAAAAUGUAAGCUUGAAUAUGGUUUGGUUUUAUGAAAUAUUCAGUGUCUGUAAAAAAAAAUUCAAAAUGGUUCUUAAAGUACGUACUUUUUCAUUGUAGUUCUUGUUAAUAGAUUUUAGUCUAAAUUAGAUUUUCAUAGUCCAUCACCAACAUUUUUGAUUUCUAACAAGUCCUAUUUAUAAAUGGCACAUAACAAAUUAUUUCUACAAAAAUGGUACCUGAAAAGCAUGCCAAUCACAAAAAUGGUAACCUAUUAGCACUAGGCAGAGGACGAAAUUUAAUGCAAUGGAGUUCCAAAGCUAAUCUAUACUAAUUUUUUGUAUGAAAAGGCAUAUUUACCUCUGGAAUCCUUUCAAUCAUUUUUUACUUUAAAACUUGUUCAGCUUCCGUUACUAAUUUUCUAUACUAAUUUUUUGUAUGAAAAGGCAUAUUUUUUAUUUUAAUAUAUUAAGAUCUGAAAAAAGAGAAUACACCCGUUUAAGCUGAAUUUACUACUUCCUACUCUUGACAUACUUUUGAGCUGAAUUUACAAACAAUACAAUUUGGAUAUAGGCAAAAUUAAUGUAACUCAAAUAAAAUGUUCAGCUACUGGUUUUUUUCUUCUUUAUAUUUUGAAUAUGCUUUUAUCUAGAAAAGAAGACAUGUUUCAUUUUUGCAAUAUUUUUUUUUUUUUUUUAUAGUUAAGAUAGUAAUAAAAGGUUGAAUUAUUUUGUAGGUUACUAUACUUUUUAAUUUGCAAUUAGUUCUUUCCUUGAAUUGAACCGCAAGAGUGCAAAUUUCUUUAAGUGCAGCAACAAGAAGGGGGUUAAUGGGAAAUGGUUGAGUUUGGCUUUGCAAAAGGUUCAAAUUUUCUCUUGCCUAGUAAUUUUUGUAGACUCCCGACUUGCUCAAAUUUAUCUGAAAGAGGAGUGUUAGUGGAUGGUGUUAUUUCAGACUCUGUGUGGUGUCCUAGGAUUCGAGAGGUGAAGGAUCACUUGUUUUGUAGAAGUAACUUCGUUGCAGAGGUAUUCGUUUUUUAAAUGGAUCGGAACGGGGGUCAUUCUACCUGCAAAUUUUCUUUCCCUCCUAGAUUAUUUAUCUUCUUUAAAUAAAAGGCAUUGUAAGGGCUUAACACUUAUCCAGCAUGCAAUAUUGUGGAUGAUUUGGGAAUCGCGAAAUGAGGUUAUUUUCUCCUCAAAGAUUGCGGAAGUGCAGGAGAUCGUAGAAGGUAUCAAAGUAACAUCUAUAAAGUUGGUUUCUUGCUAAAAAAAAGGGGACCAUGUUUCUAUAAUGAUUUCAAACCCUCUUCUUUGUUUAAAUACUUAAGUUAGAGGUUGGUUUUUUUUGGGCAUGUAACCCUUAUACUUUUCCCAACUUGUAGGUUAAGUACUCUUUCUACUUCUCUCCUUUCUAAUAGAUAUGGUUGUUAAAAAACAAAACAAAAAUCAUAGCUUUCAUAAGAACACCUGCUUUAGGCUUACGUACUCUUUGUAAUAAAAGAAAAAAAGCACACCUACUUGAAUAACGUAUUAUUUUCUUGAAAGAAAAAAAAUAAACAAAUUCUUUUCAUUCGUUAUAUCACAUAAUUUAAUUUCAUUACUUCAAUUUAAAAAAUAAAAUAAAAAAUAAAUAAACUUUACUUAGGUCCCUUGCGAACAGGGACGUUAUAAUCUAUACAUUACUUAUCCUUCAAUUAUUAUUGUAUUAAAGUAAACUUCUUUUAAAAAAAGUAUAGUAGAGAAAAGUAGUCUAGUUUGUGCAACAUUUAGUAGUGGAAAAAUAAAGAUAAAGUUGAUUUGACAUUAACAUUGUGAACCAGAAGAAACUCUGAUAAAGUUGGGCAGUGCAGAUUGCAAGAAACAAGUUGGUGAGUAUUUCUCUUCUUUUUGAAACAAUAUUCAACAAUGAUGAUAAGCUUUGAAAUAAAGAAACAAGUUGUAUUGAUAUACCUAUGGUUGUGGUGGAACACUACUGCUAAUAUUUGUGUUGAAGCAACAAGUGAUAGUUUGAAGCCAGGUGAUAAAUUGAAUUACAAAUCCAAGCUAUGUUCUAAACAAGGCAAGUUUUGUCUUCAAUUCGGCAAUAAUUCUAAUUCUGAUUUCCAAUGCUUGUUUAUAAGUGUUAAUGCUGAUUAUGGCAAAGUAGUGUGGGUGUAUGAUAUAAAUCAUUCCAUUGACUUUAAUACAUCAGUUCUAUCACUAGACUACUCUGGUGUGCUCAAAAUAGAAUCUCAAAAUAGGAAACCAAUAAUCAUUUACUCUUCACCUCAACCUACCAACAACACUGUGGCCACUAUGUUAGACGCCGGUAACUUUGUGCUUCAACAAUUUCUUCCCAACGGCUCAAUGAGUGUGUUGUGGCAGAGUUUUGAUUAUCCAUCAGACGUUUUGAUCCCAAUGAUGAAGUUAGGCGUUAAUCGAAAAACAGGACAUAAUUGGUCAUUGGUUUCAGAUAAAUUUAAUCUUGAAUGGGAACCAAAACAAGGUGAAUUGAACAUCAAGAAAAGCGGCAAAGUGUAUUGGAAAAGCGGAAAACUUAAAAGCAAUGGAUUAUUCGAGAAUAUUCCGGCCAAUGUUCAAAGUAGGUAUCAGUACAUUAUUGUCUCUAACAAGGAUGAAGAUUCUUUCACGUUCGAAGUUAAAGAUGGGAAGUUUGCACAAUGGGAACUAUCCUCGAAGGGGAAGUUAGUAGGUGAUGAUGGAUAUAUUGCUAAUGCAGAUAUGUGUUACGGAUAUAAUAGUGAUGGAGGGUGCCAAAAAUGGGAGGAUAUACCAACUUGCAGGGAACCUGGUGAGAUGUUUCAGAAAAAGGCGGGAAGACCAAGCAUAGACAAUUCAACAACAUAUGAAUUCGACGUGACUUAUAGUUACAGUGAUUGCAAGAUCAGAUGUUGGAAAAAUUGUAGUUGCAAUGGAUUCCAACUAUAUUAUAGUAAUAUGACUGGAUGUGUAUUCCUUUCAUGGAAUUCGACACAAUAUGUUGACAUGGUUCCGGAUAAAUUUUACACCUUGGUAAAGACAACAAAAUCAGCUCCGAAUUCCCAUGGUACGUAAGUUAUAAUGUCAUUUUAAGUGAUUAUUUAUUUUCUGCUUAUUCAACUAUAGAAACUGCCUUCCUUCAGCCCAUUAUAUAACCGAUGCCAAUCUAAGGACAAAUAAAAUUGAUUGGAAUCAAACAUCAUCUCUGUAUUUUAAUAGCAAAUGUUAGUAUACUAAUUAGUAUGAUGUUAGCAUAUUUUUUUUUGUUAUGACUUGAAUCGUAGACUUUAAACUCGACAACUUAUUUAACCCCUUAGCUUAAUUGUUGAGCUACCCAACUGCCCUCCUCUAUAAAUUAGAUUAUCGAAAAUGUCACUUUAAAUUUUAAAAUAAGGUUUGUUAUGUUGUUUGGGGGUUGUGUGCGAGCACCGGAACGUAGGUGGUGGAAGUUUUUUUUGGUGGCAGCUUGUGACGUUGGUUGAGAUUUUUUAUGUACGUUUGGUCAGGGUUUUGGUACAACUUUUAUUUUCCUUUGUAUGUUGCUACUUUACGACUCCUAGUCUAGCAUUUUUUGUGUUGGUCAGAUUCUUUAUGAUUUUAAUAAAUUCAUUUGGCUUCUUCAAAAAAAAAAAAUUAAAUAAGGUUUAAUCUCAUUUUGCAUAUUAACCCGUUAGUCUAUUUAUUACAUAUGUGACAAAGUUACUUAAACUACCUAUUGUCUAAGGGUGUGUUUGGUAGGAAGAGAAGUUGUGAAGAGAGAAAAAGGUGGGAGAGAGUAUGAGUAGAGAGAAAAUGUGAGAGAGAAAUAUGUUUAUUUUUGAAAGGUCUAAUAUGUAGAGUAGAUUUUAUGUAUUGUUUGUUGUAAGAGAAAGAAGAGAGAUAAUAUACCCUUGAAUUAAAAAAUUAAAGAACCUAUAAUAUAAAUCUUCUUAUAUAUUAAAGUUAACCCGUAAGCCCUAAUUUUAACCUAAACCCUAUUGCAUAAUUUUACUGUUUUAACCUUAAUGCUCGCACUUAAUCUCCUAUUUUCAUGAACAACCCUAAUGCUCUCACCUAAUCUUCUUAUCUUCUUAUAUAUUAAAGUUAUCCCGUAAGCCCUAAUUUUAACCUAAACCCUAUUGCAUAAUUUUACUGUUUUUACCCUAAUGCUCACACCUAAUCUCCUAUUUUCAUGAACAAAGCAAAUCGGCAUCGCUUUAUUUCCCCUAUUUCUUCAAAACAAAUCGCCCUAUUUCUUCAACAAAACAAAUCGCCCUAUUGGAAUAAAAGGGUUUUGAAAAAUUAUAGCAACAUUUUUUUUGUUAAUAUUACAUUUUUCAUCCAAAUUGAAACUUAACUCUCUUUGUUAAAUAUCUACCACAAAAUGCACCAGAAUUUUGCAAUCUAUAUAAACAGGUGGAAGAAACAUUUCAACAAACAGUUAAAGAGUAUCAUUUACGGUAAAGGCCAAAUAUUCGAUAAAAGAAAAAUUAUUUAAAUACAACAUUUUACAUGUUGAGGUUAAGAAUGAGCUAUUUUUAGGUACAUAAUAUAACAUUAACAUAUAAUUUUUACAAAAGAAUGAAGUAACAUUUUGUCAAAAAAAAAAAAAAUGAAGUAACAUACCAAUAAUAUAACAUUGACAUAUAAUUUUAACAAAAAGAAUGAAGUAACACACGAUGGAUAAAAAUUAAUAUUUUUAAGGUGAAUAACUGUGGUGUCUGAGGUUCGAAUUCCAACAUCUGCAUAUAUUUGGGACCACAUAUUUCAUUCUCUUUGAUAUGCAUUGAGAUUUGUUUUUGUCUACUACAUCUACAAUUAGUUUAAUUAACAGGUUAAAUAUAAUUAAAUUGGAUAAUUAAUUUUUUAUGCCAAAAUGAUAAAAAAAAGAACGAAACAAUUGGUGUUUUGAAUUAAAUAAUUUAACAAAUCAUUUCAUCAACAUGUACCUGUCGUCAAAAAAUCUUUUGUGCUUCAGUUCUUUUUUUUUUUUUUUUUUAUCUAUUUGUUUGAAAAAUCCCUCUCUUUAUUUAUUAACUAUUAUGUUGCAGCAAGCAAGGACACAAUUGGAAAAUGAGAGUUCUCUCCUAUUUCUCUGCUGUCUUGCGAAGACUAAAAAAUGUGCAGCCCCAUGCUUUUAGACUCUGUCUCUUCUAUUUCUUUCCUCUGCAAAACUGAAGAAAAGCCCAUAUUCUCUUGUAUCUCUCUCGCCCCAAUUUCUCUCUUCCCUAAUUCAUCUCUACCAAACAAACCGUAAGAGACAAACUUGCCUUGUACAUUAUAUGGUGGAAAAUGCAAUUUGAUUAAAAAAAAAGAUUGAAAAAGAAGUUCUUUCACUACAACAAUUAUGAUGUAAUGCAACUCCAUUUUGAAAGGACUAAAAAUAAAAAAACCGUUAUCUAGUACGACAAAGUCAACACAAUAUUAAUGGAUAGUCUCGGGUUAUUAUAUUCGAUAAUAACAAAAAAACGGUCAUAAUAUUAAUACUAUUUAGUUAUUUUAUUUUUACUUUUUAAUUAUUUUAUAUUUACUUUUCGAGUGUUGCUAGCAUUCCUCUUUUAUAGAAAUAGAAUCCAAAUGUAAUCUCACAAUCGCUUCAUCUCAUAAUCACUUCAUCAUAAUUGUUUAAUCAUAAUCGUUUAAUCACAUCACUUCAUCAGAAUCACUACUCAUCAUAUCUACUUUAUCGCGAUCACUUUUACAUCCUUAUCACAGUCGCUUCAUCACAACCGUUCUAAUCAAAUUUAUUUCACAAGACCUAGAACUCAAAUAAAAUAAAAAAGUGUCAAAGGGAUAUAUUUCUAUUGCUCAAUGAUUAUUUUUUAUUUUUGUUGAAACAAAGGGGCUAAGAAAACCCCAAAAGAACUAGAAACCACGAGGAAAAGCUACAGCUGAAGACUCCGCAACAACCAGUAAUAAAGAAAAAUCCGGAACACGAUCAAAAAUACGAUAAUGAUUAUCUAAGGACAAUCCAAAUUUUGCCAAGAUGUCAUGGUAGAAACAAUAGCCAAAUGAUUCCAAAAAGUCAUAUUUAUAAAUGAGGAUUUUGAAGUUGAAGUAUUAGGGUUUGGCAUCAAGAUAUGACCAACAAAAUUAAAUGUUUGAGAUGAAUAUGCUUAUAUCACAAUUCAAAUUGAUUUUGUAUAGUCAAUGCAGGUAUAAAAAGGUGGAUAUGGAUAGGUGCUGCAAUUACAACUGCUUUACUCAUAUUAUGCCCACUCAUUAUAUGGCUAGCCAAAAAGAAAAAAAAAUAUGCACUUCCAGGUAUAUCAAUAUGGAUACUUUAAAACAGUCAAUGCAAGUAAAACAAGAUGGAUAUGUAUAGGUUCUAUCUUUAUCUUUGAUUUUUUUGGUUAUGUAGAUAAGAAAAGUAAAAGAAAGGAAGGUAAGAGCAAUGAUUUGGUGGAAUCAUAUGAUAUCAAAGAUCUUGAAGACGACUUCAAGGGACAUGAUAUAAAAGUUUUUAACUUUACAUCAAUCUUGGAAGCAACUAUGGAAUUUUCCCCUGAAAACAAGUUAGGACAGGGAGGUUAUGGACCCGUUUAUAAGGUGACUUUAUAGUUAAAUUGUAUGUUUUAAAAACAUGUUGUAAAUUACUAUUAUAAUUAUGGCACCAGCAUCAUGUUGCAAACAAGUGUUUCUAAUGUGGUAAUGUUGUUUUUCAUGGUUAGUGAUUAUUGUUUCGGACAAAACUUAUAUGUAUUUUUUAUAGGUAUUUUUUGGUAUGGUUCUUAACUGUAGCAACUAUGUUUCUUCAAAUGUAUUAAGUUAAGAACCAUAUUCAUAUUAUCUAAAGAAAUGCACCUAAAUUUUGUACUUGUGUUUUAAGAUUUCAGGGAAUCUUGGCAACAGGGCAAGAAAUUGCUGUAAAAAGGCUUUCGAAAACAUCUGGACAAGGAAUUGUGGAAUUCAAAAAUGAAUUGUUACUUAUAUGUGAACUUCAGCACAAAAAUCUUGUCCAACUACUUGGUUGUUGCAUUCAUGAAGAAGAAAGGAUUCUAAUUUACGAAUAUAUGCCAAACAAAAGCUUGGAUUUCUACCUAUUUGGUAAGAAUGUGUGAAGUCUAUAUUUGUAUGUGAUGUUAUCCUAGCUCAUGUUUUAUAUACUCAUUAGUUAGCCAUGGAAAACUAAAUAACAUUAUGAUUUGCUACUUUUGAAUAAUAUACAUUUGAAUAACAUUAUGUUUUCAUUGAGAAGAUUGUACAAAAAAGAUGUUGCUAGAUUGGAAGAAGCGUUUCAACAUAAUCGAAGGAAUUUCUCAAGGAUUACUCUAUCUUCAUAAGUACUCAAGACUCAAAAUCAUUCACAGAGACUUGAAAGCUAGCAACAUACUUCUUGAUGAGAAUAUGAACCCAAAAAUUGCUGAUUUUGGUAUGGCAAGGAUGUUUACACAACUGGAAUCCACAGUAAAUACCAACCGGAUUGUUGGGACUUAGUGAGUAUUCUAAAAUUUAUUUGUUAUUAAUAUUUUUAUUAUGAUGAUUUUGUGAAAACUUUUUAUUUUAAAGUUAUGAAUUUUUUUGUGUAGUGGUUACAUGUCUCCAGAAUAUGCCAUGGAAGGAGUUUGUUCUACAAAGUCUGAUGUCUAUAGCUUUGGAGUGUUGAUGCUUGAAAUUGUUUGUGGAAGAAAAAAUAAUAGCUUUUAUGAUGAUGAUCGUCCACUAAAUCUAAUCGGACAUGUAUGUCAAUUACUUUCAUUGAGUUUUUUUUAAUAAAUAUUACCUAUUCUUCGUAAUUUGAUUAGAUUAUUAAUAGGCAUGGGAGCUAUGGAAUGAUGGUGAGUAUCUAAAGCUAAUGGAUCCAACGUUAAAUGACACAUUUGUUCCGGAUGAAGUGAAAAGGUGCAUUCAUGUUGGUCUCUUAUGUGUAGAACAAUAUGCAAAUGAUCGACCUACAAUGUCUGAUGUUAUAGCAAUGUUAACAAACAAAUAUGAACUCACAACAAUACCCAGAAGACCAGCAUUUUAUGUUAGAAGAGACAUUCUUGAUGGAGAAACAACUUCUAAAGUGCCAGACACCGACACCUAUUCUACAACAAUUUCUACCUCGUGUGAAGUAGAAGGGAAAGUAUAAAUAAUCAAUAUAUAUAUAUAUAUAUAUAUAUAUAUAUAUAUAUAGAUUGUUCAUACACUCAUUUGAAACAGAUUUUGUUCUUUGAAGUAUCAAAAAAUGUAAGCUUGAAUAUGGUUUUGUUUUAUGAAAUAUUUGGUGUCUGUAAAAAAAAAUAAAAAAUGGUUCUUAUAGUACGUACUUUUUCAUUGUAGUUCUUGUUAAUAGAUUUUAGUCUAAAUUAGAUUUUCAUAGCCUAUCACCAACAUUUUUAAUUUCUAACAAGUCCUAUUUAUAAAUCGCACAUAACAAAUUAUUUCUAUAAAAAUGGUACCUGAAAAGAAUGUCAAUCAAUCCCUUAUCUCUGCUAUAGAAAAAUCAUGCCAAUCACAAAAAUGGUAACCUAUUAGCACUAGGCAGAGGAUGAAAAGGCAUAUUUACCUCUUGAAUCUUUCGAUCAUUUUUUAUUUUAAAACUUGUGCUUCAGUUACUGUCUGGCCAAGUUUUUGAGGAUUAUAUAUAACUUUAAAGAAGUUUUGAAAAGCUUGAAUCUCUCGAAUAUGUGUACCUCGACUUAUGUUGGUCCUUUUCUGUAGAGAAGGGAAAGCACAUUGAAGGAAUAAGUUGAAGUACUCUAAAAAUAGUUUCGGGGUCCAAAGUCCUAUUUACCUCAUAGUGAGAAAAGCUAGUCUUGUUCGUCCUACCCUUCGACAAUUUAUUUCCUCUUCGUGAUCUUUUGGGAUAAAGAAGCCUAAUUUUUGCUAGAAAGUAGCAACUAGCCAGAGUUGGAGUAGUCAUAUAGGCCCAGAGAUUAAAAGACCUUUCCCUGGCUCCAGGCGGUGCAUAACUUGGCAUUCAUAGCCCAGAGAUAUGGGCAUCCGAAGAUGAUUCAACUUAAACAAAAAUUAUGUCCUUCACAUAGUUGAGUCACCAUCACUACAAAUAUUUUGGCUAACUGAAGGGAAUUGGAGCAUAAAAAAAAGUGGAAAAUCCAAAAGGUAUGGUAAGCUAUGUGUUCUUGGUGGGAAACCUCACCAUUAUCAGUUUAAUAGUGAUCAGAGAUAAAGGUUGUAUAACUAGCUUUCUUAAAGUCGAAGUGGCCUAGUGUUUGCUUACUAUGCUAGGGUCAUAUAUGUUUCUCCUGUUGGUUGAAGCCCCAUAAUGGAAGCUAUGUCGAAGAGUGUGGCGGUGAGAAUACCACAUUUCAGUUGUAAUUGUGUUGGUCGAACUCUCCCAAAAAUGGAUGGCAGUUAGAAGUAGAUUGGCAUCAUAUUUAGGACCUGUUUUGGAAAGCUAAACUAGGUCGAAAAUACCUAAAUUCUUACUUACUUGGGCUCUCUUACUUUGUAUUUUGUCUAGCCAAGCAAUAUAACUGGGUUGAUUGGUGUAAGGGGAUGCUCGAAACACUUAGUGGGUGCACUCGUAAAAUUCAUUUCGUAAGGACCUUGUAAGAAAACCCUAGGAGUACAUUUAUCACAUCCUGGGAAAAAGGUUGUUACUGAAGGUGAGAAAAACACAAGGGGGGGGGGGGGGGGGGGGGUUGAAUUGUGUUUUCUUUUUCUCUCUAAAAAAUUCUUCUUCUGAUAAAACUUCAAAAGCAGUUUGUGAAUGCUUCUGAUGAAAUGAUCAGAAUCAGAUAUGCAGCGGAAAAGAUCAAAGCAGAGAAAAGAAAAGCAAGACACAAGCAGUUAUCCUGGUUCCUUCCACAAAUCAGAAGUAGUCCAGUCCCCUUUGCACUUCCAAGGAGAUUUCACUAUAAUCACAAAGAUUACAAAAUGCUCAAUACUCUCUAAGUAUGAGACUUCUCAAAAAUGCUCAAGCACACACGCAAGAGUCUUCCAAUGCUCAAGCACUAAGCAAGAGUCUUCUAAUGCUCAAGCACGCAGGCAAGAGGCUUCUGAUCAAACAAAAAUACAAUGAAAUAAGUUUGACUUGAACACUUGAUAUACAAUCAGUGGUGUUCACAAUACAAUACGUUAAAGACUGUAGACUUUUGAAUUUCUAAGAUGUAUCAAAUCAGUGCAGAAAUUCAGUGUGCUUUGUAGAAUCAAAUUGACAGAGUUUUGGCGCUUUUUAACUUGUAUGUCUCUAUCUACAAUCUUCAAGUCUUCACUCCUUUAUAUAGAGAUGUGAAAGAGACGUUGAGAUGAUUAGCACGUCUAAAGAGUCGUUUGGAAUCCUUUGAUCAUUCACCAGUAAUCCUUUGCCUGAUUUGGGUGUAGUCCUUUGAAGAAUUAGCUUCAAAUUCAUUCCCAUCUUGAAGGCACAAAUUCUGCAGGCAUGGCUGUUGUCUUGUCUUGUAGCGUGGACAAAACAGAGUAGUGGAGGUAGUGGUUGUACACUUGUACUUUGUCAACUCUGUUAACGAAGGAAAAAUACUCAAUGCUAUCCAAAUGACCGUUGAUACCUCCCUUUCAAUUCUUCGUUCUUCUUAGAUAAUGUUGAAAUGAGAAACAGCUACUUUGGAUCUUCAGUUUGAAUUUACGGAUAAAAUGUAGCUUCUGGUGAUGAUAUCGCUUCUGAUGAAAACCUUGCUUCUGAUGAGCUUCUGCUUCUGAUGACGUCAUCACUUCAGAUGCACUUCAGCUUCAGGAGUACUUCAAGCUUCAGACGCAGUUUUCUUCAGAUGCUAUGAAUUCCUUUGCUUUCCAUUGUUCUUCUAAGACCUAUUGAAAUUACUUGACUAGCAUUUGGUCCUGUAUACUUGAACAAUUAUUAGUAAUAACCAAUUGACAAUUUUUAAUACCUUGUUAUCAUCAAAACUCAUUAAGGUUCAUUGUAAAACACAUUUUGUUCCAACAAUCUCCCCCUUUUUGAUGAUGACAAACAAUAGUAUUUAAAAUGUUCAAUUGUUGUUGAUCUAAUUAAUAAGUUGACUACUGGGAUAGAGUUUUGAAAGCUCCCCCUAGGUCUUAUAGAUCUUUAAGGUGAGGUUUGUAAGCUCCCCCUAAGUUCUAUACUCAUUAAUUAAAUUUCAAUAAAAUACUCAUAAACUAUCAGAAGUAUUAAAAAAAAGGUUUAGAAGUGGUUCUGAGCAAAGCUCAUAUCAAAAAGUUAAUUUGAUGGGGCUCAGAGCCUUAAAAAUACUAUACAUCUACUCCCCCUUUUGUCAUCAACAAAAAGUAAGUAAAAAAACAAAAGAAAGAGUAUCAGAGCAACAGAAGGAUAAACUUUAAAAUACAGUGUAUUAGAGCCAAUGACACAACAAAUAUAGCAAUUAUUUUCAGAGCAACAACUUGAAAAUAGCAUGAGAAAUAUUGAAUUGAUUCAGAAGCAAUGAUAAACCAGUUAAAAUACAUAGUCAAAGCAAUGCAAUACUUAAAACAAGAUCUAAACAUUCAAAAAGAAUUGGUGUGCAACUAAGGUUUGGAUAGCUUAGACACUUGUUCCAAUAAGUAUUUGAUCUGCUCAGACUGCUUCUGAAGUUCUUCAUCCUUGGCUCUCAGUCUUCUUCUCAGCCCUUCUUGAAUUCUAUCAGCCCUUGAGAUGUAAACAGCUUCUGGAUAGAACGGAGCGUUGGCUAGCAGAGGCACAUAAUCAAGCUCCUUCACUCUAGCUGCUUCAUGCAUAUCAUCCAAUAAUUUCUUCAACAUAGCAGAGUGAGAUGAGACACAUUUUGUGCUCAGCUGAUCCAGCAGUAUAUUGAAGCCUUUCUUCAGAUCCAUCCAUUGAUCAAGAUAGUGAAUGGGAGGUACAGGAACUGUUCUGAGAAGAAUCAGUGUCUGAAUCUCAUCACUUAACCUUAUAAGUUGUUCAUCAAUAUAUUCAGAUUCCAGGAUGGUGUCUGGGAUGGGUGUUUGAGAUGUAGAAGGUUGAUUAGAGGCUGUUUGAUGGUCAGAAGAGGUUAGGUCAAUUAUUGGUGAUUCUGGUUGUUGUUGUUGUUCUGUGUUAGUCUGGGGUUGUUCUAUGGUAGUUUGAUCUAGGUCAGAAACAGCCUGUUCAGGAACAGUUGGUUCAGGAACAGUUUGCUCAGGGAUGACUGUUUCAGUUUGUGUAGUUGUUUGUUGGUUUUCCAAAACAGUCUUUUCAGGGACUGUCUUAGAGGCCUUUGUGGGUGUAGGUUGCAUUUCACCACCUAAAUGCUUUUCUAAGUUAUGAAGGGUUGAUGAUUCUUGGUGUUGGGGGUUUCUGAAGUAGUUGCUUCUGAAACUACUUCAGAGGCUUUUUGUGGGGAUUGGUUAUUUUGUGGGGUGGUUUCAGGAAAUUGUAUACUAACAGCUUCUUGAAUUUGUGGUUGAAAAAAGUGAUCAGCAGGCAAAUUGAAUUUUUCACAGAUUUUUAUCCUCUGUUUAGAGAAUUCAAUUUGGGUCUGCGCAUAAUCAAUUGUUCCAAAGGUUGUUAGUUUGGUAGGUUUGCGAUUUAGAAGUUUUUCAAUGUGUUGACUAAGAGGUUGGUCAUCUGAUUUAGUGGAUGAUGAUGAGGGUGAAGAUGGAAGGUCAGGAAUCUGAGUAUUGAUAUUAGCUUUUAAAGAAGUACCUGAAGAGUGAGCUUCUGGAUGAGCUGCUUCUGGAGCUUUAGAUGCUGGUUCUGAUGAAGUAGCUCCUGAAGCCUGCUUGUCUUUCAAAGCUUGAGAUAACAGUUUUACUCCCUCCUGGACAGCUUCUUUUUCAACCUCAGCAGCCAAAGCAGCAAACUCAGCAGCCUUCUCAGGAGCAAGCUUAUACCCUGCAGCCUUGAGUUGUUCCUCUCUUUUCUUCUGCUGUCUCAACUGCUUCCUCCUAGCCAUCUCAGUUGUUGUAUAAUUUCUAGCAUAUUGCCAUUGUUCUUCUGUAGGAACAAACAUUGGCAUUACACUAGGCUUAUUACUCUUAGCCUUCUUAGCACUUGGCUCUUCUUCCAACACUCCUAGCUGUUCAACAUGAUCUUCCGUGCUUCUUUCAGAAGUUUUCAGAUUUCUUGUUCUCUUGUUUCUGAUGGUUUGAAGAGCAGCUUCCCUAGCAUCAGAUUUCUUGAUUUUCUGCUUCUGAGCAUCUUCUUCAGAAGCAUGAACUUCUUCAGAAGCAGCAGCUUGUUCAGAAGCAGAAAUUGUUGUCAUGAAUUUCUUGGGCUUUUGUGCUGCAACCUCAACCUUGAUUUCUUUUCUGGUCCUUUUAGCCUCUUCUUCUUCCAAGUAUUCUUCUUUUGAAAGGGGUUUGCUCUUUGAUUUCCUGCUCUUGGCAACAGGAAGAACACCUCCAAACAUCUGUUCUGGCACAUCUUUCAGGCUGAUCUUCUCCCUUGUCUUUUCAAAAUGAUCUCUGAUAUAGUUCAUCUGAACAUCCAGAGGAUCUUGUUUGCAGAUAGGGGGAAAGUUUGGCAUCAAAUCUGAUUUAGCAUCAGAUUCUUUCAAAUCUGUGCUCAGCUUCUUAAGAUCUUCUGCCUUAAUCAGAUGCAUGGAUCUCAGUGUUUCAGCAUUUAUAAUCUUUCCUCUAACAGUUCCCAACUGUUCAUCUGUGAAGAUUUUUGCCUCCUUCAGCAUAUUAAUGAUACCUCCUUGAUAAAAAAUCUCAGAGAGUAGCCUCCCAUAGGGUACCAAACACCUAUUCUUCAGCUGGCUCUCUCUGAGCUGUUGUACCAUAUGCCUGAAGAUGUAUCUGGGCACAUUAGCCUUUACACCAGUUAUGAAAAAGUGUAAGAGGAUUUUGUGUUCCAGAGAAGGUUGAUCACUACCACCACCUUUUGGUAGUAGGUUGUCAUUUUGAAUUUUUAGCAUCACUUUGGUCUUGGCAUUCAUAUCUGCAUAGGCGAAGUCUUUGACCUUGUUGUAGAGUGUUUUAUUCACAAUAUCAUUCCAAGGGCUAUCUUUGGGCAUAGUGAUUCCAGCUUUAUAAUCUCCUUCUGCUGGUGUUCUGAGGACGAAAGCAAUCACAUCCUCAUUGAUCCAUACAGGAAUCCCCAUGAUGCUUGAUCAUAUCUGGGUUUUAUUAAAUGGUUCCAAGCCCAUUUCCUUUCUGGAUUUACCCUUGAGUUAUGGAUUGAGAAGAACUUUUUCAUCUUCUUCAAUCUUAGCAGCAUCUCUAUCAUAGAUACUGGCUCUAACCCAGAAAUGUCGUACCAAAGUUUGAUAAGUUGGACCGUUCAGAAAAUUGAAGUAGCUUCCCAAGCCUUGCGCUUCAUAGAAACUUCCAAUAUCACAGUUGUGAGCGGCCAAAGAAAUAAAAUCCAUUAGAUUUUUUGAUUGAAUCUUCAAAUCCCAUUCCUCCAAGGACAUGGUUCUUCCUUUAAUCACGUAGGCAGGAGCCUCUUCUUGUUGCAUGUUUGAUGAUGGACCAGGUGCAGAACUUGAAGAAGCCAUAAGAUUGAUUGAAGAAGAAAAGGGUUUCUAGGGUUUUUGGAGUUUCUUAGCAGAGAAGGUUUGAAGUGAAAUGAGAGUGUGAGUUGUGAAGGGAGUAGUGUGUGUUUGUUUAAGUGUUUUUAUCAAAAACGUUUGCAAUUCAAAUGAGACAAACAAACAUAGCAUUAAUGACAAAUUGGGGGCGCGUGUUAGUAUGUUUAAAAGCAAAUAAAACAUCAUUGCCCUUUUUGUUAUACUCCAAUACAAAUAGACCACGUCAGAAACUUUUCAGAAAACUAACCUUUGGGUAAUGGGACAGCUGUUACAAAAAAGUAACUGCAAACGAUCCCACUAGCCAGCUAUUCAGAAGCAAAGAAUGCCGCUUCUGAAGUUUUAGUGCUGACGUCAUCUUCAGAGACACAUUUUCCUCAGAACCUCAGUUAAGAGCUUCUGAUGGACCAGAUGCUUUUGAAUGGACUUCAGAACCAAACUUCUUAUUCAGAGGCAAGCAAAUUUUCAAUCAGACACAAAGUGCAUGUUCAAAUUUUUCUUAAUAAAAUCAAAUCUUUCAACAGAUAAAGGUUUAGUAAAUAUAUCAGCCCAUUGAUGUUCAGUAUCAAUGAAUUGUAUAUCUAAAAUUCCUUUUUGAACAUAGUCUCUGAUAAAAUGGUGUUUGAUCUCAAUAUGCUUGGCUCUAGAAUGUAGAAUUGAAUUCUUAGACAAACAAAUAGCAGCAGUAUUAUCACAAAAGAUGGGAAUACUGUUAGCAUUAAUAUGAUAAUCUUCCAACUGAUGUUUCAUCCAAAGUAGUUGUGUGCAACAACUUGCAGCUGAAAUAUAUUCUGCUUCUGCUGUAGACAUAGCAAUAGUUGCUUGUCUUUUGCUUGCCCAGGAUAUCAGAUUCUCUCCCAGGAAUUGACAAUUUCCACUGGUUGAUUUUCUUUCAAUCCUGUCACCAGCAUAAUCAGCAUCACAGAAUCCAAUCAACUUAUAAUCUAGGGAUUUCCUAUACAGGAGUCCAAGAUUAGUUGUUCCUUUCAGAUACCUGAAGAUUCUCUUAACUGUAGUUAAAUGAGAUUCUCUAGGAUCUGAUUGAAAUCUUGCACACAAGCAUACACUGAAUAAAAUAUCAUGUCUAGAUGCAGUGAGGUAUAACAGAGAACCAAUCAUACCUCUGUAUAGCUUCUGGUCUACUACAGUUCUAGUAUCUUCUUUGCUUAAGGUGCAGGUUGGAUGCAUUGGAGUGUUCAUCACUUUACAAUCUUCUAGCUUGAACUUUUUCAGAAGCUCCUUUGUAUAUUUUGUUUGAUGAACAUAUACUCCUUCUUUACUUUGGUUGAUUUGAAUUCCAAGAAAGAAUUUCAAUUCUCCCAUCAUGCUCAUUUCAAAUUCAUCCUGCAUUAACUUAGAAAAUUCCUUGCAAAGAGAUGCAUUAGUAGAACCAAAUAUUAUAUCAUCAACAUAUAUUUUCACAAUCAAAAUGUCUUUCUUAAGAGUCCUUCUGAAGAGUGUUGUGUCAACUUGUCCUCUUUCAAAAUCAUUUUUAAUUAAAAAAUUACUUAGCCUAUCAUACCAAGCUCUAGGAGCUUGUUUCAAGCCAUAUAGUGAUUUCUUAAGUUUACAAACAUGGUCAGGAUGCUUAAGAUCCUCAAACCCAGGAGGUUGUUUGACAUACACUUCUUCUUCAAUGACACCAUUAAGAAAAGCACUUUUGACAUCCAUUUGAUAUAAUAUUAUGCCAUGAUUAAUUGCAUAGGAUAGAAGUAACCUGAUUGCUUCCAAUCUUGCAACUGGAGCAAAUGUUUCAGUGUAAUCAAUGUCUUCUUGUCGACUGUAACCUUGUGCAACAAGUCUAGCUUUGUUUCUGGUUACUUCUCCUUGUUCAUUCAGCUUGUUUCUGAAUACCCAUUUUGAUCCAAUAAUGUUCUUCUGAGAAGGUUUGGGUACCAGAUCCCACACAUCAUUCCUCUGAAACUGAUUUAGCUCUUCUUGCAUAGCUAAUAUCCAUCCAUCAUCUGAGAGAGCUUCUUCAACAGUUUUAGGCUCAAUUAUUGAAAGCAAACCUAUCAAAGAUUCUUCUUGUCUGAAAUGUGAUCUUGUUCUUCUAGGACUAUCUUUGCUUCCAAUGAUUAGCUCCUCAGGAUGUGAAGAUUUGUGCUUGAAUUUUGGUUGAAUAACCUGCUGAGUGUUAUCUUGAAUGUCCUCAGAAGCAUUAUCAUUCUGUAUUACUGGACUAGGUUCUGCUUCUGAAAUAGACUCAGCUUCUGGAGUAUGUUCAGCUUCUGGACUAGAUUCAGCUUCUGAAUGCUUUUCAGAAUCAGAAGGUUGAUCAGAUUCUGAUGCAUCUUCAGAAUCAGUUGGACCUGCAUUACUUUCACUUUGCUCUGGAGUUUUACUUCCAGGCUCUCUAUCAUCAAAUUUAACGUGCAUAGAUUCUUCAACACAAUGUGUUUCUGAAUUAUACACUCUGUACGCCUUUGACCUUUCAGAGUAACCUAAAAAGAUUCCUCUUUGAAUCUUGGCAUCAAAUUUCUUCAGAUAGUCUUUAGUGUUUAGAAUGUAACAAGUACAUCCAAACUGAUGAAAGUAAGAGAUAUUGGGUCUUCUUCCUUUAAAGAGUUCAUAUGCAGUUUUCUCCAACAUAGGUCUGAUAUAGAUCCUAUUUUGAAUAUAACAUGAAGUAUUAACUGCUUCUGCCCAGAAAUGUUUAGCUAAAUUGUUUUCAUGGAUCAUGGUUCUGGCCAUUUCUUGUAAGGUUAUGUUCUUUCUCUCUACAACCCCAUUUUGUUGUGGAGUUCUAGGAGAAGAAAAUUCAUGGAGAAUCCCAUGUUUUUCACAAAAAGAUUCAAAUGGCUCAUUUUCAAAUUCUCCACCAUGAUCACUUCUGACUUUCAAAAUUUUCAAUUCUUUUUCAGAUUGUAUUUGAGUGCAGAAGCUGCUAAACACUUCACAUGCAUAGUCUUUACUUUUAAUGAAUUUUACCCAAGUCCAUCUGCUGUAAUCAUCAACAAUGACUAAUCCAUAUUUACUUCCAUAUAAAGAUGCAGUGUUAACUGGUCCAAAAAUAUCAAUAUGGAGUAAUUCUAAGGGUCUUGAGGUUGAUACAAUGUCUUUGGAUUUGAAAGUACUUUUCACAAUUUUCCCUUUCUGACAUGCACCACAAAGUGCAUCUGAAUGAUAAUCAAUGUUAGGCAAUCCUUUGACAAGUUGUAACUUGCUAAUUUUAGAAAUUAAUCUCCAAUUAGCAUGUCUCAACCUUCUAUGCCAUACCCACUUUUUAUCAUUCAAUAACAGAAGGCAAACUACCUUCUGAUCAGCCAGAUCAGAGAAAUUAAUUUUGUAGACAUUCUCAACUCUCUUUCCCUUGAAUGAAAUGGAUUUGUCAUCCUUGUUGACUAGUGUGCAGUUGGUCUUACUGAACAUUACAUCAUACCCAUUGUCACAAAAUUGACUAAUGCUCAAUAGGUUAUGCUUCAAACCAUCUACAAGCCACACAUUAUUAAUUGAAAUGGAGGAAUUACCAAUAGUACCUGUACCAAUGAUUUUUUCAGUUUGGUUGCCACCAAACUUCACUUCUCCUCCAGCUUUCAUGGUAAGGGUAAGGAACAAAGCUUUCUCUCCAGUCAUGUGCCUUGAACACCCGCUGUCUAGGUACCAUGACCUUUGUUUCUCUCUUGCCCUUAGGCUCACCUGCAAUUUUAACCAAUUCAGAUUUAGGUACCCAUAUCUUCAUGGGUCCUUUUGGGUUAGUUCUAGAGGUUUUACUUUUCCUCCCUUGUACCUUGGGGUGAGUGCUGAGUAGCUUCUGAUCAUUCAAUACUUUAGGUUUAACACCUUUGGGUAUUGUUUUCUCAGAAGCAGUAGCUGCUUUGUUCUUCUGAUCCUUUGGCUUUGGGAUUUUAGAUUCUGGUUUAAUCAGAUUCUGAGGAACAGGUUCUGAUCUUUUCAGAAUUUUAAUCUUUUGAGUCUUAGGAUCAGAUUUUGUCAUAACUUUAGACUUGAGGUUUUCUGGCUUUGAUGUGAUCUUAGCCUUCGAACCAGAAGCUUCAGGUUCUGAUUGAACAGCAGUUACAGCAUCUGUACCUUCAGGCACAAAGGUGGAUUUCAAUCCAUCCUUGAUACAAUCACAGUAGCUCUUGAGACUGUAUUCUUUGGAUUUCUCCUCAGAAUAUCCAAUCCCUUUGCAUUGUUUUUGUAUGUGCUGUAGAUCAUAGAAGCAACUUUGCUUCUGUCUAUGCCAGCCAUAAUAAAAUCAUCCAAGGCAAUCUCAUGUUUGUUGCCUGAACCUUUAUCACAUUUUUCUUGUAGCUUCUGACAAAGAAUCUUGAGUCUAUCUUCAUAUGUUGUUGAUAUGAGGUUAAACCCUUUGAGUUCUUGUUCAGAAGCUUUCAGUUCCAAUAGAGUUGUUUUUUGUUGUUUCAUUAAAUCAACAUAUUUUUCUUUUAAAUCUGUCAACUCAUUGGUUCUGUGUUCAAAUAGUGAUAAGAGUUCUUUUAGAGAAUCAACAAGUUCUUGUCUAGGAAUUUUGGAAUAUACCUCAUUUUCAUCUUCUGAAUCUGAUUCAGCUUCUGAUAUUGCUUCUGAUGAUACUGUUGCCACUAACCCCAUGGCUGCUUUUGCAUCAUCAUCUGCUUCUUCUUUAUCAGAACCAGAUUCACUGUCCAAAUCUUCCCAGGUCGCCAUCAAGCUCUUUUUGUUGCUUUCUGAAUUUACUGGAGCUGAAGCUUGAUUUCUUGGGUUCGCUUUUAGACUUCUCCUUCUGAAGAUCAGGGCAAUCAGCAAUGAAAUGACCAGGCUUCUUACAGUUGAAGUACCCCUUCUGAUCUUCUUUCUUGGAGUUCUUGUAGCCACCUCUCUUGCUCAAAAAUUUCUUCUGCUUCCUUGCCAAAUACUCAAGCUUGUUGGAUAGCAUAGCCAUCUUCAUAGAUUGAUCUUCAUCAGAAUCUCCAUCAGGUGAUUCUUCUUCAGAUUCAUUGGCUUUGUAGGCUUUGGAAGAUCUUGAAGACUUUCCUUUAGAUGGUAAAGCAAUGGAUUUACUCUUCUUAGAGGAUUCAUGCUCAUUUAAACUCAUUUCAUGCACUUUGAGUGAACUAACAAGAUCUUCAACACUUAAAGUGUUUAGAUCCUUAGCUUCCUCAAUAGCAGUUACUUUGGGUCUCCAUCUAGAAGGCAAGCUUCUCAAAAUCUUACUAACAUGAUCAGAAGCAACAUAUCUUUUCUUCAGUAUUUGCAAUCCAGAAACUAAAGUUUGAAAUCUUGAGUACAUUUCUUCUAUACUCUCAUCAUCCUUCAUUCUGAAAAGUUCAUACUGAUGAACUAGCAUCAAAGCUUUAGCCUCUUUCACCUUCUUGCUGCCUUCAAAGUUGGCGCAUAGUGACGCAAACAUAGCUUUCGCAGUGGAUUUGUCACUCAUCUUCAUGUAUUCGGUGCGAGGUAUAGAAGCCACAAUGAUUCCUCUGAUCUUGUGGUGUUUCUUAUAAAGCUUCUUCUGAGCAGGAGUAUGUAUUCUUCUGUCCACAGCAGCUCCUUCUUCAUCUAAAUCCAAGUCAUCAACUCCAUCUUCCAGUAUGUCCCAUAGCUCUUCAUCCAAACCCAUGAUAAAGCUGUACAUAUUUGUUUUCCACCAUGAAAACUCUUCUGGAUCUCCAUUAAACUUUGGAGCUUUUCCAGAGUUUGUUUUCUUGUCAGCAGUAUCAUAUAGUCAUGUUUGACACUUGUGUAUUUUGUAGUAGUUGAUUCCUCUCCUCCCAGACAUGUUUUUCUUUUGGAUCUUGAACUGUCACACGGUUAAGUACUUAUGAUAACAGAGCAAGCUCUGAUACCAAUUGAAGGUGAGAAAAACACAAGGAAGGGGGGGGGGGGUUGAAUUGUGUUUUCUUUUUCUCUCUAAAAAAUUCUUCUUCGGAUAAAACUUCUGAAGCAAUUUGUGAAUGCUUCUGAUGAAAUGAUCAGAAUCAGAUAUGCAGCGGAAAAGAUCAAAGCAGAGAAAAGAAAAGCAAGACACAAGCAGUUAUCCUGGUUCCUUCCACAAAUCAGAAGUAGUCCAGUCCCCUUUGCACUUCCAAGGAGAUUUCACUAUAAUCACAAAGAUUACAAAAUGCUCAAUACUCUCUAAGUAUGAGACUUCUCAAAAAUGCUCAAGCACACACGCAAGAGUCUUCCAAUGCUCAAGCACUAAGCAAGAGUCUUCUAAUGCUCAAGCACGCAGGCAAGAGGCUUCUGAUCAAACAAAAAUACAAUGAAAUAAGUUUGACUUGAACACUUGAUAUACAAUCAGUGGUGUUCAUAAUACAAUACGUUAAAGACUCUAGACUUUUGAAUUUCUAAGAUGUAUCAAAUCAGUGCAGAAAUUCAGUGUGCUUUGUAGAAUCAAAUUGACAGAGUUUUGGCGCUUUUUAACUUGUAUGUCUCUAUCUACAAUCUUCAAGUCUUCACUCCUUUAUAUAGAGAUGUGAAAGAGACGUUGAGAUGAUUAGCACGUCUAAAGAGUCGUUUGGAAUCCUUUGAUCAUUCACCAGUAAUCCUUUGCCUGAUUUGGGUGUAGUCCUUUGAAGAAUUAGCUUCAAAUUCAUUCCCAUCUUGAAGGCACAAAUUCUGCAGGCAUGGCUGUUGUCUUGUCUUGUAGCGUAGACAGAAAACAGAGUAGUGGAGGUAGUGGUUGUACACUUGUACUUUGUCAACUCUGUUAACGAAGGAAAAAUACUCAAUGCUAUCCAAAUGACCGUUGAUACCUCCCUUUCAAUUCUUCGUUCUUCUUAGAUAAUGUUGAAAUGAGAAACAGCUACUUUGGAUCUUCAGUUUGAAUUUACGGAUAAAAUGUAGCUUCUGGUGAUGAUAUCGCUUCUGAUGAAAACCUUGCUUCUGAUGAGCUUCUGCUUCUGAUGACGUCAUCACUUCAGAUGCACUUCAGCUUCAGGAGUACUUCAAGCUUCAGACGCAGUUUUCUUCAGAUGCUAUGAAUUCCUUUGCUUUCCAUUGUUCUUCUAAGACCUAUUGAAAUUACUUGACUAGCUAUUUGGUCCUGUAUACUUGAACAAUUAUUAGUAAUAACCAAUUNNNNNNNNNNNNNNNNNNNNNNNNNNNNNNNNNNNNNNNNNNNNNNNNNNNNNNNNNNNNNNNNNNNNNNNNNNNNNNNNNNNNNNNNNNNNNNNNNNNNCAACCUUUUUAGUAGGAUCAGAAACAUCUGUAUCCAUAGCUGUCACACCGUUACUAUUCGAUGCCGUAGGAAUCGAUAGUGUUGGAAUCACAGGAAUAGCAUCGUUCAAGACAUAGGCAACCUUUUUCGUAGUUAAGAAAAAUUGCAUCUUUGUUUGCCAACGCUUGAAGUGAGUCCCGUGAAACUUAAACGGUUUGUUGAAAUCGAUUGCUGUUCCAGUGGUAAUUUCGUUGGCAGUCAUCUUGGUUUUUCCGAAGCGUCUGAAAAUUUCGUUGGCAGUCAUCUUGGUUUUUCCGAAGCGUCUUAAAAUUGUUAGUUUUGAAAUUAGUACUGCCAAAGGAAUUACCGGGUUGAGUCACGACCAGGUCGCUCUCUUUAAGACGUUUCGCGGCACUACCCAAGUUGUGCAAGGUAGACUAACAACCACGCCGUCUCUAGGAUAAAACAGCCCAGAUCACUGUUACGAUUAUAUACUGCACAAUAUACAAUCGCUCGUAGAUAUACACCUCAAAUAUAGUUUAAUCGUUUGAUUAAAACUAUUCAAUACGGUACGUAGCCGUUCUAUUCGAAACCGAAAGGGACAGAAGAGGAGAAGGAAAAGAAUGACUCGUUAACACAAGUCGAAGGGAGAAGAGAGGAAUCGCACAGGAAUCAUCAACUGCGAAAUUCGAUGUAAAGAAUGAGGGGGGCGAGCUCUCCUUUUAUAGGAGGAGUUCAUAACAAAAAACGAGUUACUUAGGGAUUAAGUCUGCUUAAUCCUUAAGCAAACGCGUUUUUGUUUUAAUUGGAUAUAUCCGGAAACUUCUGGAUACUCGUUUUGGAUCGGGUCGGAAGUAACAACCUUACUUGUUACGAUUAAUUUAUCAUUUUCAAGUGACAAAAAAAUAUAUUUUAUUUUUCACCCACGACCCAAGCCCGGCCCGGUUCGGUCAGACGGCGGCGUCGUCGCGCGCGUGAUAUAUAUGUUUUUGUAAGCGUUCACCCGUUCACAAAAGUGGGUAUCCCAAGGGCACACCCUUGGAGGUCACUCUACCCUUAUAUAAACACUUUCUAGUUGGUGUGGCUCACCAAUGUGGGACAUUUUUAAGUCACACACUCACACUAGUUCUUAUAUUGUGUUUUUCUUAUCCAAUUUUCUCACUAGAUUUAACUAGUGUUCCAACAAUCCCCCACUUGACUUCAAAAUGGUUUCGAUAAAUAACGUAAACGUUUUCAUAAGAUUUGCUAAUAAACAAAGGUGUCGCUAACAACUUGAACCUUUGCAUAGUGGAAGGUAUUCUGAUUUAACAAGAGUUGCUUACAGCAUUGAACUCUAUCUCAGACAUAGAAACCACGCACAAACCCUUUCUUAGGUGUAUUCUAAAAGCUCGUGCGUUUUAAGGCCAUGCACGUGUAUCCCGGUUUUAACGAAUGCUCUAGGAAUUCUGCCUCGAAAUUCCAUAGGUCUGGCCUAAGUUCCACAUUCGUAUAGGUGAGUCUAUCAAAGGUACUCCUGUAGCUAUGUACCCCAGUCAACAUAGAGUAUAAAUCUCAUUAAGAGUUGUUAUUAACUCAUCCUUCUUUCACUGCAGGAUCAUGCUUUCUAUAUCCUUUUUCUCAUAGUAUGUUCUAUCACUUCAUGACUUGUUAUUACCCAUUGAACCUUAAUCUUGGGAUCUCCAAUCAUGUAGGUCGGGUUACCAUCAUUCAAUGAGCUAUAGGCAUUAGUCCCAUCCUACUGGAUGUUUCUCAGACUUUCUCUCUAUUUAGUCCUUUCGUCAAAGGAUCAGCUAAGUUUUCAUUAGUACGCACAAAAUCAACUCUAACUGCUCCAUUAGAGAUACACUCUCUAAUCGUGCUGUGUUUUCGCCUUAUCUGUUGUCUUUUACCAUUGUAAUAACGAUUCUUAAUCUUUGCAAUAGCCGCGGUACUAUCGCAAUGAAUUAACACAGUAGGUAACGGUUUCUCCCAUAAAGGGAUCUCAGCUAGCAAGGAUCUUAGCCAACUUGCUUCUUCACUAGCAGUAGCUAGUGCUAUCAUCUCAAAUUCCAUUGUGGACUGAGCCAGAAUGGUUUGUUUCUUAGACUUCCAAGAAACAACUCCUCCAGCUAUGUUAAAUAUAUAGCCGCUAGUUGCCUUGGAAUCAUCUGACAAGGUGUUCCAAUCUGCAUUACUGUACCCUUCAAGUACAGCUGGAUAUUUUUGAUAAUGCAGUCCUAAAGUCAUAGUUCCUUUUAAGUAUCUCACGACUCUCUCAAUUGCAUGCCAAUGCUCCUUGCUUGGCCUACUUGUAAAUCUGCAUAAGAGUCCCACGACAUAGGCGAUGUCGGGUCUAGUACAAUCAGUGGCAUAUCUGAGACUGCCAAUGAUGCUCGCAUACUCAGUUUGUCUGACACCAUCUCCAGUGUUCUUAAAAAGUUUUACACUUGGAUCAUAAGGUGUGCUCGCAGGUCUACAAUCAAAAUAUUUAUAUUUCCUUAAGAUCUUCUCAACGUAGUGAGAUUGAUCCAAGGAUAUUCCUUUAUCUGAUAUAGUAAUCUUUAUGUCAAGAAUUACAUCAGCUUCUCCUAGGUCUUUCAUAUCAAAGUUGUUACUUAACAAUGAUUUCACAGAGUAUAUGGUAGGAAUGUUUGACCCAAAUAUGAGCAAGUCAUCUACAUAGAGACAUAUGAUUGUGCAAAUGUUUUUAUCAUAUUUGUAAUAAAUACACUUGUCACUUUCAUUUAUCUUGAACUCAUUCAAAAUCAUUAAGUUGUCAAACUUUUCAUGCCAUUGCUUAGGUGCUUGUUUAAGACCAUAUAGAGAUUUGUCUAACUUACAGACUUUUCUUUCCUGUCCAUGGACUACAAAACCUUCAGGUUGUUCCAUAUAGAUUUCUUCUUCCAGCUCACCAUUCAAAAAAGCAGUUUUCACAUCCAUUUGGUGUACAAUUAAAUUGUAAACAGAAGCCAAAGAAAUUAGUACCCUUAUGGAUGUGAUUCGAGUGACUGGUGAGUAGGUAUCUAAAAAAUCUAUAUUUUCUCUUUGUCUGAAACUUUUGGCUACAAGGCGAGCCUUGUAUUUAUCGAUGGUUCCAUCAGGUUUUAGUUUCUUUUUCGAGAUCCAUUUACAACCUAUGGGUUUGCAGCCUGGAGGCAGUUCAGUCAAAUGCCAUGUUCCGUUUGACUGUAGAGAAUCCAUUUCAUCAUUUAUGGCUUCUUGCCAUAAGUCAGCAUCCAAGGAAGCCAAUGCUUCCUUGAGAUUUGAUGGAUCCUCUUCUAAUGUAUUGACCACAUAUUCAGGUCCAUACUCUUUUGCAGUUCUUGCUCUUUUACUUCUUCGAAGUUCUGUAACAUCGGUUAUGAUGUUUUCAUCUCUACCUCUGAUUGUUGGAGUUUGAUCAGAUGUAGAGUUCAUGUGUGCACCCCCACUAUUACCCCCACUAUCUCUCGAUAGAAAGGGAAAUUUCGUUUCAUAGAAAUAAGAGUCAUUUGAUUCUAUUAUUACUUUAGCUUUAAGGUCAUAAAACCUAUAUGCUUUACUGUUUAAGGCAUACCCAAUGAUUACACAUUCAUAGGCUCUACUGGCUAGUUUUACUCUUUUAGGGUUAGGAAUCCUAACAUAGGCUAAACAGCCCCAUGUUCGAAUAUAAGACAAGUUUGGUUGUCUUUUCUUCAAAAUUUCAUAGGGAGAAACUUUGUUCUUAGUUUUGGGUACUCUGUUUAGCACAUAGCUAACAGUCAAUAAAAUUUUCCCCCACCAAUGAGGCGUUGCACCAGAAUUAAGCAUUAUAGCAACUACUAAUUCGGUAAAAGUUCGAUUCUUUCUUUCCGCUUUACCGUUCAUCUCCGGAGAGUAAGGUGUAGUUGUUUCAUGAAUUAUUCCAUGCUCUUUAUAAUACUCAUUGGAUGUGUGUGAUAAAUAUUCAGUGCCUCUGUCACUACGAUAACGCUUGAUUUUUCUUAUUGAAUUGAUUUUCAAUUUCUUUGACAAAUAUUUUAAACAUGUCAAGCGCAUCACUUUUGUUUUUCAUCAAAUACACAUAAGUGUAGUCAGAGCAGUCAUCAAUGAAAGUAAUAAAAUAUCUUUGUCCGUUUCUAGUUAAGUUACCAUCAAGUUCGCAUAUGUCAGAAUGUAUUAAUUCAAAUGGUUCAGUUACUCUUAUUACUGAUUUAUGUGAUUCUUUUGUUAUUUUCGCUUGACUACAAAAUUGACAUUUUUCAAAAACAUUAGAUGGUAACUUUGGGAUCAGACCUAGACCGCUCAUAUUAGAGAUGAUUCGUUUGUUAACGUGACAUAAUCGUGCAUGCCAAAUAUUAAAAUCACACAACAUAUAAGCAGAAGAAGAAAUUUUAUUCAUAAUAUUCAAUUUAAACAUGCCUUCAGUGGCGUACCCUUUCCCAACAAAAACCCCAUCCUUAGUAAUAGAGUUCAUAUCAGAUGUUAUAAUCUGUUGAAAACCAGCCUUAUUUAAAAGAUACCCAUAAACUAGAUUCUUCCUAAUCUUUGGAGUGUGCAUCACAUCCUUCAAUAUCAGAGUCUUCCCGGAGGUGAACUUCAGCUCCACUUCUCCAAUUCCAGCAACUUCAGUGGUGUGAGAAUCUCCCAGCAGCACCUUCUGAUCAUCAGCAGUAGUGUAUGUCUUGAACAUAGCACGGUCAAAACAAACAUGGCGAGAGGCGCCAGUGUCUAUCCACCAUCCAUCAGAUCCACCAACAAGAUUGAUUUCAGUUAUCAUAGCGGUGUACGACUGCUCCUUAGUUGUUGUCAAGUGAGCUUGAGCUGGUCUUGUAGAUGGGUUCCUACACUUUCGUGCCAUAUGACCUGGUUGACCGCAAUUGUAGCAAUUGAACGGUUGAGCAUGAUCAUUCUUUGGUGGUUGUUGAUUUGGGACCUUUUGUUGGUUCCCAUUCUUAUUUCGAUUGGAAUUCUUAUUUGCAGAGCGGUUCUGAUUCUUGAAUUGUUUGCCGUUAGGCUUCAGAACAACACCUACAGAUUUCUUUUUAGUGUUGUUGUUCGAGACAGCAAACACCUCUUCAUUCAGUUCAUGUUUCCUCGCUUCUUCUUCAAUUCGAAGUCGAGUAAUCAGACUUUCAAGUGAGAACUCCUUAGUUUUGUGUCUAAGGAUGUUCUUGAAGUCCUUCUAGGUCGGGGGCAGUUUAUCAAUUAUCACAGCAAUUUGAAACUGAUCAGGUAACUGAAUCCCUUCAAUAAAAAUCUCAUGGGCUAUUUUCUGAAGCUCCUGAGAUUGUUCUUCAACAGACUUAUCAUCACUCAUCUUAUAGUUCAGGUACCGACUCUCAACAAAUUUUUUCGAGCCAGCCUCUUCAGUGUUAUCUUUGUUCUGAAGAGCAUCCCAAACAUUCUUUGUUGUAUCGUGGAUAAUGUACAAAUCGUACAGAUGAUCCGCGAGACAGUUCAAGAUGUAAUGUUUACAUAAGUAAUCAUUUUCUUUCCAGAGGAGUAUUUCUUUAUUGACCUGUUUCUCUUUUUCAGCAUGUUCAGCAAUGAGUCUUUCAAACUCAGCCUUUCUUGUUUCCAACUCAACCUUUUUAGUAGGAUCAGAAACAUCUGUAUCCAUAGCUGUCACACCGUUACUAUUCGAUGCCGUAGGAAUCGAUAGUGUUGGAAUCACAGGAAUAGCAUCGUUCAAGACAUAGGCAACCUUUUUCGUAGUUAAGAAAAAUUGCAUCUUUGUUUGCCAACGCUUGAAGUGAGUCCCGUGAAACUUAAACGGUUUGUUGAAAUCGAUUGCUGUUCCAGUGGUAAUUUCGUUGGCAGUCAUCUUGGUUUUUCCGAAGCGUCUGAAAAUUUCGUUGGCAGUCAUCUUGGUUUUUCCGAAGCGUCUUAAAAUUGUUAGUUUUGAAAUUAGUACUGCCAAAGGAAUUACCGGGUUGAGUCACGACCAGGUCGCUCUCUUUAAGACGUUUCGCGGCACUACCCAAGUUGUGCAAGGUAGACUAACAACCACGCCGUCUCUAGGAUAAAACAGCCCAGAUCACUGUUACGAUUAUAUACUGCACAAUAUACAAUCGCUCGUAGAUAUACACCUCAAAUAUAGUUUAAUCGUUUGAUUAAAACUAUUCAAUACGGUACGUAGCCGUUCUAUUCGAAACCGAAAGGGACAGAAGAGGAGAAGGAAAAGAAUGACUCGUUAACACAAGUCGAAGGGAGAAGAGAGGAAUCGCACAGGAAUCAUCAACUGCGAAAUUCGAUGUAAGCAAACACGUUUUUGUUUUAAUUGGAUAUAUCCGGAAACUUCUGGAUACUCGUUUUGGAUCGGGUCGGACGCGUAGCGCUUUCGGAUAAUGAUUAGAUUAAUUAAAUAAUUAAUUUAUCAUUUUCAAGUGACAAAAAAAUAUAUUUUAUUUUUCACCCACGACCCAAGCCCAAGCCCGGCCUGGUUCGGUCGGACGGACGGCGGCGUCGUCGCGCGCGUGAUAUAUAUGUUUUUGUAAGCGUUCACCAGUUCACAAAAGUGGGUACCCCAAGGGCACACCCUUGGAGGUCACUUUACCCUUAUAUAAACACUUUCUAGUUGGUGUGGCUCACCAAUGUGGGACAUUUUUAAGUCACACACUCACACUAGUUCUUAUAUUGUGUUUUUCUUAUCCAAUUUUCUCACUAGAUUUAACUAGUGUUCCAACAACAUGUGAAGCUCCGAUACUUCAAAAUGGAUGACGUACCGUAUCCCUUGCGUAUCCUGCACCGAUACCUGACCGAUACUUCCCGAUACUUCAAAUAUUAAAUUUUAUUUUUUAAGAAAAUAAUUUCCCGAUACGCAUGGAUACUUGUAUUUUUUUAUAUUAUUUUGAUUUCUGCGUUUUUUUUGUUGUUGUAAAAAAUAAGGAAAAAAACAUUAUAUUACUAUAAUAUAUAUACAUUUCCUUUAUCUUUCUUUGGUGCAGGUAUGACCCACACCAUACCAUAGAAACAAUUUCAUCUUCCCCUUUUUAAAAAAUUAGGGUUUCAACUUUUUCUUUCAAAAUGGUCGCCUUCCACUUUAGAUAUAGUGCUUCUUUUUUGGAUCGAUAUAGUAUAGCAUUAACAAUGUUCCUUUUGGAUAUAGUAUAACAUUGAUAUAACCCUGAUGGUACUCUUUUUGGUAUAUUUUGCGUAUGUAAUUGACUAAUCACCACUCUCUUAAUCGUCAAUAUUAUUUAUAUUUAUGUUAAUGUGCUACGAGUCUAGUUUCUUGUGUUUGUUAAUAUAUUUGCAUAUUAAAAAAAAGGUUAUAAUUAUAUUAUACAUUUAAUUAUAUAAUUUUUUUUAUUAACGUAUCUCAGCCGUAUCGUAUCUUGAUUUUUGAAAUUUUCCCGUAUCAAUGUAUCGGUGCAGUAUCGUAUCUCGUAUCUAGGCUUCGCAGUAUACGACACUUAUGCUUAUGACAAUUGUUUGUUCUUGUGUUAAUAGUUGCAUAAUUGAGAUGGAGAGAUGUUUUUUCUUUACAAAUUGAGAUAGAGAGGUUAGUCAUAGAGAAUAAGAAUUAGAAAGAAAAGAAACUCAUAAACUAGAAAAAAUAUUGCGACUUUUAAUAUGACUCAUCGGUUUAGUUGUUAAAAUUAUGGACGUAAUUAAUAUUUUUUUGGUACAUGUAAUUGACUGAUUUCAUUCAGUUAUUUCAUUUAUUAUUUUUGACUUUGUAGUGCCCCUGUAAUUUUGUCAGCAACUAGCAUUUUACAUUUUUUUUAAGCUUAAAUGCACUUUUGACCCCCUAUGUUUGUCAUGGUAGCAAUUUUGGGUCCUUAUUAAAAAAAACCACUUUCGAACCCCCUAACUUUGCCCCCUUUUGCAAUUCUUAGGUUCCCUCUGAUUUUGACCCGGUCAAAGGAAUUAAAUUUAAAUGGAAAAGAAUGAUAGGAAUAAUUAAUAGCGUUAGGAUUAAAUUAGUGGUCAAGAUUAAAAGUUAUUGUGUUCCUUCGGUUUAAUAAACGAUCUAUUUUCUCCUCUAUUCUCUUGACCCCCACCCACAAAAAAAUUUCCAUCCUAAUCCUCCAUUUCCAGUUUCUAACAACAUUCAUCACAAGUCCAUUUAGAACUUUGGUGCGGCAGAGUCGAAGAGGUUACUCCAGUAUGGGCCGUCGAACUUCGCGAGUGCUUUGAUGUCAUUGUGGAUGUCGAGAACGCUGCCGGAGUUGCUUUGGUAAACGAUUUUUUGGCAGUGAAGUUGUUGGUGGUGAAAGGGUGACGGCGAGCAUUGUCUUUGAUGUUGUCGGAGAGUGGUUGUUGGUGGCGACAGUAAGUGUGCGGUUAUGUGAGGGUUUUGGGGCGUUAAAAAGAAGGGUGGAGAAUGAAGGAUGAAACAGAGAAGACAAAACCAUUUUUAUUGUAUUUUUUGUUUUGAAAAGAUUAUUAUGAUGAAACAGAGAAUAAAGGAAGAUGAAGAAUGAAGGAGGGUGUGUGAGAGGUGUUGUUCUUCUUUUGGAGAAAGAAAGAGAAAAUGAAUGGAGGAGAGGGAGCAUAUACUUUUAAUCUUAAUCAUAAGGCUAUUAAUUAUUUCUAAUUUUUUUUUGUUUUUAUUUUAUUUUAAAUUAUGCAGUGGAAUUUGACCAGGUCAAAAUCAGAGGGGUCCUAUGAUUGCAAAAGGGAUGUCGUUUUAGCAAAAAAAAAAAUUUGUUUCGAAAUAAAUGUCACUCUCAGUUUCCAAUGUAAUAAUAACUUUUUCUUUUCAAUUGUACCCUUCAAUUAAUACUAUAUUACACUACUUCCAAAAUAUUUAUUUUUUCUUUAAUGAAAAACAAACCAGGUAAAAUUGCUACUACUUUAUUCAAUUCCUUAAUCUAUGUGCAAUUGACUAAAACAACACAUAUUUUGAAACGGACGGAGAAGUAGUUAAAGAAAUUUGCAUUCUUUGCGAUUCAAUUGUAAGGAAAGGCCUAAUUAACAAAAAGUAUAUUAAUUCAGGAAUCUGAUUACUAAUUUUUUACUUUAGACACCUAUUUAAAAUUUCUCAAAUAAUUUAGUUACCUACAAAAUAAUUCAGCUUUUUAUUAAUAUCUUUACUAUUUAAAAAAAAUAUUGCAAAAAUGGAAGACGUAUUGUUUUCUAAGAAAAAAGCAUAUUGUAAUAUCCCACUCUUCGAUUAUUGGAAUGUUACCAGUCAAACGUGUCAGAGGACAAAUAUUCAUGGAAAGCAAGUACGGCGGAGAAUGUUAUCAUGUAAUGUCAGUUAUGCACGGGUUUGUCAUCAGUCAAGGGGUAUAUAAGGAUGUUUGGAGCCAAAACCUUCACAACUUCAUGUUACUUCUCUAGGUUGAGAUUUUGGAACUCUCUCCUCCUUCUCUCUAGAAUGGUGCCCCCUUCCCUCAAUCUUCUUCCCUCAAGCUUCCAAAUGCAUGCACUUACACUUUGUUUGGUUGUGAAGAGAAGUUGUGAAGAGAGAAAUAGGUGAGAGAGAGUAAGAGAAGAGAGAAAUAAGUAAGAAAUAGAGUAGAUUUGAUGGAUUGUUUGUUAGAAGAGAAAUAUAGAAGAAAUAGAGAAGAAAGAAGUGUUGAUUACUUUUGAAAGUACUAAAAUGCCCCAAAUUAAAAAUUAUUUUUUUAUAACAACUAAAUUAAAAAUCCUUCAAUCAACAUACACUAAUUUAUUUAUGUAUGUUAAUUUAUUUAUUAAACUACAAACUAAUUUUUUUUUUUAAUUUGAUUAGAUUAAUUAUUUUUAGUUUUUGGACAGGGUUUAAAUAAUUUAGUUGUGGUAAAAAAAAAAAAAAGUUAACGAAAUCAACUCAUAAAUCCAUUUUUAAUGUUGGUCUAUCUACUGAACUAUCACUUGGGUAUCCAGUAAUUUAGAAAUCCUUCACGUACAGUGCCGAGAGAUUAUAGAAGGAACAACAAGAUUAAAUAGGAACAAGGGUAAAUAAUUAGAUCUAAUAUUUCAAUACAAGGGUAAUAAAGGAAUAACAAGAUUAAAAGCCUUAUCUCCCCACUUUCUUCCCUAUUGUGAGGAGACAUAAAAAGGUGGUGGGUCCCACUACUUUUUAAUCUCUCUUCCCUAUUUCUCUUCAUUCCAAACAAGAGAAAUUUGGUCUCUCUUCCCUCUUUCUCUCUUCUCUCUUUCUCUCUUUCUUAUUUCUCUUCAACCAAACAGACUGUUAGUGAUUAAGCAAGAAUCAUAGAACCUUCCUGAACAAGAAACAAAUAGAAGGAUGGAUUAAAGCUUGGUUUGGUUGGAUGAGCUAAGAAUCAUAGAUGUAUCAAGAACUAGGGUUUUAUGGCUAGAGUUAGAGUUGGAAUUGAAGCUUGAAGAAUGCUGCAAAUCAUCAUGUGAGUUCUUAGAUUAGUUUACCACCUUUGGGUUUGUGUAAUCCUAGUGAGAAAACAUGAUCUUAGGCUAAGUUGCUAUGAUGAGAUUUUAGUACCCCAAAAGCCAAUCUUGUUGUUUAUAUGUUAAAAUUGCCAUGUAAGUUUUUUUAUGAUGUUUAUAUAAGUUGCUGGAUGUAUAUGAUGCAUUGCAAGAUUGAAUUGGAUGUGGUUUAGGUCAAAAAUGCAAAAUCUGCACUACAGACCCGAAGAAAUUCGCUAUUAGUGAAAACAUUUCGCCAAUAGAGAAAUUCCCUAGAAGCAACUCGCUAAUGGCGAAAUGUUGUUGUCACAACCAACUUCUCUUUGGCUUGUUGGCUCAUCUUGGGGAUUGUAGUACUGUCCGAGGCUUUUCUUACUAUGAUUUCCAACUCUAUAACCCCCAAACAACAUCUAAGCAAUGCACGUAACAUCAAACGAUUCUUGAAAUGAAAAUCAUGGCCAAUAUUAACAUGUACAUAAAGAAUUACACAAGAGAGUUAAACAUGUUUAUUCGGGUAGCGAUUAACUAAGUAUGGGGAAGGAUCAUAGAACCUCGACAUAGACUGUCGAGAACCAGAAUGAUAGCAUGAAUCCCUAAGUAUGUCAAGACAUGAAUUGAUGAGUGUAAACUCUUCACUAUGAACAAGAAUGACUAUGCAAGCAUGUUACCUUAAUCGGAUAGAUCACGGACCCGUGGUACAUAAGUAUUCAAGUAAUAAUAUAAGUUAUCAUGUAUGAACAAGACUUUAAGUAAGAUGUAGGUGUCCUGUCUCUUGCUAUCCACGCCAGGGGGAUACAAGAGGUUCACGCCAGGGGAACGCGAUAAGCUCCGCAAGGGGGCCCACAUGACAUUGAGGGAGUUCGAUGUACCUUAACUAGGUUUUCAUCGGUCAUGUAUGGGAGUGUACUCGGGGUUACUCCACCCGAUACACCCCGUAAAAUGAACUCAGAUAAUAUUGUUUGUUCAACGCUAACCUCUAACAUAAUGAAUGAACAUGAUUAUGAUAUGAUUAUGAUAUGUUUCAAGACAAGAACAAGCUCAUGCAAUAGAAAAAGUUAUGAUGAUGUACUGUCGACGGCCUUUGUAACUCCCUGAUCGUCCAGUUUAGGAGCAUGUCAUGAAUAAGUUAUGUUUAGAUCUUGAUGCAUUUAGCGUAUCUCGACAAAGCGGUCCUAGGUUCCCUUGACCGCCAUGACAUAUAGAAUGUAAGACAAGCCUUAUGACUUAUGAUACAAAGAACCUUAUGACGGCUCUAGUAUGCACGACCGUCUGGGUAAGCAAGCUCCUCACACAUAUAAUCAACCGUCAGGUUGUAUUCUAGACACGUGGUGACCCUAGGUUUCCCCCUAGAGCCAAGUCCUUAGCUUCUAUUAUGAGUGGUUUAUGAACCUUUCAUCUUGUAGGUUGGUUGAUCUUAUUUUCGAGGUAGAGGCUUGGCUCUUAUCUUUGUUGUUCAAAAGUGUUGCAUAAAAGAGAUAAUAUGCAUUCUUUUCUAGAUAAAAGCAUAUUCAAAAUUUAAAAGAUUUAGUAGUAUAAAGAAAUUGGCACUCUGCGAUUCAAUUAUAAGGAAAGGCCUAACAUAAAGUAUAUAUUAAUUCAGGAAUCUGAUUACAAUUUUUUACUUUAGACACCUAUUUAAAAAUUCUCAAAUAAUUUAGUUACCUACAAAAUAAUUCAACCUUUUAUUAAUAUCUUUACUAUUAAAAAAAAUAUUGCAAAAUUGGAAGACGUGUUCUUUUCUAAGAUAAAAGCAUAUUCAAAAUAUAAAGAAGAAAAAAGUGUUAGUAGAUUAAACUCAAAAUUAUGUCAACAAUAUGAACAGACAGUAGUGAAGUAUCAACUUUCCAUCACUUAUCAUUCAAUAAUUGUAUCAAAGUAAACUGAUCAAUUCGUCUUUUUUUUUAUUUUUUUUCUAGAAAAAAAAGUUGGAGAAAGUUACUCUUGUGGAAUUAAGUGGUAAGUGGAAAGUGUAGAUAACGUUGGUUUGAUUAGAUUAUGUGGCAAAUGAAAUCUUAUGAGAGCAAUGCAUUGUAGGAUUUGAAACUGAAACCAUCCUUCUCAUGUCUUAAUAUAUAUCUACUAACAUUUUUCAGAUUAAACGGGUGUAAACUUUUUUCAGAUCUUAAUAUAUAUUAUAUUAUACUAACAUAUUAAAUCUCACUCCAAGUUAGGGUACAACAUAUAUAUUAGAUCUACUAGCAUUUGAAAAAGGUUACUAAGUCAAAAAUAAAUGUUACUUAAUUUGAUCUAUUAAUAACAUUUGAUAAAUGUCAGUGAAGCCCAUGUUACUGAAUGGUUUUAGUAAUCUUUGAGGGUAGUAUUAGUAACAUGCAAAAAAUGUCACCCGUUUAGUAGCUCAAUCAUCAUAGCCAAUCUCUAACAAACAAUUUUACACCGGGCCGGCUCUUGAAAUUUAGAUGCUUUGGGCGAAUCAAGAGAGUGGUGUCUUUAUAAAAAAAAAUCAACAAAAAAUGAUAAGAUUAAGAGAAAUGAAUGAAAAUACUAUUAAACAUUUCAUUUGAUAUUGUGCGAUAUGAACACAAGUAUGAAUCUUUGAAAUGUGAAACAAAUAGCUCUAAGUUAGAAUCCAUGUUCCAGAGUCUGGACUUCACUCGACAAGUUUAAUUAACUAAAGACAACAUGUUUACCAAAACACCACACAUGGAUCAUAAUUCAAUGUCGAUUCCUCAAAAGUGAAAAUUCGUUUGAUUAUUAAAUAAUAAAUAAAUUGUUUGGAAAUUGCAAUUGGCACCUACUCCUAUAUUAUGAGUUAUGAUCAAUGGUAUAAGGCACUUAUGCUCUUGGCAAUUGAUCGUUCUUGUGUUAAUAGUUGCAUAAUUGAGAUGGAGAGAUGUUUUUUGUUUACAAUUUGAGAUGGAUAGAUUAGUCAUAGAAAAUAAGAAUUAGAAAGAAAAAUGAGGAUUGCUAUAUCUCACGAAUUCUAAUUUCCCGAAUUUAUCCCGAGAGCUGUUUAACCAAUCAAAACUCAUUCUUUUCCACCAUACAAGGAAGUUAGUGGUGUAGUAGUUUUAUCUCAAUUUCACACAAUUCACGAAACCCCUUUUUUUUUUUUGGUAUAACACGAAACCCUCUUUUAAUGAUACAACCAGAAUAUUUUGUGGAAAAAAGAACAAAAACAGCACAAAAAGACAACAAAUCAUUCGGGAUACUCUGGAAAUAUUUUCUCGGGAGAUAUAACAUUUUCAAGAAAAAUAUCGUGGCUUUUAAUAUGCAAAAGCAAAAAAUCUGACUCUUAUUAUUCAUAACACUUCAUAUCAUUAUUUUAAUUUUAGUGCUUCAAUUAGAUCAUUCAGCUUUUCACUCAUGACUCAUAUGUUUAGUUGUUAAAAUUAUAGAUGUAAUUAAUAUUUUUGGUACAUGUAGUUGAUUGAUUUUAUUUUAUAUUUUAUUUAAUCACGUCAAUUAUUAGUUUUGACUUUGUAGGCCCCUGAUUUAUUUUUAUUUUUGUGGGAAGCAUAUAUAUAUAUAUGGAUAGUAAAAAUAUAUUUUUUGGUGCCCCUAAAAUUAUGGUGCCUUAGGCCGUCGCUCCCUCGAUCCGUGCUCAGGGCCACCCCUGAUUUUACAUACAGUUUUUGGUAAUUCUGAUGGCAUAAAUGUUACUAAAUUUUAGAUGCAAAUUUAGUUAAUUUUACUAGGAUAAAUAAACAAAGAUGGAAUAUAUCAUUCAUGAUCACCAUCUAGAUCUUCUACUUCAAACUUACAAAUACCAAAAUAAAAAAAUUACAAAGUGAUCAAAUUAAGAAUAAAAAAGAAAAUGGUUCUUGUCAUGUCUAGGGGUUUAAAAAUACAUGAAGUAGAAAAUAGAGCCUCAAAUGCUCAAUGGCUUCAAUAACUAUAUUAUUAACGUUUACACGUGAGACAAAUUUUGCAAGAAAAAUAAUAAGAUCAUGAAGAAUAAUAUGUUACGAUUUCGUUUUUUUACAAAAAUAAAACGAUAUUCAUUCAUUCAAAUUGAUAGAGUACAUCAGAUAUAAUAACAUGUUCAACAUCGUUAAAACGUCAACGAUGAACGUGCGAAGAAAUUUACAACAUCUAAGUUAAUAACAUAAAACGACAUAAUGUCUAUAAAUUAUAAUAUGCAAAAAUCUAAGUCACAUAAAUUCAUACUUCUAGAUCUACAAAGUUGUCGCCCAAAUCAUUAAUAGAAUCUAUGAUUGACUGAAGUCGGUCUUUUAAUAAGAAUCAAACGAACACCGCAACAAGAAGUGCAGUUAAAAGUGUUUGUUAUAUGGGAGCAUGGUUGGGACGUCCUAGCCACCCUGCCAUGCCAAAUGGGACAAAUUAUACGGGACACUGCCUUGGAAGGCUUAGCAUUGGACAGAACGCGGGGAGAGAGGGAAGAAUCUUACAUUACCAUGACCUAGACAAUGCCUGAACAAGCGUUGACCACAUGUUUAAACAUGGUCUUCCCAAGUCAUGAACAACGAUAUGAUCCACUUUCUUCUAACAAAUCUAACCAUGAAUUCUAAUUUCCCGAAUUUAUCCCGAGAGCUGUUUAACCAAUCAAAACUCAUUCUUUUCCACCAUACAAGGAAGUUAGUGGUGUAGUAGUUUUAUCUCAAUUUCACACAAUUCACGAAACCCCUUUUUUUUUUUGGUAUAACACGAAACCCUCUUUUAAUGAUACAACCAGAAUAUUUUGUGGAAAAAGAACAAAACAGCACAAAAAGACAACAAAUCAUUCGGGAUACUCUGGAAAUAUUUCUCGGGAGAUAUAACAUUUUCAGAAAAAUAUCGUGGCUUUNNNNNNNNNNNNNNNNNNNNNNNNNNNNNNNNNNNNNNNNNNNNNNNNNNNNNNNNNNNNNNNNNNNNNNNNNNNNNNNNNNNNNNNNNNNNNNNNNNNNUUAAUUAAUUUAAUUUUUAUUACUACUUGGGUUUUUUGGUUUAAUUUAAUUAAUUUACUUUAAAUUUGUUUGUUCGUUUUGGUAUAUUUACGUAAAAUUUAGUAUUCUAUGUUAAUUAUUAUAUAUAUAUAUAUAUAUAUAUUUAUUCUUCUAAUUGAAAUUUUGAUUGCAAAUGAAACCCUUGCCGACCAAAUUGGAUAUUUCUGAGAUCGCGCUUGACUAUAUGUUUGAGCACAAUGUGUAUGAUUGUUCGAUCUUAUCAAUUCACAAUAAUUAGUUUGUCGACUAUCGUUUUCUUUUGGACCUCGAUGAAAACUUCACUACAAAUUUGACUAUGAAAUUCGAUGCUAAUCUCCAACAUACGUUGGAAUUAUAUACUUCAAUGGGCCAGAUAGGUGUUAGAAUAGAAUUGGCACAUGCAAACAUAUGUAGUAGAUGGCGUAUUGUUUUGCAGAUAGCAUUAUUCAUAAUCUUCUGCAUCUUUUUGUUCCUUAGCAUGCUGCCAAUUUUGGCACUUUUGUCUUGUAUCUCAAAAAAUGUGAUACAUGCUGUCUAUAUUUUCUACCUUAGAAAUUUGGAUAGUAGUGUUUGGCCUGACUUAAUUUUAACUUCUCUUCUUCUUUAAAGAAGAAGAUGGGCCAAUCACAUUUCAUUUGAAACUCCUAAUAAAAAUAAGUGACUUAAUAUUAAGGAAGAAAAACAUAAAAAGGAGAAGUCGGCAAAUUGAACUUUAGGCAAACUUAUGCGCCUUGCCAUUUUCCACUCCUGUUUCGAAUCCCACUAGAAACAUAUUUGUCUUCUUCUUUUGUUAUUUGUUUGACAUUCAAAGCUUGUUUAUUUUUUUUAGAGGAUUCGUAAAACUUGUUCCAACUAUUUUGUUUUCUUGACUGUUCCAAUUUGUCAACUUUAUUUUUAUAAUGACAGGCAAUAUAAUUUUCAAUUUUUUUUUUCUAAUUCAAGAGUUGUAGAGUUUAUGACAUCUCAAACAAUAAAUAUUUUAAUUUAAAUAUAUAAUUUGGCAUGAUAUUUGUUUAUAUAUCGUAAAAGAAUUUAUAAUUUGAAAUAAAAUUUUAAAGCAUGGAUAUAAUCAUCAUAAAUAUAAUGUUUCUAUCGCAAAUCAAUUUCUUGAAAUUUUUUUAAUAUAUCAUUUUAUAAAAUAAAAAAAAAUACAUAAUUUACCAAACAAAUUUUAGUUUAAAAUAAAAAACUAAAGUUUCCAAACAACUUUACUUCAAGUUUACUUUGAUUUUAAAGUUGGUUCUAACCAUAAAAAAAGCUGGCCCAAACACACCCUAGAAUUGUUUUCUUUUCUCUUCGAAUUAAGUACUAGUGUGGAUAGAGAUAGUUGAUGAACAAAGAUACCAUAACUUGAGUGGGAAGAAAGAAGCAUUUCAGGCUCUGCCUAAAGUUGAAUGGUAAAGAUCAAGACAGCAAGUGGUGGAGAGAAGCAUUUUAGUCUAUUUUAAGUUUGAUGGUAAAGAUAACAUUUUGAGGUUAACUUCAUAUUAAAUGGCAAUUGUGGUUAACAAUUUAGUUAUUAAAGACAUUGAGCAUUUGAGGCUCUAUUUUCUACAUGUAUUUACCUAGACAUGACAAGAAACAUUUUCUUUGUGAUUCUUAAUUUGAUCACUUUGAAUUUUUUUUUAUUUUAGAAUUUGUAAGUUUGAAGCAGAAGAUCUAGAUGGUGAUCAUGAAUGAUAAAUUUAAUCUUUGUUUAUUUAUCCUAGAAAAUUAACUAUGGUUGAGCUACUAAAUGGGUAACAUUUUUUGCAUGUUACUAAUACUAAGGUUACUAAGACUAUUUAGUAACACAGGCUUUAACAAACAUUUAUCAAUUGCUUUUAGAUCAAAUUUAGUAACAUAUGUUUUUAAUUUAGUAACCUUUUCCAAAUGUUACUAGAUCUAAUAUAUAAGCUGUAUUGUAACUUGGAGUGAUAUUUAAUAUAUUAGUAUAAUAUAAGUUGAUUUGAUUGCUCCAAAAAAAUACUCACCGAGACAUAGAAGGAUGGUUUCAGUUUCAAAUCCUACAAUGCAUUGCACGUCUUUGAACUCCAACUUUUUUGGAUAGGAAAUUUGCAAAGAAAGAAAUCAAUUGGCUCUCAACAGAUUUCAUUUGCCAUGCACAUAAUCUAAACAAAUCAACGUUAUCUUUACUUUCCACUACAUUCCACAAGAGUACCUUUCUCCAACACUUUCUCCACUACAUUGACACAAUUAAUUAAUGAUAAGUGAUGGAAUGGAAAGUUGAUACUUCACUGUUGUCUGUUCCUACUGUUGAAAUACUUUUGAACUUAAUCUACUAACAAUGUUAAGCUACUUGGUUUUUUUUUUUUUGAGUGAAUUAAGCUACUUGGUUUAUUCUUUAUAUUUUGAAAAUGCUUUUAUCUAGAAAAGAAUACGUCUUUCAUUUUUGCAAUAUUUUUUUUUUAAUAGAAAAGAAAGUAAUAAAAGGUUGAAAUAUUUGUAGGUAACUAAACUAUUUGAGAAAAUUUAAACAGGUGUCUAAACUAAAAAAACUGUAAUCAGGUUCCUGAAUUAAUAUAUUUUUAGCAAUUAGCCCUUUCCUUACAAUUGAAUCGCAAUAGUACAAAUUUCUUUAGCUACUGAAUUAAUAUAUUUUUUGAAGAUUUAUUUUGGCACUCAAACGCCUUAUACGGAGUAUUUAGGAUUGGUUUUUUGCGGGGCAAGUACCUCUUAUACUUUUCCUGAGUUAUGGGUUAAUUAAGUACUCUUUCUACUUCUCUCCUUUCUAAUAAAUUUUGUUCUUAAAAAAUCAAUAAACUAAAAUAAACUUUACUUAGGUCCCUUGUGAACAGGGACGUUAUUAUCUAUACAUUUACUUUUCCUUCAAUUAUUAUUGUACUAAAGUAAACUGCUCUUUUCUUAUUCCUUUUAAAAAAAGUAGUAGAGAAAGGUAGUCUAGUUUGUGCAACAUUUAGUAGUGGAAAAAUAAAGAUAAAGUUGAUUUGACAUUAACUUUGUGAACUAGAACAAACUCUGAUAAGUGUCUAAAAUCAGUUGUAUCAAAUUUCCAACCCAAAGUUGGGCAGUGCAGAUUGCAAGAAACAAGUUGGUGAGUAUUUCUCUUCUUUUUGAAAAAAUAUUCAUGAAUCAUGAUAAGCUUUGAAAUAAAGAAACAAGAUCUAUUGAUAUACCUAUGGUUGUGGUGGAACACUGUUGCUAAUAUUUGUGUUGAAGCAACAAGUGAUAGUUUGAAGCCAGGUGAUAAAUUUGAUGCAAAUUCCACGCUAUAUUCAAAACAAGGCAAGUUUUGUGUACUAUUCAGCGAUAUUUUAGAAAACGAAGAUGCUCACCUGAUGGUAAGUGUCAAACGAAGAUGCAUGAUAGAAAUCAUUCCAUUGACUUAAAUUCAGCAGUUCUAUCACUAGAUUAUUCUGGUGUGCUCAAAAUAGAAUCACAAAAUAGGAAACCAAUAAUCAUUUACUCUUCACCUCAACCCAUAAACAACACUUUGGCCACUAUAUUAGACACAGGUAACUUUGUGCUUCAACAAUUUCACCCCAAUGGGUCAAAGACUGUGUUGUGGCAGAGUUUUGAUUAUCCAUCAGACGUUUUGAUCCCAACGAUGAAGUUAGGCGUUAAUCAAAAAACAGGACAUAAUUGGUCAUUGGUGUCAUGGUUGACUCCUUC